Molecule: long non-coding RNA, 151557 nt
Filed under: Malus domestica (apple)
Lineage: Eukaryota; Viridiplantae; Streptophyta; Magnoliopsida; Rosales; Rosaceae
Source: RNAcentral
CACAAGGAACUUUCUCCUUAAAUUUUCAUUCAUGCAUGCAGACUAUAAAUAUCGACCUCUCUAGCUUUCAAUUACAACUUAACAUUAGAAAUUGGCUUUAGUCACCACAUCUUUUCUGUCACUAAUCCUUUGUUUUUCGGUAGUUCCGUCAUUCAUCCUUUCAAAACUUGCUCCGACUUCGAAUUUCUUACAUAUAUCAAUGGGAAAUAGUGAAGCAAAACAGCAAGAACGUCGCAUGCAUUACGAAUUUCCGGCCUCUCAUCCUCCAAACACUUCACUUCCGAGCCAUGAUCAUACUCGCUAUACGAAUAGUAGCCAGGUCAAACUAACUAAUGCGUCUGGAGCUGAAGCUGGGCAGAUUGGAACGGCACAAGUGCACAAGGAAGAGAUGAAUUUGGAAGACAAUGAUGCAUUUUCUGACUACAUUAACCGCACGAAAUUUAAGAUCAGAGCUACGACCUCCAAUAUUGAUCCCGAGAAUGUUGCAUCCACAGCAGAUGGUGUUUAUGAAACAGAGCAAGAAGAUAAUGAGUAUGAAAUGUUUACGGAUUUUGUCAACCACUCUAAGUUUAAGAUUAGAAAGACAUCCAGCAUCGGAAGUAGAAACAACAUCUCCUUUAAGAAGUAGGAGACUGAAAUUCUGCAACCAUAUGUGUUCUGGUGAUUGCCGGCAUAUUUAUGGAUUGUGUUCUCCCUCUUUAAUUCUUUUAUCAUAUUUACGUCCUGGAUACACAGGUUAUGUAAUGUUGUUGAAUAGUCCUCUAUGUAUUUCUCAGUCAAUGAUAUCGAAUCAUUCUUUUUCAUGUGUUUCUAGAGCCCAUUUGCUAAAAGUGUGACUUAUAUGCAUUGCAGCAAGCUUCCUUGACAAUUGGAAUCUGUUUCUUUACCUCUUCGAAAGGCGAUAGUUUAAAAGGCGAGACUCCUUUGCAUAGCUAGCUAAGCAAAGAUAGAUGUUUGGAAAAAGCUCAACCAUGAAGUGCUUCUGCAUCUCAAUUUUUGUACGCGCUAAUUGGACCGAGAUAAAACAAAACAAAUCCAACCUAUGUUACAUAUGCAGGGUUUAUUCAAUUCAGGCAAUAAAACAUCUAAAUAAUAUUCUAGUUGGUACGCACUUGCUGGAUCCCACUUUUAUGAAAAAAUUAUGGGCUAAGAAGCUGGGAAUAUGAUUCCCAUACAUCACUUCAAUUGAAGAAAUUUCUCCCUUAUGAGCAAUUUUUUGCUAUUCAGCCAUAGUGGGUUUCCCUUCAUUUCUGUGUGUAUCUUUCAGUUUUCGACCAAGGAUCGCAAGGACAUGCUCUCGAGAUUUCUCUUUACCUCAUCUCUUAAACUUAGUACAAGCUUGCUAUCAAUUUAAUUUCUAACAUAAUAAUGGGAAAGAGUUAUAGCAUAGCAGAUGCUGGAGCACCGCAGCAUUUGUUGGUUGGUUGGAUAGUACAGAGACCUUGACAAUGCUUUGUGGUUGGUUUGCAGAUUUUCAUGGCAGAUGCUGGAGCACCGCAGCCGACACCGUGAAUUGGUCAAUGACAGACUAGUUUCUUUAGGGCAGUUGUAUCGUUAUACUGUGGGUUCACUUUUGAAACUUUGACUUUGAACUAGUAAAUGUCAGAUUUUCGGUAGGCUGGUUAACCGUAGGGUUUCUGAAUUCGUGUUGUUCUUAAUUAAUGGAUAUGCUCUUAUUAGUAGCUUGGCACAUUGUGUUCAUGUUGAUGCAUUCAGGAGGAGCCGUUACAGCACAUAGCAACUAGCAUGGAAGAAAAAGUACAAAAAUGAAUGCGACUGGAAAAUGACAAUAAAAUAUGUUUUAUGUUGAAAUACGAUGACUUUUAGCAAUUUUUGUUAAAAUGCGAAUUUUUACCACUUAUUGAGUCUAUAUAGCAUUUUUUUUAAUACAAAAUUUUAAAGUUGAAGGAUAAAAGAAUCGAUACGAAAAUUCUAGCAAGUCAUAAAACAUCUUUGCAAAAUGUGGAGAAUGAUUACCUUUCUACACAGCAUAUAGUGAGUGAGGAACGUACAAGAGAAAUGCAAGAGGAGAAGGUAGCUCACAUUCCUCGUAAUGUCUUGAAUGAAUUUUAAAAAGUUUAGUGACACAAAAAUACCACAAAAAUUACAAAAUAAGUUUAGUUUUCCUAAUUAAAUCACAAUAUGGUGUAUGCAGAACUUCGCUAAACUGAUUAAAAACACUCACUGAUUUUGAGAAAAAUUUAAUAAACCAUGAGAUUAAUGAAAUAACCUAGAAGUUUUUUUUUAUCGAAUAGACUUUCUAUCAUCUUGAACUUCUCCACAAAAAGACUGCUGUCGUAGAAUUUCGCAAAAUUGAUUAAAAACGGGAAUUAUUUUUUACAGAUUUUUUGUGCAAAUAUUUCUUACAAAUUUUGUGAAAGGUACAGAAGGACAUUAUAGUUUUGGCAGCUUUUCAAGGAAAUGUUUUUAGUAAAAUCAAGUUGGAUUGCUUAUUUUCCUUGUGUUAUUUGGUAGAUGAAUGCAUUAAAUAGGUUGGUUGUUUCCCACCAGAAAUCCAUGAUGCUUGUUUUAGACUUUGAACUAUAAAAACAAUGGAUUAAAGGGAAAUUUUAUUUGAACCAUGUAACCUCUUUUUACACCCAACUUAAAUUUAAAUUAUUAAUUGUCUAUUUUACCCUUUUGCAUAAUUACUAUUAAGUACAAAAUGAAAUUAAUAAUAAAACUCAAAUUUAUCAAUAAACCCAUUAAACCCUUCCAUCAGUUCUUGUUUAUCAUACGUUCAUUCUAGCUAAAACCCUAAUAGGUCUUGUAGAGAAAAACAAGUUUUUUUUUAUUGAUGGAUGGUGAUUUUGUAGUUUUGAAUCCUCCAACUAAGGUAUGACUCAAUUUAUGAAUAUUUUGUUUGUUUGAUUUCAAUUUUUUUAAAGUUUAGAAGAUGAGUAUUUGGGUUUCAAUUUUUUCAUCAAUCCCGAAUGGUUUGUUAAACUUUUUGCAAUUGGAAAAUUCUAAGAAAAACUUCUUACUAAUGUUCUUAGAUUAUAAACUUCCUUACUUGUUGAUAAAUAGAAGGGGAUGAAUUGUUUGAUUUGUUGCUUAUGCACAUUAGUAGAAAGAAAAAAGGCAAAUAUCUGGCUUUGGUAGCAGAAAGAAAAAAAAAAAGUAGUCAUGGAAAUGCUAGUGGGAAGAGGGGGUGGGGCAAGGACACCUUUUUAAAAAUAAAAAAUAAAAACAAUUCAAUUACAGAUGUUAUUUUAUAAAGGAAAUGGGUGUAAAGAUAACUUAACAUUUUGAAUUGGGUUUGAUAGGGUAGUUUAGGUAAUAAAUUUGGGUUUAAAGAGAGAUUAAUUCUUCAAUAAAAAACAAUAUGGGUGAAGAGAGUAAAUUGGGUGUGGAAAGAGGUUACAUGGGUUCAAAUAAAAUUUCCCUUAUUAUAUUAGCAUAUUCAUAAUUAUUUUUAAAGGUCGCCAAUUUGGAAGAGCUAGGGUUUCUGUAUGUGCCAAAGUUUCAUUCUUACCAUACUAUAUUCUCUAUGCUUUUUACCUAAACUUUUCGUUGCUUUUGGAAGCUAAUUAAUUAAUUAUGCUUUGAUAUAAUGUUAAUAUAUAGCAUAAUCCCUUCAAAUGCUAGUUGUUUAGUGCUGUGUAUAUAAGUUGUGUUUAAAGCAGGAUUUUAAUUUCAAAACCAAGGACAAUUGGAGCUGAAAUAUCGUGAGAAUAUUUUCCAAACAUCUCAUCCUUUAGAAAGAAAAAAAAUAAUGAGAAAGAAGUUCUUCCUUCAUUAGGAAUCUAAACCAAACUUCUCCCUUUAUUUAUGCAGAAAAAUCAAUUACUAAUUUCCACACAAGGAAUUUUCUCCUUAAAUUCUCAUUCAUGCAGACUAUAAAUAUCGACCACUCUAGCUUCAAUUACAACUUAACCUUAGAAAUUGUCUCUAGUCACCUAUUGGAAGCAACUUUGUGUCAAUCACAACUUUGUGUCAAUCAACUUUGUGUCAAUCACAACUUUGUGUCAAUCAACUUUGCGUCAACUUUGUGUCAAUCAACUUUGUGUCAACUCCUUAAUUCAAGGAGCUUGUCUUCCCUAAACCAUUUGGUCGGUUGUCUUCCCUAAGCCACCUUUGUGGUGUAAAUCAAGGGGUCAAUCUCCUUAUAUAUUGUUGUACAAUUGUAAUGAUAUUAUGAUGAAAAUACAAAACAUACUUUGAAAAUCAACAUGGUAUCAGAGCAGGAAAUCUAACCUGCCUCUGCUCUACUACUAUCUGAGGGUGUUCAAUCUUCAAAAUGACUGAAGACAAUUCGUUAGGAUCAGAAGUUGAAAGUUCACAUGUGAUUUCCUCCAUGACUGUGCAUGAGGUGGAUGUCAACCCAAAUCAAAGAUUAAGCUUAGUUGUGUUGAAUGAGUUUAAUUACUUGCCUUGGUCGAGAGCAGUGUCUCUGGCUCUAGGUGGAAGAUCCAAGUUAGUGUUCAUAAAUGGAAGCAUCAAAGUACCUGAUGCUUCCUCACCAACCUAUGAAUCCUGGCUUAGCAAGGAUCAUCUAGUUAUGUCAUGGCUCUUGAAUUCCAUGGAACGGAAAUUAGCUUAAAUAUUUAGUUACUCUGAAUCUUCAUACCAGCUAUGGGAGGCGGUCAAGGAAAUGUAUGGCAGCCAGAACAAUGUUGCAAGGGUUUUCCAAUUAAAGAAGGACAUCUCCGAUCUGCAACAAAACGGCAAGCUGUUUGUGCAACUCCUAGGAAGCAUGAAAAGCAUGUGGAAUGAGUUGGAAAUUUAUCGCCCUCAUACAACCGACGCAGCACUGCUACGAAAGAGAGCAGAAGAAGACAAGAUAUUUCAACUCUUAUCCAGUCUCGAUUCAACGUAUGAAGAUCUACAAUGUCACAUACUCAUGAACAAUGAACUUCCUUCCUUCACCAGUGUAUGUGCAACAAUCCAACGUGAAAAAGUAAGGAGGAAAGUUAAAAUCAUGGGUAUAAUGGCCAGUGUACCUGAGGCUAGGGCCUAUUUAACCAACAAGAGAAAGUACAAAGGAAAGCAUCUAAACUUGAAGUGUCAACACUGCAACAAUAUAGGUCAUGUUAAAGACACAUGCUGGAUUUUACACCCAGAAUUAAAGCCUGACUUCAUGAAGGACAACAAGGGUUUACAAAGGGUGAAUCGUACUACACCGCGCAAAUCAUGCGUCUGCCUCUAACUCUGAUAAAUUCAAGAACUUCACAGCGAAUCCAGCUGAACUCAUGAAUGAGUUUAUGUUUUACCUUUAAGGCAAGAAAGGAGGGGCUGGAAUUGACCGUGCAGACAACAUAGCAGAAGGGAACACGACGGCAUUGCUUGGCAAGUUUGCGGGUUUCUUGGCAGACACGAAACCCGUACCCCAAGAGAACAUGCAAGGUAUCAUGAAAGCCUUUAAAACUACUCUUAAAAUAAAUUUGUUGCAUGAUUUUUGGGUUUUAGAUUCGGGUGCCACAAAUCAUAUGACUAACCAUGUGUCUAAGUCUCAAAAGUUUGAAAAAUUCACUAAUCCUUCCCAAGUUUCAAUUGCAAAUGGUGAGAGUGUAAAGGUUUUAGGAAAGGAAAAAAUAAAAAUAAUGUCAGAUGAAAUUGAAUCAAUGGCUUUGUAUGUACCUUCCUUCCCAUUUCAACUUCUAUCUGUGGGAAAGAUUACAAAUACCUUGAAUUGCUUAGCUAUAUUUUCUCCUCACAAUGUCAUCUUUCAGGACUGUGCCACCAAGAAGACGAUUGGUGAAGGGUUUUAUUUAGAAGGUCUCUAUUACAUAUCAAAAGCAAUCCCAGAGGGUUCCAAGCCAAGUUCAAUCCCAUUCAAGAUAAUCAAUUGUGGCAUCAACGUUUAGCUCACCCUUCUCCACCCAUUUUGUCAACUUUAUUUCCAAACUUAGGGAAUGAUGCUAUUUCAUGUGAAACAUGCCACUUGUCUAAGGCCACUAGAUUAUCUUUUAACUCUUCCUUGUCCAGGGCUAGUAAGUGUUUUGAACUAGUUCAUUCAAAUGUAUGGGGACCAACUAGUGAAUCUUUUGAUGGUUAUAAGUAUUUUGUGAUCUUUGUUGAUGAUUUCUCUCGAGUCACAUGGUUGUAUCUUCUAAAGUCUAAGAAUGAAGUUAUGGAAGUAUUUAAGGACUUUCAUAACCUUGUUAAAAACCAUUUCUCCUCUCAAAUUCAAACAUUAAGGUCUGACAAUGGCACCAAAUAUAUGUCCCAUAUCAUGAAACAAUAUUUAAGCACUCAUGGCAUCAUGCAUCAAACAAGUUGUGUUGGCACACCUCAACCAAAUGGUGUAGCCGAACGCAAAAACCGUGACUUACUUGAAAAAACAAGAGCACUAAUGCUACAAAUGAAUAUACCAAAGAAAUUUUGGUCCCAAGGGGUUAUGGCAUUUGCUUAUAUCAUCAAUAGAUUACCCAGUCGAGUCUUGGAUUUCAAGUCUCCCCUAGAGGUCAUGAAAGGAAGUAAAAUUGAUCUCUUACACCUUCGAGUUUUUGGCUGCAUCUGUUUUGUGCAUAUUCAAUCUCAUCACCGAGAUAAAUUGGAUCCUAGAGUUGUUAAAUAUAAUUUUCUUGGUUAUUCAUCUACACAAAAGGGAUAUAAGUGUUAUAAUCCUCAACUAAGAAGAUUGAUUGUGUCCAAAGAUGUUCGAUUCCAUGAAACUAAUCCUUUUUUCAGCAAGUCACAUGAAAUCACAAGUCAAGCGGAUGACAUCUUGGAUAUGUUCUCACUACCAAGAAUCGAACUUGAGGCUCCUCAACAACAAGAUCCCAGUCAUGUCAACAUUGAUGCAUAUCUCAAUGAAAGUAGCAAUGAAGGGUCUCACUCUAAUGGUACACGGCAUGAAGAUGGUGAUAAUUAAGAUGACCCUCACAAUACGGUCCAAAAUGUGAACGAGUGUGAGACAACUCUUCCUGCUCCUCGACGCAAUCCAAUGCGUGUUAGGAAAACUCCCACAAGACUUCAAGACUUUGUCAUCUACAAACCCACACAUCCCAUCUCCCAAUAUGUGUCGUACAAGAGAGUGACACCAGCCCAUGCUGCAUUCCUAAACACCAUAUCAAGUUACAAGGAGCCUCAUAUUUUCCAUGAGGCCAACAACCAAGAGGUUUGGAAGGAAGCAAUGCAAGAAGAACUUAAAGCUCUAGAUCAACACAACACCUGGAGUAUCACCAAACUUCCCAUAGGCAAGAAAGUUGUGGGUUGCAAAUGGAUUUAUAAACUCAAAUUCAAGUCAGAUGGAUCAAUUGAAAGACAUAAAGCAAGAUUGGUAGCUCAGGGAUUCACUCAAACAUACGAGGUGGAUUACAAAGAAACGUUUGCACCUGUUGCCAAAAUGAACACCGUGAGAGUGCUAUUGUCCGUGGCAGUAAACAAAGGGUGGUCCAUGUACCAAAUGGAUGUGAAGAAUGCAUUCUUGCACGGAGAUCUCAAAGAAGAGGUCUAUAUGAAAUUGCCACCAGGGCAUCCUCAAAGCAAUGAACCGAAUUUGGUGUGCAAAUUGCACAAAUCCAUUUAUGGCCUGAAACAAUCUCCACGAGCAUUGUAUGCCAAACUAAGCUCAGUUCUCACUAGUGUUGGUUUCAUAAGCAGCAAUGCCGAUUCAUCACUAUUUGUUCGCACAUAAGCUGUGGGCAAAUUGGUUGUGCUGAUCUAUGUUGAUGAUCUGAUAAUUACGGGUGAUAAUGCUGACGAGAUCCUCAACCUCAAACAGUCCCUCAAACAAAGGUUUGCAAUUAAAGACCUUGGGAUAUUGAAGUACUUCCUUGGUAUAGAAGUGGUAACCUCGCACAAGGGGCUGUUUCUUAACCAAAGAAAGUAUGUCUUGGAUUUGCUCAAGGAAGCCAACAUGAGCGAUGCUAAACCGGCCAUUACUCCUCUCGACAGCAAGCAUAAACCUAGCUUGAAGGCCACGCCACUCACGGAUAUCAGCCAUUAUCAGCGAUUGGUGGGUAAGUUAAUCUACCUAACAAUCACUAGACCCGACAUCACAUAUUAUGUAAGUCUUGUGAGCCAAUUCAUGCACUCCCCGACUCUUGAGCAUUUGACCCUUGUUAAAAGGAUCUUACGCUACUUAAAAUGAUCGGUGGGUCGUGGAAUCCUUAUGUAGAAGAAUGACAACACACAAAUCAUGGGAUAUUGUGAUGUUGAUUGGGCGGGGAAUGCCAUCGAUCGCAAGUCCACAACUGGCUACUGUACUUUUGUCGGUGGAAACUUGGUCACAUGGAAAAGUAAAAAGCAAACUGUUAUAGCCAGGUUAAGUGCCGAAGCUGAGUAUCGUGCCAUGGCUUCAACUGCGUGUGAGUUGAUCUGGCUCAAGGGGCUUUUGUGCGAUUUAGGUGUUCCUACAACUCUUCCUAUGUCCUUAUUUUGUGACAAUCAGGCAGCCAUGCGUAUAGCAUCAAACCCAGUGUUUCAUGAGUGGACGAAACACAUUGAAGUUGACUGCCAUUACGUUCGAGAACAGGUGCAGUCGCAGGUGAUUCAGACACACUAUACAAGAAGCUUCGACCAACUGGCCGACAUCUUCACAAAGCCUUUGGCUUCUCAUCAGUUUCAGCGACUUCUGUCCAAGCUUGGAUCCAUAAACCUCCUGGAUCUAGCUUGAGGGGGCGUAUUGGAAGCAAUUUUGUGUCAAUCACAACUUUGUGUCAAUCAACUUUGUGUCAAUCAACCUUGUGUCAACUUUGUGUCAAUCAACUUUGUGUCAACUCCUUAAUUCAAGGAGCUUGUCUUCCCUAAACCAUUUGGUCGGUUGUCUUCCCUAAGCCACCUUUGUGGUGUAAAUCAAGAGGUCAAUCUCCUUAUAUAUUGUUGUACAAUUGUAAUGAUAUUAUGAUGAAAAUACAAAACAUACUUUGAAAAUCAAUAUCACCACAUCUUUUCCCUCACUAAUCUGUUGUUUUUCUGUGAACUCAUUUUCCAAAACUUGCUCCGUUUUCGAAUUUCUUACAAAUAUCAAUGGGAAAUAGUCAAGCAAAACAGCAAGAACGCCGCAAGCAUUACGAAUUUCCGGCCUCUCAUUCUCCAAACACUUCACUUCUGAGCCAUGAUCAUACUCGCUAUUCGAAUAGUAUCCAGGUCAAACUAACUAAUGUGUCUGGAGAUGAAGCUGUGCAGACUGGAACUGCACGAGUGCACAAGGGGGAGAUGAGAAUGGAAGGCAAUGAUGCAUUUUCUGACUACAUUAAUCGCACGAAAUUUAAGAUCAGACCUACGACCUCCAAUGUUGGUCUCGAGAAGGUUGCAUCCAUAGCAAAUGGUGUUUGUGAAACAAAGCAAGAAGAUAAUGAAUAUGAAAUGUUUACGGAUUUUGUCAAUCGCUCUAAGUUUAAGAUUAGAAAGACAUCCAGCAUCGGGAGCAGAAACAACAUCUCCUUUAAGAAGUAGGAGACCCAAAUUCUGCAACCACAUGAGUGGUGGUGAUUGCCGGCAUGUUCAUGGAUUAUGUUCUCCCUCUUUAAUUCUUUCUCAUAUUUACGUCCUGGAUACACAGGUUAUAUGAUGUUGUUGAUAAUAUAACGUGUAUGUAUUUCUCAGUCAAUAAUAUUAAAUCAUUCUUCUUUCAUGUGUUUCUAGAGCCCAUUAUAAAUAUGCUAUUUUCGAGCAAUCUUAGCGAAUGCAGGUAACGAUGAUGUUAGAAUGAAAAAAUAUCCCAUCAGUUUACCCACGUAAUUAGGGAUCUUUAAUACAUACGCCUAUAAAUCAUAGGACAGAGAUGAGGAGAUCCAUCCAUGAGAGGGUGACAAUUGUUCUCUGAGAUGAUAGUCUGUAGGUUCCAUCUUAGGAGAAAUUUUUAGUUGUGAUGGGAAUACAGAUGGUACAUCACGUGUUUUUAUGUAAGCGGUGAAAGUUUUUAAUUUUUAAGUUAUUAACAUUUUAACACACAUAUCCCACCAUUUAUAUAAAGACACAUGGUGUACCACCUCAUGUGACGGUCAUACUGAAAAAUCCCUUCCAUCUUAAGACUGCUACUGUAAAAUUUCCUUAGUAAUGACACGAUGAUUGGCAUACGGUUACUAAGAAAACAUCUUUCUAGAAAGAAAAUCUUCUCUGUAGAAUAAAGUUAAAAUGUCUUUUUCCCUUUCACAAUUUUCCAUGCGUUCUAGAUCACAGAAUUUACUCAUUUAGUAGAUAUUGUUUGUUGAGAACAGCGAAUUUAAUGGACAUGCUAUUAUUAGUAGCUUGGCACAUUGUUUUCCAGUUGAUGCGUUCAGGAGAAACCGUUACAGUUUUAGCAUGAAGCAUUCUAGCAUGGAAGAAAAGGAACAAAAAAAUGCAUCUGGAAAAUCACAUUAAGAUAUGUUUUAUGUUGAAAUACGAUGUCGAGUAUUUGCAAGGUUAUGUUAAAAUAUGAAUUUUAUCAUAUAUUGAGUCUAAAAAGGGUGACUUAAGCCAACAAGGCUCACAUGACAUAAUGAGUGGGGAAGGUACAAAGGAAAAGGCAAGAUGAGAAGAUAGCUAGCAUUCCUCGUAAUGUAUUGAAUGAAUUUUAAAAAGUUUAGUGAUGCAAAAAUACCACAAAAACUAUAAAAUAAGUUAGUUUUCCUAAUAUUUUUUUUUUGUUGAAAUUUUCCUAAAUUACAAUAAUGCAUAUAUGCAGAACUUUGCUAAACUGAUUAGAAGGACUCGCUGAUUUUGAUAAAAAUGUAAGGGCAACUUACACUUUACAACCUCAGGUUUAGGGUCUAUAACUGUAUACAACAUCUUCAAAACGCAUUCAAUGCCAUACAUCAACUACAAUUUUAUUUCAAUAUAAUACCUCCAUUAGAUUUUCAUCCAAUCCUCCAUUAAAAGCUAACGUGGCAGCAUGAUGUCUACUGUCAUGUCAACUUUUAAUGGAGGAUUGGAUGGAAAACCUAAUGGAUGUAUUAUAUUGAAAUAAAACAGUACAUGAUGUGUGAGAGUGAAAUAUUUUAAAGAUGUUGUAUAAGGUUGCAAUAGACCCCAAACCUGAAAAGAUAGAGUGUAAUUUAGCCAACAUGUAAUAAACCAUGCUAUUAAUAAAAUAACCCAUAAGUAUUUUUUUAUUAAAUUCAAAUUGGAAAAAAAGAAAAAUCCAAUAAAAUAAAAUAAUAGCAGGGAUCAUAUAACAUAGCCAUAGGACUUCCGUCAUCUUGAACAUCACCACAAUUUUCUUUGUGUGAUUUAGCAGAUGAAUACAUUGAAUCGUUUGGUUGUUUCCCACCAGAAAUCCAUCCUGCUUGUUUAAGAUUUUGAACUAUUAAACAAUGGAUUAUUAAUAUCCAAGGUCGCCAAUUUGGAAGAGCGAGGGUUUCUCCAUGUGCCAAAGUUUCAUUUUUCAACUACCAUCCAAGAUUCUCUAUCUUUCCUGCAUCAACUUUUCAUUGCUUUUGGAAAUUAAUUAAUUAAUUAAGCUUUGAUAUAAUUUUAAUAAAUAGCUGGCCAAGAUAUUAAUUACAUAAUCCUUUUCAAUUGCUACUUUGCUAGUGGCUUAGUGCUGUAUUAAUUAGUUGUGUUUAAAGCAGGAUUUAAUUUCAAAACCUUAGAAAAUUGGAGCCGAAAUAACGUGGGAAUAUUUUCGAAACAUCACAUUCUUUAGAAAAAAAUAUUGAGAAAGUUCUUCCUUCAUUAGGAAUCUAAGCCAAACUUCUCCCUUCAAUUCUGCAGAAAAAUCAAUUACUUUCCACACAAGGAACUUUCUCCUUAAACUUUCAUUCAUGCAGACUAUAAAUAUCGACCUCUCUAGCUUUCAAUUACAACUUAACCUUGGAAAUUGUCUUUAGUCACCACAUCUUUUCCCGCACUAAUCGGUUAUUUCUCUGUAGUUCCGUCACUCAUAUUUCCAAAACUUGCUCAGUUUUUCGAAUUUCUUACAUAUAUCAAUGGGAAAUAGUCAAGCAAAACAGCAAGCACGCCGCAAGCAAUUCGAAUUUCCCGCCUCUACUGCUCCAAACACUUCACUUCCGAGCCAUGAUCAUACUCGCUAUUCGAAUAAUAUCCAGGUCAAACUAACCGAUGUGUCUGGAGCUGAAGCUGCGCAGACUAGAACGGCACAAGUGCACGAGGUAGAGAUGAGAAUGGAAGACAAUGAUGCAUUUUCUGACUACAUUAACCGCACAAAAUAUAAGAUCAGAGCUACGACCUCCAAUGCUGGUCUCGAGAAGGUUGCAUCCAUAGCAGAUGGUGUUUAUGAAACAAAGCAAGACGAUAAUGGAUAUGAAAUGUUUACGGAUUUUGUCAAUCGCUCUAAGUUUAAGAUUAGAAAGACAUCCAGCAUCGGAAGCAGAAACAACAUCUCCUUUAAGAAAUAGGAGACUCAAAUUCUACAACCACAUGUGUGUGGUGGUGAUUGCAAUCAUGUUCAUGGAUUGUGUUCUCCCUCUUUAAUUCUUUCUCAUAUUUACCUCCCGGAAUAAACAAGUUAUGUGAUGUUGUUGAAUUGUCAUGUACGUAUUUCUCAGUCAAUAAUAUUAAAUCAUUCUUUUUUCAUAUGUUUCUAAAGCUCAUGUGCUAUUAUAAAUCUACUAUUUUCUAGCAAUCUUAGUGAAUGCAGGUAACGGUGAGUUAGAAUGUAAAAAGAUCUCAUCAGUUUACCCACUUAAUUAGGGAACUUUAAUAUGCAUAUAAAUCAUAUGAUUCAGGAAAAUGCGACUGCAUUUCUUCACUGAAGUGGAGAGAUACUUCUUAAUAGUGAUUUAUAUGCAUUGCAGCAAGCUUCAGACAGGUAAUUUUUCGCCAAGUCCUUGACAAUUGGCAUCUGUUUCUUUACCUCUUCGAAAGGCUAUAAUUUAAAAGGCGAGACUCCUUUGCAUGGCUAGCUAAGCAAAGAUAGAUGUUUGGAAAGAGCUCAACCAUGAAGUGCUUCUGCAUGUUGGUAUUCAAAGAUUACUAACUCAAUACCAAAAAUAUGUGGGUAAUAAGUUUUUCUAACUUUAUCACACAUUUCACUAUCACUCUCAAUACAAUUGGACAAGGAAAUAAAGAAGUAAAUGAAGAAGCAAGCUUUUGUGUUGGACAAACUGCACGGAAAACAAGCAAAACAUUUUGAUAUAUUUAAUAAGAGUUUACAAACUCAAUUGCUUACAAGCUGAAAUGGAAAUGGGAUUCUGAUGUAAUGUCCUAAAGCCUUACAAGAGGCUUAGUUAUACAUGCAAAAAGUGAUGAACCACUCAAGUGCUUUUAAUAAACAAAUACAACAUGUUAGCUUUCCUAAAAGCAGUUCAGCUAUCACAUGGUAGCACACUGCUGUCUUGUAAUCACCUUUCGACUGACAGAUAGAGGGAGCAAUGAUGUUUGUAGUUGUAGGUGAACAACCUGAAAAAACAACAUACUAGCUAAAAACUGUUCCACCACUUUCUGAAAAGUGUUUCAACAAUUUCUAAAAAGUAUUACACCAAUUUCGGAAAAGUGUUCCACCAAUUUCGGCCACUGUAUUUGAUUUGAACUUCCAACACUGCAUCUCUAUUUUUGUACGCGCUAAUUGGGGACCGAGAUAAUAUAAAACAAAUCCAACCUAAGCUACAUAUGUAGGGUUGACUCCAUUCAGGCAAUAAAACAUCUAAAUAAUAUUCUGGUUUGUACGCGCUUGCUGGAUCCUACUUUUAUGAAGAGUUUCUGGCUAAGAAGCUGGGAAUAUGAUUCCCAUACACCACUUCAAUUGAAGAAAUCGCUCCUUUACGAGUAAUUUUUUACUAUUCAGCCAAAGUGGUUUUCCCUUCAUUUCUGUAUAUAUUUUUCAGUUUUCGAGCAAGGAUCGCAAGAACAUGCUCUCGAGAUUUCUCAUUACUUCAUCUCCUAAACUUAGCAUACAAGCUUGCUCAAUUUAAUUUCUAACAUACAAAAACAAAAAAACAAAAACUCAAAGUAAUGACGUGAAAAAGAAAGAACUAGUCUGUUUAUUCCCUUCGGGAUCUUCAAUAUGCGUAGAAAUCAUGUGAUGCGGGAAAAUGUAACUGAAGUUAAAGACUUCCGAAAAGUGGUCAUGACUUUUAUUAACUUCAAAAAGGAAGGAAUCAGAUGAUAAGUUUUGGAUAAAAGGAAAGACUUGAUUAUGAUUGCAAAAACCAACCCAGUGUAAUAAAAGCUACAGCUUGGUGCAACAUAUAUACAUUUCCUCCAAUACCAUCCUCAGGAAAAUGUACUGUAACUGGGCUAGUGUUUAAACAAAUUCAUCUUUGAACUACGUAUGCAUCUCCAUUUUUGUGCACGCUUAUUGAACGAAAGAACAUAAAAUAAAUCCAGCUAAGCUACAGAUUUUGCCGGAUUCCAUUCAGAUGAUAAAACAUCUAAAUAUUCUAGCUUGUUUACAAAUAAUGCCUACAGAAUUUGGAAACCAGUAGUAAUAGGGUGCCCUUCCACUUAAAGAAAUUAGGGGUAAAACAAGUGGGAAUACGAUCCCAUAUAUCACUAAUUCAUUUAAAAAAAUAAAAUAGAUCUCCUUGAUGAAGAAUUUUUUAAUAUUUUAGACAAAGUUUCCCCUUCAUUAUUUCUGCAUAUAUUUUUAGUUUUCGAGCAAGGAUCGCAACAAUAUGUUCCCAAGAUACCUAACUUCUCCACCCAUCUUACAAAUAAGCUCAAGGUCUCUCAUCUUUCCAUUAAAGCCAGCGAAAAAUACUUCUCCUGCCAUUCUUCAUUAAGCUAUCAAAUUAUUUCGUCUCCUAAAAACCAAAUGGGCAAGAGUCAGCAUAGCUCAAACUCCAAGUGUUUGUGCAAGCACAUCUUCAGUUCUCCCUGCCCCAUUUGCAAAUUAGCAGCAGCACCAAUUCAUGCUUCAAAGCUGGAGAAAAACGUGAAUAAAGCAAAUAUGACUCCACCAACGAAGGUUCUUGCUGAGCUCAGUCAUGCCAAGGCUAGUUCAAAAGUUAAGAAGCAAAAGUCCAAACUAGUGCCACAAAUUACGAAAGCAAGUAGGACAAUAAGUCUGGGUUACAAUGAUGCAUUUUCUGACUACAUUAAUCGUGCAAGACUUAGGAUCCAAGCUAUGUCCAACGUUGGAAUGGAGAAGAUUGCGUCCAGAUCAAGAGAUGAUGGAUAUGAUACAAAGAAAGAAGACGAUUCAAAAGAUGCAUUUUCCAAUUAUAUAAAUCGUACGAAGAUGAGGAUCAGAAAGACAUAAAGCAUUGGAAGUAGAAAGAUCUUCUCCUUCAAACGAGAGUAAUUAAGGAGAGUGCAAUUAAACAAGGGAGAUUUAACGUUUGUAUAAAAUAAUGAUAGUGGCUAUGCUUAAAGUCUUGAUGUGAAAAACUUAGUAAGGGCUGUGUGUGAUUGUAGUGAUUAUCUUCCUAGUUUGUUUUUAUGCUUAAUUACUGUAUCAUUUACUUGUAAUUUCUGUGCUCCUCCAAAUAAUAUGGUGGUUCCUUCUGUUUGUUAUUCAAGAUUUCACUUUAUGGGCUGUACGAUUUCCGUCUCGGCACGUUAAAUCUAAAUCUUUAAGUUGAUUUUAUUCAGAACAAAGCUGGUGUCUUCUGUUCAAUAUAAUGCCUAGAGAAUUUGGAACUUGUAAUUGGCUGCGCUUGCUGGAUUCCACUUCAUUAAUUAGGGGUAAAGAAAUCUGGGAAUAUGAUCCCACACAUCACUUCAUUUGAAGAAAUCAUGAAGUACUCCUUUGAGAGGAAUUUGACUAUUUCAGCCAAAGUUUUCCCAUCCAUUUCUGCAUAUAUCUUUAGUCUUCGAGCAAGGAUCACAAGGGCUUAUAUACAUAUGCAUGCUCUGGACAUUUCUCAUUACUUCAUCUUCUAAACUUACGACAAGCUUGUUCAUUUCAAUUUCUUGAAAAACAAUGGCAAAGAGUCAGCAUAGCUCAAAAUCCAAGUGUUUCUGCAUGAAAAUCUUCAGUUCUCCUUGCCCAAUUUGUAAAAUGGCAGCAAUGGCUCAUGUUUCAGCCGCACAGGAGGAAAGCAAGACCAAGGAAAAGAUGCCUCCGCCAACAAAGGUUCUUGUUGAGCUGAGUCACACCAGUGCUAGUUCAGAAGUUGAGAAGAAAAAUCCAAAAGUAGAGGCACAACUUACAAAAGAAAAUGGGACAGAAAAUAUGGGUGACAAUGAUGCAUUUUCCGACUACAUUAGUCGCACAAAAAUUAAGAUCAGAGCUGUAUCCAAUGUUGGUAUGGAAAAUAUUGCCUCUGGAUCAACAGAUGAUGGAUAUGAUACAAAGAAUGAAGACAACGUGAAAGAUACGUUUUCAGAUUAUAUAAAUCGCGCGAAGAUGAGGAUCAGAAAGACAUCAAGUAUUGGAAGCAGAAAGGUUAUCUCCUUCAAACAAGAAUAAUUGGUAGAGUGAAAAUAUACAAGGGUGCUUUACAGUUUGCUUAGAGGAUCUCGAUCUCCAAUGACAGUUUCCAUAUUUAUGUCUAUGAUUCUGCUUAAACUCUUGAUUAAUAAGGGAUGUGUUGGUGAUUCCAGUGAUUAUCUUCCUAGUUUGUUCGAAUACUUUACCUGUAUCAUUGCUUGCAAUUUCAGUUUCUGUUCUAAAUACUAUGGUUCCUAGUUUGUUUGAAUGCUUAAGCUGUAUCAUCGUUGGUAGUUUCGGUUCUUCCUAAAAGAAAUUAUUGUCAUUUAAAAUGUAGGUAUUCGAGAUUUCACCUUACCGUUAUAGUUUUCAGCCACAGUUGUUAAUUCAAGAUCUUUGUUAGUCGGCAAUUUGGUAUUAGAUAGAAAAUUGAAUUUAUUGAAAUAGCUGUGAUUUUCAGAAUUACAUGAUCGAGAAUGAAGAACUUGUACGUAAAACAUGAAUAAAAGAUCGUACCAAGUGCACAAGGCUCCCGCUUUACGCAGGGUUUGGGAGAGGUGAAUGUCGGCUAGCCUUACCCCCAUUUAUGGAGAGGCUGCUCCCAAGUCUCGAAUCCGAGACCUACCGCUCAUGGGCGAAGGCACUUGACAAUCAUGUUCUACAACCAAGUGUUACAUUCACAAGCUGGUUUGGUAGCGUCGAAGCUGCUCAAGCAGAUUGCAAACGCAAACAGUAUAGCGGGUAGCGACAAUCCAAGGUGAAGACAUCUUUUCCAAUCUUUCCAAACUGUAGGAUUACCCUCUCUUGCUAUUCAGCCGAAACAUUGCGGGACCGAUCAACAGUUAACACAAGCUGGAAAUUUUUAACAGAAGCCACUGUAACACGCCCUCUAAAGUUAAGGCACCAGCAUUGUAGCUGCUCAUGCCACCUAGGAGACUUAUUUUUCAGCACCAUUGGUUCUGCACCCGGGAAGCAUCACCAAAGGAAGCAUCUUGACUUCAAGGAAGAAAGUGAAUUCUUCUUGACUUUAGGAUAGUUUAAGAUUCUCCCAGAAUAAUUUUCCACCCAAAGUAAAUCAUUAUUUCGAACUUUCAACUUAUUUAUAAUUAGUGGAAUCAUUACAUUUUUGAGCUUCGACUAUAAGACAGAGGCUCAGGGAAAAGCGGUAGAGAAAAAACCUAAGAAGACUUGGAACUAAUGGAAGACAUAUUGCGCAAAACCAAGCGCAUUGACAUUCUAGGAUUCAUACAGUCGACCUCACUUAGUAGGAUUAGGCUUGGUUGUUGUUGUUCGGUAAGCAUCACAUAAUUAGCAGAUUCGUACGUAUCAACAUGUUGUGUAAAACUGUUGGAAAGCAUCUAAAAUCUCAUCACGUCUAAUGUGCUUGCUAGAUUCUGUAUUUGUGGAGAUAAGGACGCAUUGUGUGUGGGAAUAUGAUCCCAAACAUCAUAUCACUCAGAAAAAUAUGAAAAGUCUACUUUAUGAAGAACCUUAGCCCAAUAUGUUUCUCCCAGCUGGUUUCUUUCACACACCGCCAACAAAACCGUGUCCCUGCCUUCCAUACUCCAAAUCCUUCACCAUCAACCCAAGUUCAGAAAGCUAAGAAAGAUAAUGAUGAUCAAAAACCCAUGUCAGAGCUCAGAAAUCAGAACUGGAUACCAAUGAUAUAUUUUCUGAAUACAUUCAUCUCGCAAAGAUGAAGAUCAAAAGUAGUAGGAAUGUUCGCGGUGGGAAUAGGAGUGCCUCUAAGUUCUAACUCCAAAUUAGAUGAUGUACAUGUUGAAAAGAAUGAGGAUCAUACCAGGGACAUAUUGAGUACAUUAAACGUGUCAAGACUAAUUAAGAUCAGAAAGACGACGAGUAGUAUUGGAAGCAGCAGAAAGAGAAUUUCAAAGGAGGGCACACACGAGAAAUUGGAUAGCCUUGAAUUUGGGUAGAAAAGGCCGGUUGACAAAUCCUGGUAUUAAAUGUUGGUACUCCCUGAAUAAUUUGAUGUGAAGUCCAAGUUGAGAAUAAACUUCUUGUUGCUGUGAAAUAGUUUCUUUCGCUCAGUUGUAUUUUUAUAUACUAUAGUUUGUGCCGGAGGCUUGCUUGAUCAAAUUUUCUCUGAACCUUACCUGUUUUUGGUUUAAUGGAUAUGUUUUGUUGUGUACUUCGCUGCUCAGUUACGUCAUAAUUAGUUUGAUAGAAUUUGUUAACAACAACCAAACCUUAUCCCACUAAGUGGAGUUGGUUGUAUGAAUCCUAGAACGUUACUGUUUGAAUUUAGCAAUCAAAUCAUAGAGAAGCUGGUAAGCUAGCCAAGCGAGGAUUUUCGAAAUGAAUGGUCACAGAACCUCAUGAGCGUUUUUUGAUGUACCUGUUGAUCUGUUGGGACUUUAUGAACUGAGGAGCGCCUGGUGUUUGUCCUACUUGUAAAGCCCCAUAUUUGCAAUUGCCCAUUUAGCUUCUGUUGUGCUAGGAUAAUACCAAACCAAUUGGAACCAACUCAAGCUAACCCACAUGAAAUAUAUCAAAUGAAAUGCAAGAACAAAAUAUUAAAGACACCAAGAUUUUAACGAGGUUCCUCAACAAUCAGUUUAACUGGAGUACGUCCUCGGAGCAGUAAGAGCUCACCCAAUAAUUUACCAUCAACCAAAUGGGAAUUUACAAAGUGUUGGCAAGCUAACAACCCAAAGGCCCAAUACACCCAAUAACUCUCACACACCAAAGAAACCAAUAGAGAGAAAUAUAAUGAAUAAUUUCCUCUCUAUACAAAGUUCAAAGCUAUUACAACAACAACUACCUUGGUGGAUGAUUACUAACCAAAGAGAUGAGCUCUCUUUCAAUGAGAGAUGAGGCAGUCUUCUUCGUUCUGCUGCUCUGCUGCUCUCUCAAAGAUGGGUUGCUAAAACAAAUGGUGUUCUCUUCCUUCUCUCACAUUCGGCUGCACACCUUCAUCCAUCCAAAAGCACCCAAAAACAAAACCAAUAAUAAGGCUACUUGCUAGCCUUUACCUUUUUUUCUACAAACAUCAUCAUGACCCUUUUUAUCUUUUCAACAAACAUAAUGAUAUUUUCUACCUCCUUUUGUUUAUUUUAUUUAGCCGAAAGUUGUUUUGUCAUUUGGCCAUUAUCCAACAGCUUCCUUACUUAUCCCUUCCACUUUUUGCCUGUGGCUCUUCCUCAUGUUGCCUACUUCCUCCUGGACAAAAGCCAUGGAGGCAUCCUUUCAGUCUGCAGAUAACGAUCCUCAUAUUCAAUUAUCUCAUCCGCCAACUUGUCCACAUUUCACUGAAGCAGCGGAUUUGGUUCUCAUGGAAGCAAUAGUUGCACUUCAGUAUCAGCAAACAACUUCUUCUCCUCUUUGGGUUUAAACACAUAAGGCACGUAAUAAUCAAGUCUCCUUAGGAUAUUGUCUUCGUCCGCCUUCUCCAUUCGUUCCAUCAAAGCAGCCCUAUCAGUGCAGCCCAGGACAAAUAUUGAACGUGAUCAGGAACGCCAUCAAUGAGAUUAUAUGGAAUCCAGUUCAUACUCAUCUGCUCCAGUGGGAUGGUUCAUUCUGUAGUAGCCCGAAUAGGGCAAAGCAGAUUUCUUGGGACGGUGGGAUAGGUGAUACAACAGCCACCAAAGCAGGUGGAAACGAAAAAUCAGAUGUCGAUGCAGGAUCCAGUUGUACAAACAGAUCAAGUUUAUUAAACAAAGCUUUUGGUCGACGUUCCAAUAUGAACCAAUAAUCUAUCCAUAUAGUGCACAACCACAAGUCAGAUAAUGACCAGUAUCUUAUGAAGCUCUCAAUUGGAAAUCUGCUGUUCGAUGUUUAUGGCAUUACUGACACCAGUAGUGAUCUCUUGUGGACACAAUGUGAACCAUGUGAUACAUGGCUACUAUAAGCAGAUUAAUCCGAAGUUCAAACCGAAAAAGUCCUCAACAUACAAACCUCGUGAAGUACGAGAGUGCCAUACAAAUAGCACAGGCAGAUGUUCACCUCAACACUCUUGCAGUUACAGUUAUGCGUUUGGAGGCGGUUCGAUGUCCCAGGGGGUAUUAGCGAAAAAGGCAAUUACCAUAAAUGUGAAACCCGUCCCAAAGUUUGUAUAUUGUCAUUUUUACGGAAUUAUGAAAUGACAUUUUUGCCUCUUACCCCCUUACCCUAUCCGAAUUCCCCUUCUAUUUUUAGAUUUUUUAGUCAUUAUUUUAUAACUCUUCCCCUUUCUCUCUCUCUCUCCUUGCCAUAUGGCACCACCUCAUCCCUUUUCUCUCCUUCUCUCUUCUUUCCCCUAAUCUCUCUCUCAACUCACUCACACUCUCUCUCUCAUCAAACUCUUUCUCCUUCUCCCCGAUCUAGACACACACCUUCACACCCUAAAAAUCGAGAACACCACGACGGCGACAACACCCCCACCAUCACCUCACCUAGUAUUUUCUUUCCCUCCUCAUCUGUGAAGCACAGAGAGCCCAUGAAAACCCUCCGGCGAGCCCCGUGGCUUCCGAGCCAAAAUCCGGCCAACUCCGGCCACUACUUAGGAAACCAAAGGUACCAUUCUAACUUACACUCUUUUAUCUUCAUUUUGGUAGGUAGUUUGUAGGUUAUGGUGGAGAAACGAGGUCGAUUGGAGCUUGGGAAGCUCCGACUUCCUCCUUCGUGAAUCCAGCCUGAGAACCGGGUCGUUUCGACCCAAACCCGAAAACCCAAUUAUUACUGACCCAAAUCUUUGGGCCAAACUUUUAACCCAAACCCCAUUUUAACAUAGGCUUUAGGCCGUCCAACUCGGGCCUUAGGCCCAUUAAACCCAAGCCUAAUCCUCUUUCGAAGCCCAACCCAAAACCCAAGUGACCCCAGGCCAUUGGGCAGUGCAAGCUUGGGCCUUCAGCCCAAGGACAAGCCUAGAAACCUUUUAGGCCCAAGCCCAAACCCGAUCCAACCCAGAACCCAGGCCGUGCGUGGGCCUGCAUAUGGGUGUGAGUGAGGUCGUGCUCGUGCUGGAUGAAGUGUUCUAAAUGAAGAGUUCUAUAUGCCUUCGGGCAAUACUGAUACCACUUUUUAGCACACUGUAUACGAUAUAUGUUUUACGAAGGUUUUAUGGCAUGCUAGGGUUUUUGGAAAACCUAUUACAUAUUAUACUAUUGAGUUUUCAUAAAACUUUGGGGGUUAGUACGUUGAUGAUAACUAUUUAGUAUUAUAUAUAUAUAUAUAUAUCAACUUGGUCCACUCACGUUUGUUUUGCACCCCCUCAUGACAUAGGAACGAGGCAUACGAUCUGAUCUACGAGGCAUUCCCCUAUCAGUGAUAUCUCGUCAUCCUUUCUGCUUGACAUCAUUGUAAUAACACCUUCUGUUUGUAUUUUGAAUUAGAUGUAUGCUCUGAACAUGUCAUGCAUUACCACUAUCACUAUCAUUGUUGGCAGUUGAAUAUUAUUUUAUAAGGUUUAUGUUGGAAUAUUACAUUGUGUAGUUCGUGCGAAAUUUACAUGCAUGUUUCACAUGUUCUCAGCAUAUGCAUUCAUUAAAUGACUUGCGUUACCCUCGGGUGUCCUCGGCCAGUACGUGGCCAUCCCGAUAUCCCCUGGACAUUGGGAUCGGGGCGUGUCAAUAAACCUACCUCAAUCUUGGGAAAGAUAGUGAAGUAAUUGGGACGGUGUGGUUACAACGCCUUUGAAGAUGACAAGACUCCAUAUUUUGAAGAAUGGGAGGAUUGGUAGGAAGCUACCGAUUCUUACCCAGUACUCUCGGGAAAAUACUGCCGACUUUAAAUUGAGAGAAUCAGUAGUUUCAUACCGAUCCUCCCAUUCUUCCUUCCAUAACGCUAAAUUUGGUGACGGUGUGGUUUCGACGCCUUUGGUUACCAAAGAAGACAAGACUCCAUAUUUUGUAAGCCCACAGGGGAUUAGUGUGCCUUUUAGUUCUUCAGGCAAUGUUUCAAAAGGCAACAUGUUCAUGGACACUGGCACGCCUCCAACCCUAAUUCGCAAGAUUUUUAUGAUUGUUUGGUGGCGGAAGUAAGAGGAGUCAGAUUCCGAUGACCCCAAUUGGAAUUGAUCCAUGUUUGGGAACUCAGCUUUGCUCCAAGGGCAAGAAUAAUCUGAAAGGGCCAAUACUGAUUGUGCACUUUUGAGGGUGCUGAUGUGAAGUUUAACACCAAUACAAGCAUCCAUUCCACCAAAAGAUUAUGUGAUUCGUGUAGGAAGCACUUUAAGUGUUUUGUCAGGGUUCACUUACAUUUUUAUUAAAAAUAGAUUUAAAAAACAUUUUCAUUAAAAGCACUUUCAACCAUUUUAAAAUUUCUUUCGAAAUGAGCCGAGAUUUUUUACUUUGCAAUGCAAAGUGUCCCUUGGGAUCAUGGUAUUAAUGGAAACUUUGCUCAGUCCAAUUUCUUGAUUGUUUAUGACCUAGAGAAAAAUGGUGGCAUUUUUUAAGCCAACUGACUUCCUUAAGAUUAACAUAGAAGUUACAUUACAUAACAAUAAAGGUUCUUUGGACCAUGAUUGUUAUCAGUCUUGUAUUUCACGUUUUGUUUAGUUUUCUUAAAUUUUUAAGUUGGGCGUAGUCAAGGAGAAAUUCUUGGAUUUGGUCCCUUGUGCCACGUCAGUGGUCCAUCCCUUCUCAAAAAAGAGGGAAAUCCUCGUAUUUGGUAACACCCAACCCUACACAUUUCACCCACCUCUUCAAGUCUACCGCCCUAUACAGGCAUCUGCACACAAGAAUCUCUCGUACUAAUACGAGCCCUGCAAAAGAGAACUGGGAUACGAGCCAACAUGUGCUAACAGGCCCUACAAAUUUAGGACUGCACCAAGGCUUGUUGCUCCCUUUUGGCACGGCAAAAUCUCAAAGUGUAUAACCAGUGAUACAAACACCAUGAUAUCACCGUCAACGUUGAAAAUUAUUGGUGUUAAUAACAUUCAUAUUAUGACAGGAUAUCCAUAUAACUUCCACGAAAUACACUAUAUAAUUACCGAACUAACUAACAAAAACUACAUAAAUAAUCACAAAGCAAGAAUUCCUUUGCACAAACGAGGGACGUACUCAGAUUGUAUAGCAGCAGCAACUAAUCUCCAAGCAGUGACACAAUCUAGAUGGGGGCCGCACAAGUCGUCCUAAAGUGGCCGGUUUGAUUGCACCGACUACAAUGCACCACUCGCUUCACACGGCCACGGUCUUCUGCUCGGACACGCUUCUUUCUCGGCCGUCCUGGUGGGCGGAGGGACUUAGGUGGAUUGAUUAGAACAUCAACAAUCAUGCUCCCAUUUGGAUCUCCCUCGGAUAACUCCUUCCAGAGGGACUUGUCUGGAAUAGGAUGUAUUGUUUGUGAGUAUGUCUUCCGAUAGGUGGUGACUGUGAAGCAGCUCUCUGUAAAUCGGUUGACUUGCUGCCUGCACGAUUUAAGUGCUGCAACGGCAUGUGCACAUGGCAAACCAUAAAGCUGCCAGGCCCGACAAAGGCAGCAACGGUUUCGAAUGUCCACUAUGUUCGUCCCUUCAUGGGAUAUAACUUCAAAUUCAGCCUCAUUAGCACGAAGGACCUGAUAAGUGCGUGCACGCUCUUCAGCGUCCAAAACACGUCUCUCUGCACUGGGCACAAGAAUCGAUGUCCACUGCAUACUGAUCUCUCGACGCUCAUUGAACCAAGUCAUCAGCUGCCUUCUGACGUAUUCCAUCAUCUGAAUGAUUGGAAGCCCCGACGCCUCCAAUAUCCAAGCAUUUAGAGAUUCAACUACGUUAGCUGUCAAAUGCCCAAAUCUUGUUCCCUCAAAAUAAGCAGUAGCCCACAAGCGAGGUGGAAUUCGCCGAAUCCAAUAUGCAGCAUCUUGUGAUAUCUCUUCAAUCUCCAAAAUUUUUGCUUCAAAUUCUAUAACAGUGAGAACUUGAGCAGCCUCCCAUAAAAGAUUAACAAGCAUUGUAUUGUUAAACUCUUUGCGGAAGCUAUCACUCAAGUGACGCAUGCAAAAUCCAUGAAAAGCAGUGGGAAAGUUUGCUUCAACUCCAUCUACAAUGCCCUUCUGCCUGUCUGACAAAAUUGUAAGCCUAGGCAUAUUUUCUGUAUUAAUCUCAAGCAGAUUAUGAAGUUCAGAAAGAAACCACAUCCAGUUAUCAUCAUUCUCCUCAUCAACAACCCCAAAUGCCAGAGGAAAGAGAGCACCAUCACCAUCAAAACCGGUCGCAAGAAGCAAAGUUCCCAGAUACUUACUUUUCAAAUAUGUCCUAUCAAGUCCAAGGAGGGGCCGACAAGCAUUCAGGAAACCAUAAAUUGAUGCCUGAUAUGAUAUGAAGAGGCGUUGGAAGCUGUUAUCAUCCACGCAUGCAUAGACGGAUGCAAUACUCCCUGGGUUUGUCCGUUUAAGCUGUUCACAAUAUUGUGGAAGCAAGCGAUACCCUUCUUCAAAGGAACCACGCAUUGCAGCCAUGAUACGCUCCUUGCCUCGCCAAGCUUGCUUGUAUGAUAAGGUGAUACCAUGAACUCGGUGAAUCUCCUCCAGUAUCUCCUUUGGCUUGUAAUUAGGGUUCUCUCUAAGCCGUUGCUCCACAGAAUUUGCAACCCAUUGAACUGAGGCUUGCUGAUGGCCAAGAUGAGAAAUUCCUCCACAUGUAUGAUUAUCAAUGAUGGUCCUGAUUGUGAAAGUUGGAACUCCAGGAAGCUUUGCAGCAUGAAUACGCCAUGGGCAUCCCUCAGUGGCACAUUUGGCAGUGAAGCGAGUCUUGUCAGAUUUAAUAGUCUGCAUUUCAAAGUGUAAAGCAAUAGCAGUAUCCCUUAGUGCCCUCCGGCAGCUCUUGACAUCAGGGAACUCUUGCCCCACUGACAAUUCAUAAUUGGGAUUUACAUGCGCCAUACGGGCCUGAAUCACAGGACUGGGGCUGAGUGCAAAAUCAGAUUCCUGGAUACUCAAACCAUGGGCAGAUUCUAUCCCCAUUUCAUUAUUUUGAACCAUAGACAGUUCCAUAUUUUCAUCAAGUUCUUGGCCCUCUGAGACGGCCAGUUCAUUGUUCUCUAAGACCAUAUUAUGGUUCUGAGUAGGAAGAGCCAUUUCAUGGUCAUCAUGAUUAGGUUUCUGAUCCACACCUAACUCGUUAUCAUGCCCAUAGCUGUGACCAUCAUCCCCUUCUUGGUCAUGGCUCUGUCCUAAACCCAAUUCAUGAUCAGCGUGCCCUAAACCCACGUCAUGGUCAUGGGCCUGUCCCAAACCCAAAUGAUGCUCACUAGACUGUCCCAAUUGAAAAUCAUGAUUUUGCCCAAGUCCUAUGUUAUGAUUGUGGCCCAGUACUUGCUGAUUCUGCCCAAGCGCUAAAUUGUGACUUUGCCCAAGCAUCAAAUCGUGGUUAGCCAUCAAAGAAGUCAAACCCGCUGUAUUAGGUAUAACAAAGACAGCAAUAGCUCCACAGUCCCCCAAAGAAACAACCAAUUUAUAGUUGGAAGCACUGCCUUUCAAACUGUACUAAAGCAUGUCUACAAAUCAAUAUAACUACGGUCAGUAAAGAUUCACAUGCCUCUAUCACAUCAAGCAUCAACUCUGAAUCUGCACACAUCUCCAUACACAAGAAAAUAAUACAAUAAAUAUGGAAAAUAUGAAAAACACACUUAGCAAGACAAACAGUCAGCAAUUUCAACACAUUCUUUCACUUCUCAAAUCUGCAUGCCUCCAAAGCAAGUAACAGCUACAAACAAAUGCCUAAACCGUGAUCAGAAGCAAUGCAAUUGAAAAGACAAAGAAAGUAGAAGAAAUUUAUACGUUGGUGCACCAAUUUGUCAUAAUAAUACCAUAAAAUAUAUAUACACACAACCCAAGCCAGAUUCAUGAACACAACAUACCAGACUGAACAACCCACCUUUCAGAUGCUUAUACCAAAUUUACAUCAAACCAAAAAUUGCCACGACAUUUUACCCCGACACAUUUAAAACAUACAACCGUGGCUAUUGGAGAUCUAAACCAGUCAGACAAACCAAGUAUCUCCUCUGCUUCUGCUGAGAACAGUAUAAAAACAAAUGAAAUCGAAAAGUCUAACUAAGCCUUUCACAUUCUAGAUCUCUUACAGCACAAGCGUCACUCGGGUAUCUCACCUAUGCCCUGGACAUUAUAUAAACCAAGCUUGCAUUCUUCAAACCGAAACAUAAAUAAUCAAAAAAUCUAUAAUUGAACUCCCCUCCCCCUUGCUUUGAAACAUUUUCCCAGCCACAGAGUCAACAUAUUUAUCUCAUUCACAAAUCACAGAACAGUAACUCUUACUUCAUACAAGAACAGUAACCACAGAAUCAACAUAUUUAUCUCAUUCACAAAUCAUCAUGGACAGUGAGGCCAAAGCAAUAAUCUUUCAACCAGACCAAUCGUUAAUCCCAAAUUAACAGCAAAACAAGCUAAUUUAACACAAAAUAACACUACCAUUAAAAUGCCACUCAAGAAAUAAACGAUCAUAUUCAUUAAACUUUCAAAUAUUAAUCAACUUUCGAAAAAUUGAAAUAAACUCCAAACAACACAGACCCAUCAAAGAAAACCCACAAAAUAAAAGCUCUCAACAGUGUAAAUCAAGCAAAAAGGUACCUGAAAUUAUCCAAACCCUAGCUCCAGCCAAUUAAAUUCACAAGCUCAUCUUCAAAAUCGAUCAAAUCGAUCAAAUCAACAAAAAGACGAACUGGGUUUUACUCAAAACACCAAGAAUCGAAAUCCCGAAGCUGCAGAAGGCGGAUCGAGCUCGAAAGUCGAGGUCUUGGAAUUGCAGGAAGAAGAGAAACAGAGGUUGCAGAAGAAAAAAGGGGCAAAAAACAACGACAAUUUGAAAAGACGGAGUGGAAGGAAAUUGGCGGGUAAAUUGUGGAGAAAAUCGUGAAGGGCAAGAAGGAGAGGAAGAGAGAUUGGGAAUUACAGGGGCAGAAGAGGCAGUGUAUGUUUAGGGUUGAGAAGGGAAAUACAGGUAUGAGGGCUUUGAGAAAAAAAGGGGGUAUUUAGGUCAAAGAAAUUGGGAAUGGUUUUUUCGAAUUCCUGUUUUGCCCUACUUGGUUUAGAUUGGCUUUGCCUUACCCGGAAUGGCAAAAGGAACACACAAAAGAAAAAUAAAGAGCUCGUCUGAAUGUAAUUUGAAAAUGAUUGAAAGUGUUUUUAGAAAAAAUCUUUUUAGGUUUUAAAGGCAUUUAAAGUGCUUUCUACAAAAAGCAUCAGUUAUGUGAUUCCUUCAGAAAGCACUUUAAGUGCUUUUUUAGGUUUACUUGCAUUUUUACUAAGGAUUUGUUCUAAAAACAUUUUCACUAAAAGAGUUUUCAAUCAUUUUGAAAGUAUAUCCAAAUGAGCUCUUUGUAAUUGUGGCCUAAUGGAUGGACUCAUGAUACAAAUUUGCAGUAAGAACACGUACUCAAUAUAAACACCUAAAUACGUCGUUGAUAUGAUCUAUCGAAUCACAUGUAUGGCCUGAUAAUUUGUGCAUGUGUCGCACCAUUCACUACUGGUAUUCCUCUUUACUUGUAAGUAAGAGGUUUUAUAUUCGAAUCUUGUGGAUGUCGAAUUCGGUACCAAAUUAGGUUGCAUGUUGUGUGGCUUAGCCGACUACCCCUCCCCUUAGUGUAAAAUAUAACUUUUUUCAGGCGGUGAAAUAAAUCGGCACACUCAUUUUUACCUUUCAGACACUUUUUUAGUUUUGACCGUCGAGUCGAAUAAACUAACCAUGAUCAAAAGAUAGAAAUUGAUAAAUAAAAAAAAUAUGUAGCAGAUAAAAAUAAGUAUGUGAAUAGCACUACUCUUUUUUUCCGUCUCAAAUCAAAUUGGUCUUUAAACUUCUUAAAAAAUUGGAGCAUUGAUCUUUGUAUUUUGAUAAGUUCGAAGAAUAUAAAUGUCAAAUGGUUUGUAAUAAUGUCAUUGUAGGCGAGAAUACAUCACUAGAAACAUGAGUAUUUUUCCAAGAUGCAGCUUCUCUCUUAAUCUUAUUUACGUUUGUAAUGAUUAUGUAGGGCAUUUCUAAUCCUUCCUAUGGUUUUGGGAUGCAUUCCGAUAUCACCUUUUCUGCGUACAAUAGUUUCACUAUAAUUUGGCAUUUUCAUUUGCACGCUAAAUCCUCCCUUGAAACCAUUUGAAUUUGCAUUUUGUACGUUUUAAACAAACAUUUAUAAAUGAACCCUGAAAUUGUUUUGGAUUAUAAAAGUGUUUUCUCGAGAAAUUUUAGAUAUUUAUUAAAAUUUUCAACAUGUUUCUUAUAGCUAAACAGUUUGUGAACAAAAUGUUUCUUUAAAGAACAAUUCCCAACAAGUAUUAACAAAACUAUUUCGUACCAAAAAAAUAACACUCAAAUUCUUCCUUCAAAAUCCCUUAAAAGCUAAAACAUAAAAGAGAAAAUUGUAAUAGUUAUCCAUCAACUUUAACCCAAUUAGAGUAAUAGUCCCUCAUCUAUGAUCAUUUUCGUCGACUCCAUCAGGACUUUUGUAAAAAAAUGAGUCAUGUUUGAAAAAUCAUUUAUGCAACUGUUGACCCUAAAAACUACCAAACCUACGUGGUGCGCAGGCCGAGUAAUUAGUAAGUUAACUACGUCAUUCGAUUGUAUGCGGGGCGUGCCAACUCGUCAGCCGAGCUCGGCCGAGGAGUAAAAUUUGUUAAUGUUGCGUUGGGUGCGCUGCUGACUUCUUGAUCUUGCGAUUGUGGCCAAGGAAGGAACAUGUCUUGGCCUUCGGGUUCUAGAGCCUGAAGACAAGGCUGCUAACUUAGCGAAGUUCAAUAUCAAAUUCAGCUUUCAAUGUGCCGAAUGUAGUAACUCGUAACACCUCACUUCGCCGAGAAUGCUGAUGAGAUGACCUCAACCAAUAAAGAUUCAGAAAUCUUUCUCGAUCGAGACUUGGAUAGGUAAUCAACCGUCCUCGCCGCAGUGCUGUUGAUGCUAACGGAAGAUGCUGCGAGAUCGGCUGAUUCUACGGUGACAGAGCUAUCUAUGCCGACUUAAGAUAUCACCGGUUGCUUUCACAGUGCUGUUGAUGCCAACGGAAGAUGUGUCAGCGAAAAGAGAAAAUAAAAAUCUCAGUUGUUGAGAGAGUUUGCGCAUGGCAGUUGUGUGUUGAAUUGGAGAUCCUUAAACGUUGUCUGCGACUUUGUAUUUAUAAGUAUCAUCCUCAUCCUGACAGCUCGCGUUGUAAAGCUGCCGCCAACAUCAAAGUCCUCCUUCAUAACAAUCUCAUGCAAAAUAAAAAGAUUGUUAUCACUUACCAACACGAAACCAUCUUGUGCUAAUUAAUAGCAUAUUAGCAUAUACCAAUUAGUGCUAAUAAGCAUCUUGACUUGAAAUAAUGAUAUGCAUGCAUGGCUCCACCAAAUCCAAUCACACGUGGCUAUCCAUCUCCAAUUUAACAUCUUCAUCUUCAUGCAAGCAUAAUUCGUCGGGCGCCGUCCAAAAGCAUAUACCAUUUAGAAUCCUUCACGCAUUCUGGCGUGGAUCAGACCCAACUGCAUGCAAUUACCCAACCUGAUUAAAAAUCCCCACCAUUAUCUCAAUAUUUUACGCAAGUAAAUCCUGAUCCAAACGUUUAAUGGCCUCCACGUGCUGGAACCGUGCAAUCACACAAAAAAUAUUCAACUUGAUCACAUCUCCCAUUUAUCCAUGUCGCCUUAUCCUUGGAUUUCGAUAAGUAUCACUUUUCCGUGUUGAUCAGGAUGCGAACCAAAUGUACAGUCCUUGUACAAUGCAACUUCUUUUAUUUAUUUGACUCUUCGAGCUGCAACUAUAAGAUAAUUACCAAUUUAAUAUAUUCCUAACAUAAUGGUAAUAUCAAAUAUGGCCUCUUUGAUCGAAUGACUCAAAGUAUACAGGCCGAGUUCGUGCAAAAUUACAGCCUCUUAAUAUUCAGAAUCAUCCGACCAUAUAGAAUUCUGCUCAUUCAACGGUCUCUAUCACUCGGACCAAUGGUGUAAAUUUGGGUCCAAACAACAACUAGGUUAAAGUUGAGGGACUAUUGUUCCAAUUGGGUUAAGGUUAAGAGACAAUUUCUCUCAUUAGGUUAAAGUUGAUGGAUCAUUUAUACAAUUUUUUCAUUUAAUUUUCAAUAUUUGUCUCUUGAUUCAGCCUCACGUGAGUGGCUCGUAACUCAUUGUGACAGAAGUUUUAACGGAGCUGACAAAAAAGACCAUAGCUGCACGUUUCAAGGAGUUAAAUGACCAAUGAUCAUAAAUUUAAGUUUAGGGAUCAUACCUACCCAUCAAGUGACAGUACGGUACGGGCCCGCUCCUGGCUCUGAUACUACACGCCCCCUCAAAUGGGACCUAAUUAAUGGGUCACACGUGGGAGAUCCACACAUCGAUAACCACUUGGAGCCAAUGAAACUCACCCUAUACGCGGGACCAAGGAACCCACCAUCAUCGCGCAAGGCUAAGGGGACCCAACCAUCAAGUGGCAGUACGGUACGAGCAUGCUCCUCACCAUUAUCGCGCGGGGCUAAGGGGACCCACUUGUCACAUCCCGGUUCGGGACGGAUCACUUCUCAGGCCCACUCCACCACCGUAGCACGAUAUUGUCCGUUUUGGGUCCCCACCACGCCUCACGGUUUUGUUUCUGGGAACUCACACGAGAACUUCCCAAUGGAUCACCCAUCCUGAGAGUGCUCUCGCGCGCUACUUGCUUAACUUCGGAGUUCCUACGAAACCCGAAGCCAAUGAGCUCCCAAAAAGCAUCGUGCUAGGUAGGGAUGAGAAUAUACAUUUAAGGAUCACUCCCCCUGAACGAUGUGGAAUGUUACAAUCCAUCCCCCUUAAGGGCCCGAUGUUCUCGUCGGCACACCACGGCCAGAGUUAGGCUCUGAUACCAUUUGUCACAUCCUGGCCCGGGACGAAUCACUUCCCGGGCCCGCUCCACCACCGUAGCACGAUAUUGUCCCCUUUAGGCCCCGACCACGCCCUCACGGUUUUGAUUCUGGGAACUCACGAGCAACUUCCCAAUGGGUCACUUAUCCUGGGAGUGCUCUGGCCUCCUUCCUGCUUAACUUCGGAGUUCCUACAGAACCCGAAACCAGUGAACUCCCAAAAGGCCUCGUGCUAGGUAGGGAUGAGAAUAUACAUUUAAGGAUCACUCCCCUGGGCGAUGUGGGAUGUUACACCUACCCAUCAAGUGGUAGUAUGGUACAGGCCCGCUCAUGGCUCUGAUACCAUGUAGAAUUAUCAGAGAGACGGAUCAUAUAGCUCACUUCCAAUAAUACCGAUAUUGUCUCCAACUUGGUAAUUACUAAGUGCACAAUCCGUCAGGUGUGAGGUUUUAUCACAAAAAACUUCCGUAUUAAUUGGAGUGGAAUUAGGUUAUUUAAACUCUUCUUUUGUCAUUGAUAAGGUGGAUGGAACAUUUCAACAGUACAAAGUUUCAAUCCGUGGCCUCAAUUCUUGCUACAAUUCUGGUUUUCCAAUUUACUGAUUUUAUCCCCUCCAAUUUUUCUCUGACAAUGCUACUCUUAUUACAUUUUUUAUACAACAUAUGUUGAUGGAUCCAUCUCUAUUUAAAAACUGAUACAAAUAUAAUUAAAAAAAAAAAGAACUUUAAUGUAAUAAGAGUAGCGUUGCUCAUCUUCUCUAAUCCACGUUUUCUUCUCUUUUAAGAAAUUUUUUUUUUCCUGGGAAUCUUUGCUGUUCGUAUUUUUUUUUGGUGGGAAAAUCCUCGCUGUUGAUCCAACAGCCCAUCCAAUCUUUUUUUUUCUUUUUAUAGUGGGCACUUUCGGUACCGUGUCGUUUUCUGCUUUAUGUGCAGCCGACUUUUUGGCGUCUGUCAGCCGACUUUUGAAUUCUAACAAUGUGGGACGGCAACGUGCGUCGUAUGUUGUUGUAAAGCUUCAAUCUUUCGGUUGGCCUUUCGUUGCUGUCUGUCUCUCGGAAACUCUCUCACGAAACCCAUUUACUCGUUUGUUGGUUUUGUUUUUGUCAUUAGUUCUGAAAAAUUCACUCAUUCCACUUCUUUCUUUGGUUCCACCACAUGAACAGGUCAGUUUCUAAUUUCGUAGUUAUCUGAUCCCAUUUGCUACAUUGAUAUGUUGUCGUUAUUUGAUCCUCAUGUCGUAAAUAUUUAAUCUUUAUAUUAUUUGAUUUUGAUCAGACUAAUUGCGAUUUGAUUUCUGAUCAUUUUAGUCAACUUUUCGAAUUGUAAAUGAUAUGAUCUGAAAUUUUUGUUGCUGAUUGAAUUGGGUUUCGGUUAAAUAAUCUUGUUUCUGUUGUGUAAAGUCAAGUCUGCUUAAUUAGAUUGAAUCAGGCCAUUAAACCUUCUGAUGGGGUAUUGGUGUUUCAAGUGUUGAAAUUUAAUUUCUAAAUUUUUUUGUUUUUUUGUUUUAUUUCUUAGAAUCUUUGCUUUUGGUAAAAUUGUAUCUGCAAUUUUGGAUAUUGGUUGUUUCAGAUUUUUUUGUUUGAUCUUCUGGGAUUAAUUGGUUACUGUCUGUUGAUAUGAAUUUGUGCUUUUUAAGGCGUUGACCCUCAAAAGUUUCUGGUUUUGAUGGAAAUUUAAGCUUUGGAUUAUGUGGGGUUUGAUCCUGUUAAGAAAUAAGAUUUGGGGUCAUUAGCAUUGGUUUAAUCUGCAUUUGAUCGAUUCUUUCGCUGUCUGGUUUUCGAUGAGAAAGGGGGUUUUCUGUGAGAAAUGAGGUUGUGUUUCAUAGAGGAAUGUUUUGUCUAUGCAUGUCACUUACUUGCCUUUUCUGUUUUCGGGUUAAGAUGUUUCCUUUUCAGAACUAUUUUCGAUCAAUGUAAAUUUAGGGAUCAUUUUGUUAUGUUUAGAUUGUUCUGUGGUGCUCUCUCAGCUAACGGAAGUUGUAAUGCAGGCCUAGAUUCCGGUGUUAAGUUAGCUGUUUCGUUGAUUGUUCUGAAUCUCCCUUAUCUUCCUUGUCUGCUGCGAGAAACGUUACUGAAUUUCACCUUGGAUUACUGAUUCACAUUUGAAGGACUGGAGUGUUUCCUCUUCGAGCACAUGGCUGCCUCGGGGACUUCAUCUGCAUUGUCGCGGAAAGCCCCCCAGGAUUGGUCUAAAGCUUUGGUAUACGCUUUUUUUGAAUGGCUGCUAAUUUUUGUGCUGUUUGUUGACGCCAUAUUCUCAUACAUAAUUACGAAGUUUGCUUAUUACUGUGGAUUGCGAGCGCCUUGCCUGCUGUGUUCAAGAAUUGAUCAUGUUUUGGGCAAGGAAAAACGUGGUUAUUAUUGGGACCUGUUCUGCGGCAAUCAUAAGUCAGAGAUUUCUUCGUUAGUUCUUUGCCGCGCUCACAAUAAGCUUGUAGAUGUUCAUGGAAUGUGUGAGAGUUGCCUCUUCUCAUUUGCAACAAUUAAUAGAUCCAAUGCUGAGACAUACAGAUUACUGGUGGGUAAGUUGGGGGAUGAUCCUAAAUUUGAUUUCGAUCAGGAUCCAUUACUUGGGGGUCAUAAUCCUUGCUCUUCGAGCAGAACAUUUUGUUCUUGUUGCAAUCAGCCGUGGAUUUCUCAGGGGGAUUCUCAAAAGUUGAUUCAGAAAAAGAUUUUAGAAUCUGAGGCUGAACUUGAUGUGCCCGCCUCUCAUGUUAUUGAACGUAAUCAUAAAGAACUGAGGAAACAAGAUGAACCAUCUAUGUCAGUGAGAACCACUCAUAUUCGAGACAGCGGGCUACACCCUUUAUCUCAUGUUGGAUAUACCGAGCUCAAGGUUAAUUCUGAUACUGAAUCGGAAGUUCAUUAUUCUGACGAUGAUGAUGAUGGGAGUGCUUUGAUUCAUGAAAGCCACGAUCGCAAGAAAGAUUUAUCUGCUCAAUAUGUUGAGCCUCGCGUUAUUACUCCAGCUCCGAGAGAUCCAACAUCUGUUCCUGAGCCUCCAGUUUUGGUGUCAGAGGUACAAGUUGAUCUUAUGUCCCACGGUAGUACAUCUGUGGCAUCUACUGUAGCUAUUUCCCAUGGACUGGAGGAACUUAACUGGCAACAAGUUGAGAGCAAGGCUGAUGGCCCUGCGUCAACUGGACCCGUUGUUGACAAUCCACCUCCAUCAUCAAGUGCAAUAAAACCCCCAAUUGAAGUAUCAAAACAAAGAAGUGAGUUUGAACUUUUUUCAAUUUCCUAUUGUCUUGAUUUCACUAAUUUUAUCCUCUCUGAAUUCAACAUAUUAUUGCUUCUUGUAUGACAUGCUUCUGCAUUAAGCUCCCAUUGUUUACUGCAGUAAAUUAACUUCACAAUCAUCAUUCUUGUCUGUGGUGGUUUCUCUCAGUUGACGUUACUGGAACUUGUGAAAUUGAUCAAACAUCUGUGGUGGAAUCUGGGGAAUUGUACAAGGGAGAAGUCGGGCCACUUACAACAUCUGAAACAGGUGUGGAAACAAACCCCGUUUCAAGCAAUGCUGAUGAGCAAGUAACCAAUGUUCUAGAUCUUGGUGAUGCUUAUAAGCUUGUUGUUGUUAGUAAAGGAAAGCAUUUGUCUGGUGGGGUUGCAGAAAAAUGGAUUGGGAAGGACUCUUCAAAAGUUAGUGAAGAUUUGAAGGUCUUGCUGUCACAAUUAUCUGCUAAUCGAGGGCUUGAGCAAUCAACAAGCACAAUGAGUCCGAGAUUGUCUGCAAAUAGUGGAAGAGUAAUGAGUCCGAGAUUGUCUGCAAAUAGUGGUGAUUUGAAAGCUUCCGAUAUUUCCAAUUCUUUUGGAAUGCAGAUACUUAACAAGAGGAUCUCACUUGAAAGAAAUGAGUCUGGGCUGUCUCUGGACGGGAGCAUUGUCAGUGAAAUUGAGGGUGAGAGUAUGUUUGAUCGAUUAAAGCGGCAGGUUGAGCAUGAUAAGAAAAUUAUGAGCGCUUUGUAUAAGGAGUUGGAGGAAGAAAGAAAUGCUUCUGCAAUUGCUUCAGAUCAAGCAAUGGCCAUGAUUACGAGAUUGCAAGAGGAGAAAGCAGCGCUCCAUAUGGAAGCACUCCAGCAGCUAAGAAUGAUAGAAGAGCAAGCCGAGUAUGAUAACGAAGCGCUGCAAAAGACAGAAGACCUUCUUGUCGAGAAAGAGAAGGAGAUACAAGAUCUAGAAGAGGAGCUGGAAUUGUAUAGGAAUAAGUAUCCCAAUGAAUCGAUGCUCGCUAAUAUAGCAGAGACAACUGGUGAUAUCCAGGCAAGGGAUAUUGGGAUUGAUCAUUCCGAAUCAAGCAACAUGGAACACAGUUCAAGUGUACAUAAACACGUGGAUAAUGGAAAGCCUCGUACACACAGCAAAGUUGAAGGAGCCGCGACUACUUUUGGUGAUGAGGACGGUGGUAGUGUAAAAACUUCACUUUUGGAUUUCGAAGAUGAGAAGAAACAAAUCUUACAAUAUCUAGAGAUUUUAGAGAAGUCACUUUCUUUGUUCUCUACCAAUGGGAUAAACUCGGAUUCGUCCAAAGGUGAUUGUUCUGAAAAUGGAGGCUCCCAAGAAGCUGUUGCAAAACGAGAGAAUGACCUGCCAGUGCAACAUGAAGUGUCUGUAUCAUCGUCGGGACAUACUGAUUCACUUGAAAACCCUCUGUCAAACGGCAAGGGACAGUGUGAAAUUCAUAGCAGCGAGCCAAACUCUGCAGAUCUCUGUCAAGUGAUAGAUUUAGCUUCUCUCCGGGUCCUGAGUUCCAAUGUGCUUAAGAGGUUGAAGACACUCGAGGCAGACCGAGAGUUUCUUGAACACACGAUUAAGUCGCUUAGAUACGGUGAGGAGGGACUGACGUUCAUUCAAGAUAUAGCUUCUUACCUGGGGGAAUUACGAAAAAUCGGGAUAAGAAGUGAUCAAACAUCAGCUUGAGUCUGCAACGCCAUAACAAAAGGUGAUUUCCUUAUUCAAACAUCAUAGUGCUCGUUUAGUGCUUUUAAAAUGAUUGAAAGCGCUUUUAAAGAAUAUGUUUUUGGGUUCCAAAAACACUUGAAGGAAGUACUUCGAGUGCCUUUUCAGGAUUCACCUGCAUUUUUACGGAUUGGUUUCAAAAACAUUUUCAUCAAAAACGCUUUUAGCUAUUUUAAAAGCACGUCCUAGUCUUGCCAGCGUAUCUUAUAUCUCUUCCGAGUACAUAGCUAGGUCUGUCAACAGCUGUUUCGUUUCAAUUUACAGACUCACGAGAAACAUAAUGCAUGGAUAACACAAGUAUUGCAGUUAUGUUCGUGUCGAAUAAAUUUAGAAAGUUUUUCCCUUUUCCCUAAUAUGUACAUUGUUCUAUGUCAGGUGGCGAGUAGUAGUUUUCACUCUUCUCUGUUUUGUCUAGUCUUUGGAGUGAAUAAAUCAAAGAACAAUCGAGGGACAAAAGAAACGGGAGGAGCACAAAUUGAGAAAACGGGAGUUUGAAAAUCACUACCCUCGAAGAUUUGGCGUAGCAGGUGUACAGUAAUAUAGCUUUUUUUUCCCUCCACAGUCGACAAAAAGAAUAUGAUAGGAGUUGAGUCCCUCCCUUAUACUAUACAGUUGGUCGUUUUUCUCCCUUCCACCACCUUUUGUGGAUAGAUUUUUCUGUGUGCCGGAAAUAAUUUGGUGCACCAAGUAUACUAAUACAAUUAGUUGGAAAUUUAAAAAAAAUAUAUAUAUAUUUUUUCACACUUGGUUUACUAGACAUGUUCCCCGGCACACUAAAACAUUUCUCAUGUUUUGGGUCUGACAUAUUUCACAUUUUACCUUGGAAAUAUGUAGAUUUGGUGAGCUUUUCAUUUUAAAUUUUAUUAUUUUUACUAAUUAGAGUUUGAGCGGGUUUGUUUUAUUUUUCUUUGUUUUGUUUUUUGGUUUUUAAUUUUUUUCACCUUUUUUUUUGGUUUUAUAUGGAGUGGAUGAGUGAUUUAAAUGUAAAACGGGUGAUUCUAGUGUGUAAAACUGUGAAGUAUCAAUAAAAAGAUUGAUGUCAUUUCGUUUUGUGCAAUUUCAUAGUUUAUUUUUUUUCAUAUUCAUCUUCAUCUUCAUAUAGAGAGCGGGGCGAGUCUUGAUGCAAUAGUAAAGUUACUCUUUUGUGACCAAAAGUUUAUGGUUCAAGCCUUGAAAAUAGUCUCUUUGUACAACAAGAGUAAAAGUGUGUAUAAUAGAUGUUCAUCCUGCGACUCUCGCAAAGUUAGGAGCCUUGUUGGCUUCAGGUCACACUUUUAUUCAUCUUCAUAUAAAAUUUUCAUUUCUAGUCUAUUCGGAGUCAAUAGAAGUCAACCUAAAUUGACAAAAUUCACAUCGAGAAUCAAUUAAAUUCUUUUUUUUUUUUUAAUAAACACUAAAAGGGUGAGGAAUUAAAUUCUUUGAAUAUGGAUAAUGCUUGGCUGUAUUAGAAAACGGGACUUUGUAUGUAUAGGCCCUUCAGCUUUUAAAAUAUAUAAACAACUACGUCAUAUAAUUUAUAAAAUAUAAUUUAAAUCAACAAUCUCCUAUCAUUAUUCUUUCGGUCAUUUGAUUUACAAAAUAUAAUUUUAAAUUGAUUGUUACAUUAUCUUUCGAGUAAAAGUCAUAAAGCUCGUUUAUUAAUCCGUAAUCAGAUUGAGGGGAAUUGAAUUGAAAAGAAAUUGAAUUGAAGAAGAAUUGGAAAUAAGUAGAAUCAGAAUCAGAUUUCUAUUGAAAUUGUUUACUUAAAUUGUCUAAAAUCGAAAUCGAAAUAAAAAUGACAUUGAUGUAUUAAAAUCGUUUACUAAUUUACAUGAAUCGAAAUUGUUAAAAUCGUCUACUAUCCCAUCUCUAUCUUUCCCAUAUUUUCAUUUUCUAUCGUGACCCAAUCCAUCUUCCCCACCCUUUAACCCAUCACCGCCGCCGCCUUUCCUGUAACCACCAGCCACCUCCCAUGUCACAACCAGCCGGCUCCCCUUGAUUUUGGUCGUCGCCAACCGACGUAAGAUCAAAACUGAAAUCCAAAAUCUCCUAUCUUCUUCCCUUUUGAUUUUGGUCAUGAAAUCUGUAUAAUCUUUCUUUGACAGGGACAAGUAGAGAUAGAGGUAGAAGGAGAGAAGGGUAGUUUACUCCCUCUAAAAUGCUUCAGCAGAGCUCUAGCUGCUGUGACUCCCUCUUCGCGUCGCCGGAUUUCGAGUUCAGGCCGUGUUUGGCCUCGCCGAAAACCAAAACCGCAUUCUCCUGCUCCAUGGAAAAGCACAAGCUGCUUCUCACUUCUGCUUCUUCUUCUCUCUCGCUCAAGCAGCAGUUCCAAACGAAGCGCAAUCCAGUCCUCGCCUGCCGAGCGUCACGUGACCCUCAACUGACUUCUGGGUAAAUGGUCGUUUCCCGGAAUUCGUUUCAAGUUAUGUAAAGCAACGAUUUUUAAGUAAAGUGGAAGAGAGUUCGAAUAUAUGUGUAGAAUUUGCAUAUUUGUUGUGCAGGAGAGAUGAUGCAGCCGUUCAUGGAGUUGCUGAUGUGAUUGUUGGUGUUCUUGGAGGAGGCCAACUGGGUCGGAUGCUCUGCCAAGCAGCUUCGCAAAUGGCGAUUAAAGUGAUGGUACUGGACCCACAAGAGAACUGCCCAGCUAGUGAGAUUGCCCAUCAUCAUAUGGUUGGAAGCUUCGAUGAUAGCGCAACGGUCCAGGAAUUCGCGAAGAGGUGAAGAUUUUAUGUUCUUGUAAUCCAAUUUUAUGUUUUGCUGUUUUGUGUAGUUGGAAAUAUUAUGUAUGGAGGGUAAUCGUAAUAGUGGUAGUUAGGUGUGGAGUGCUGACUGUGGAAAUUGAGCAUGUGGAUGUGGAGACUUUGGAGAAGCUUGAGCAGCAAGGAGUGGAUUGCCAACCCAAAGCCUCUACGAUCAGAAUAAUUCAGGUUUGUGUAUUCCUUUCGAGAUUGCUUUUUAUUUUUUAUUACCCCGUCAAUGCAUGUGAAAGUUAGUAUGUUACAAACAUUCAUCCAUUUGGACAGAUUGUUUUAUGUAUUUCAUUCGUCCCAAGGAACAUUCACAUUUUAGGCAUAAAAUUUUACCCUUGUAUUGAUGUGUUGCGACAUUCCAUGUAUCACUGCAUUGUUCUUUUGUAGUGUGUUAAGCAUUGGCUCGUGUUUUGAAUGUAACAGGAUAAGUAUCUCCAAAAGGUUCAUUUUUCAAAGCAUGAUAUUCCCCUUCCUGAAUUCAUGCAGGUUUGUUACUCAUUUCUCCAUCUGAUUGAAGUAUUAGCAUAAGUGAUAUUUGUAAAUUUGCUUUCUAUUAGAGAGCGCAAGAUUAUAUAUUAUUUACUGUAAAAUGUGGCUAAGGCAGAUAGAUGAUCUUGAAGGUGCCAAGAGAGCAGGGGACCUCUUUGGCUAUCCUCUUAUGAUAAAAAGUAAAAGGUUAGCUUACGAUGGACGUGGAAAUGCUGUUGCUAAGAGUGAGGAUGAGCUUUCAUCUGCUGUGACUGGUAAUAUGUUCAUCAAAACGGAUUGUGAUUGAUGUUGAUUCAACUAGUAAAGGCUAUGCGGUUUUUAUAGUUCGAAAUUUGUUGCAGCUCUUGGAGGGUUUGAUCGUGGUUUGUAUGUUGAGAAAUGGGCCCCAUUUGUAAAGGUUGGUCUCUAGAUGUUACUAAUGAGCAUUGUUUGAUGAUUUACAUUACCACAUAUUAAUCCCCAACAAAACACAAAUGAUUCUGAGUGAGUUCAUAAGAAAGAAACUUCCCUUACAUUUUUGGCAAUGUAACUGUAGGAGCUGGCUGUUAUUGUCGCAAGAGGAAGAGACAAUUCUAUCGCGUGCUACCCUGUUGUUGAAACAAUACACAAGUAAGCUGCAGAUUGAGUUUUGAAUUGUCUGUCACCAGCCAAUCUUUGAUCUUAAUUUGCUCAUAUCUGUUUAUUUAGGCGAUAAUAUCCACAUAAAGCCAGAUGAGUUCAUGCAUGUUUGGGGAUCAUUUCUGCAGGGAAAACAUUUGUCACAUUGUAAAGGCACCUGCUAACAUGUCAUGGAAGAUCAGAAAGCUGGCCACUGAUAUUGCAACCAGAGCUGUUCGUUCAUUAGAAGGUGCUGGUGUCUUUGCAGUUGAGUUGUUCUUAACAAAGGAUGAUCAGGUAACAAUUCUACCUCUUUUAACAACUUUUUGUUAUGGUUAUUUAUUCGUGAUCAAUUGGUUGACGUAUUUUAGUUCUCUUUUAAAAGUCUGCUGCAUUUAACUAAGUUAAGAAUGUACUUACUUCUUGUCAGAUUUUGCUAAAUGAAGUAGCUCCUAGACCUCACAAUAGUGGUCAUCACACAAUAGAGUCUUGCUACACUUCACAGUAUGAACAGCAUUUGAGGGCUGUUGUUGGUCUUCCACUUGGUGAUCCAUCGAUGAAAACUCCAGCUGCGAUUAUGUACAAUUUACUUGGUGAAGAUGAGGUCAGAUUCAAUUCAUUACUGUGGUGAUCACCAUCUGUCAGCAUUUAUCUUCUGAUUUUAGUUCUAAAAAAAGUAUAGUUUUCACUAUGCUCGUGGAAGAUAAAUCACUUAAUCAAAUGCUCGUGGCUGUCAUGCCUCCUUUAUGUUUUCAGGGGGAAUCUGGUUUCCUUCUAGCUCAGCAGCUGAUUGGAAGGGCAUUGCGUAUUCCAGGGGCCACUGUUCAUUGGUAUGAUAAGCCAGGUUAGAUUCUGCUUAUGUUCAUAUUACAACGUCUUGCUUAUUUCUGAGUCAUACUCAUACUCAAGAAUCACCUAUUUUUAUGAUAUGGCAGAAAUGCGGAAGCAGCGGAAGAUGGGUCAUAUCACCAUUGUUGGACCUUCCCUGGGCAAUGUAGAAAAGCUUCUAGAGUCGAUGCUAAAUGAAGAAAGAUUCGAUUGUCAGUCUGCAGGUAGUUGUAGUAGGGUGGUUUCACAUGAUUAUUCUGAGGUUGCAGGUCCUAUGUCGUUAUAUGGUUAUACGUAUUAACCUUAGCUGGCUUCAUUAUUACAUGUACUAGUAAAUUUCAUAAAUUACUAAUCAUUGUUGUGGAAAAUUUACUGUAAAAUUGGAAGAGUGCAAGGGGAAUGAAAAUGGUUGAAUUUUGUUAAUAAGUCUGGGGAAAGAAAGGCAAGUCAACCAUGCUAUCAACAAUAUUAACCUUUUAUAUCUUGUGGUGAUUCCCUUCCUUUCCUUGUGCCUGUAGCUGCACCCCUUCAUAAACCAAACUGCAUAGGAUCCAUUUUCAUUUCAUUGUACUUUAAUGGUCUUAGCAAUUUUUUAAUCAGAAUAAACUUUUUUUAUCUUCAAAUCACCUUCAUUUUGCUUUUUAACAAAUGCAGUCACACCGCGUGUUGGUAUCGUAAUGGGCUCUGAUUCAGAUCUUCCUAUUAUGAAAGAUGCUGCAAAGAUUUUGAAUAUGUUUGGAGUACCUAAUGAGGUUUGCUUUUCACAUGUUACUGUUCACUGUCAAUUGAUCACCCGUUAGUUGUGAGCUAUGCCUUUUAUUACUAUAUGAUGUUAAUGUGAUAUAAUUUCCAGGUGAGAAUAGUUUCAGCACAUCGAACUCCUGAAUUGAUGUAUUCUUAUGCCUUGUCUGCUCGGGAGAGAGGCAUUCAGGUCAUCAUUGCUGGUGCUGGUGGGGCAGCUCACUUGCCAGGCGAGUCAUAUAAACUAUGCUUCAAACAAAUUCGUCUGGUGCAGUAUACAUUAUAUGGGGUUAACUGAACUGCCGCUUGAGUUUUGCAGGCAUGGUAGCUGCCCUCACUCCUUUGCCCGUUAUUGGUGUCCCUGUGCGCGCUUCUACAUUGGAUGGAAUCGAUUCUCUUUUAUCCAUUGUGCAGGUACAUAUUAUUUCAGAUUGUUCUGCUUUUUUCCCUAUAAACUUAUGCUUUGUUCCAUUUUUCUUUUCAUUGCUGCAAUUUUCUAUACUGUUUGACAAGAAUAGUAUGUGGGUUUGGUUCUAUUGUUGGUACUAGUGAGUUUUUAUGACUUGUCAGGAAAGUUAUUUUGUAUCUGUGUACAUUAUGCAGAUGCCGAGAGGGGUCCCAGUUGCAACAGUAGCUGUAAACAAUGCCACCAAUGCUGGUUUGCUGGCAGUUCGGAUAUUGGGUGUUUGUGAUGCUGAUCUAGUAUCAAGGUAGGGUUCUUUCACUUGAUUACGUCUUGGUUUAAAUUUUUUGUAUUCGGUUGCCUGCAUUUUCUAACGAGGUAAUUGAACUCGAGUGCAGAAUGACCCAAUAUCAAGAAGACACACGGGACGAAGUUUUGACAAAGGCAGAGAAACUACAGAGAGAUGGUUGGGAGUCUUAUUUGAAUCCUUGAAGUCGGAGAAACUACAAAUAUCUGUUGAAUUUUUGCAGUUUCACUUUCUCUUGAAGUCGGAGUUUCCUGAAUAUGCUAUUAAACAUAGUAUCUAGUUGAAUUCCAACAAAGAGAUGUGCAAAAGAAUAUCUGACAGCUUAUUUAGUCGCAGAAAAAUGAACAGAAGGAUGUUUUUGAAAAAAUGUGGAAUGAUUUUGCUUACGAACAUCAGUUGACAUUGUUCGGAUUGAGGUCAAAUCGGGAAAGAAGUACGAGGAAAAGACGACUCCGGCAGGGGGCAGAUGAAGCCUUCUAUUUAUGUUUGUAACAGUAUAAGAUUUGUGUAUCUUCUAAUUUUGAUCAGUCUUCAUCUUGUGACGAAAAGGGAUGGUUUUGUAUUUCUUGUAACUUCCAUUUUGAUUUUUGAAGUAGUUUGGGUGCGUUUUCCUUUAAUUUACAUUUGGAAUUUAAAAAAAAAAAAUUGUCUUAUGAACUUAAAAACUUUUUCAAUUUGACAUAUGAAAUAAAAUUUUAAGUGAUUUGUUAUAUUAACUUUUUGAAAUCAUUAAUUUGUUAUCUUAUUUUAAUUCCGUUAAGUUUUCCAUUCAAAAUAGGUCAUGACUUCUGUUUAGUGUUAUUUUGGGUACUUUGGCACCUAUUACUCCGUUAAUAAGUUCAUGAUUAAUUUGUCAUAUCACUCUAAUGAAAGCUUAACUUCGUUAAGUUCUUCCUAGAAACUGUAGAAUUUGAAGGAAAUCAAUUGAAAAUGUUGUUAACUUUAAGCAAUAUUUUCUCAUUACGUAGUACCUUUGAUUUUGGACAUGAUCAAGCAAUGGAUUAAUAUUUUUGAUAGGGUAGCAAUGAGAUUGUCUAUGUUUUUUUUUAUGGACAUGAUUAACCACGUUGAAUUCUCAAAUCUUGCAAUUAGUGAGUCUAAUGUACUUUUUAAGUAGUUUAUCAUAAGUUUUUUAACCGAACAAGACAUGUUUUAACUAACCAAAAUUUAAGAGUUAGUACUAAAAAGAAGCAAAGAACUAGUAAAAAGGAGAUCAAAAAUCCGAAAUGAUCCUGGACAUUGGAAAUUACAGAAAUGUUGAAGAAAGUUGCCAAAUGCCCUCAUCAAUACCUCAAGGUAGUAGAAAUACUACGGGUACUGUGCUCGUCCAUAUGUUUCUGAUCAUGUCAUGUACUUUAUAAAGAAUGCUGUUACACCAGAGAAAUGGUUAUUGAUCCUGUCCGACGUCUGUGGCUUUGUGGGACGCGUCCCAGUGAAUUUGAGGAGGAAGUGAAGGUAAGAGAACAUCCCAUGGUUUUAAUGAACAUAUAUCAUGCCAGGAAAUUUAUCGAAAGGAAGAUACAUAGUGUAGACAUCGAAAUUGUGGUGAAAUAAAUGUUCACCAACGCAUUAAAAUUUUGACGUGUCAAGGCAUACAUGGCAUAUGCCACGUGUCAUACAAAUUGUACACAUGGUGUGUGACUCAACAAAAUAAAAAGAAAUACCCUUGGAGGAUUACACAAGUUUUUCUUCUCAUUUUGGGCAAUGACAAGGCAAGCACAUUUCAAUCCAUUGAAGAUCAAAACAAGGUUUUCUUCUCAUUUUGGGCAAUGACAAAGCAUGCACAUAUCAAGUUUAAAAUGAUAUUAAGUGGAAAAUUAGGCCAUAAAAUUACCACUUCAAGUUUAAAAUUGUAUUAAGUGGGAAAUUAGGCAAUGGUGCUUGGAAAAGAAAAAAAUAUUUUGUGGUGGUGAUUCAUUCUCAAAGCCUAUAAAUAGGCUUCUACAUCAAGGUAUCAUGAACCAAUUCACAAAAAAUACAUUUCUCUACUCCCAAAAUGGAAGAGAAUACUCCCCACACAUCCAAAAUCCUUGAAGCUUUGAAACUCUAAAGCUUUCAAGCAUCCAACCUCCCAAAUUCAAGCAAAUCCCGAAGGAUCAAGAAAGCCCUCUUCGUUCUUCGUCAAAUCCUCCUUCAAGAUCAAGCCCCAACGGCCCUUGAAGAAAUUCCUCCUUCAAGAUCAAGCCCCAACGGCCCUUGAAGAACUUCCACCAAUUCAAGAUCAAGCCUCGACGGCCCUUGAAGAAAGUGUUCAACAAAUCCACACAACUGUUCAUCCUAAGAUCAAGCCCCGACAGCCCUUUUGGAUCAACAACAUCACCAAAUCCACAUAACUGUUCAUCCUAAGAUCAAGCCCCAACGGCCCUUUGGAUCAACAACAUCAACAAAUCCACACAAUUGUUCAUCCUAAGAUCAAGCCCCAACGGCCCUUUGGAUCAACAACAUCACCAAAUCCACAUAACUGUUCAUCCUAAGAUUAAGCCCCAACGGCCCUUUGGAUCAACAACAUCAACAAAUCCACACAACUGUUCAUCCUAAUAUCAAGCUCCAACGGCCCUUUGGAUCAACAACAUCAAUAAAUCCACACAAUUGUUCAUCCCAAGAUCAAGCCCCGACGGCCCUUGGAUCAACAAUCAUCCAUCUUCAAGAUCAAGCCCAAAAGCCCUCGAAGAUCCGUUCAUCAUUAUUCUUCAAGAUCAAGCCCCGACGGCCCUCGAAGAAAGUGUUCUUCAAGCCCCAAAGGCCCUUGAAGAACUUCCACCAAUUCAAGAUCAAGCCCCGACGACCCUUGAAGAAAGCACCAUCGUUCAUCAUCCGUUCAUCCUAAGAUCAAGCCCCAACGGCCUUUUGGAUCAACAAACGUCGACAAAUCCAUACAUCCAACCGUUCUUCAAGAUCAAGCCCAAAAGCCCUUGAAGAUCCGUUCAUCACUGUUCUUCAAGAUCAAGCCCAAAAGCCUUUGAAGAUCCGCUCAUCACCGUUAUUCAAGAUUAAGCCUCAACAGCCCUUGAAGAAACACUCAUCCUCAAGAUCAAGCCCCAACGACUCCUUGAAGAUUCGCUCAAAUCCACCUUCAAAGAUCAAGCCCACGGCCCUUGAAGAAACUUCCAAUAGUUCAUCCAAAAUCAAGCCUCGACGGCCCUUGGAUCAACGAAACAUCCACAAAUCAACACUUUACGGAGAUCGAAUCAGAGGAUCAAAUUUGAGAGAGAUUGUAACCCAAAAUCAUCAAACACAAAUAUUAUUUUGUGCAUGUUGUUCUUGUCUCUUUCCUUUCAUGAAUUUUCCGUGUUCACACAUAGCCCUAUAGAAUUUGUAUGCCUUUAGUAAGUUCAGUGCUUGAGUUAACCCUAUAGAUUUUAUGAAAUACUAGGGUUUGAUUUUGUUGGAGUUUUCUAGUAUAGUUAGAACUUAGAAACUAUUCUGCUUAGUUCUUUUGAUUAGGCACACCAGCCAGUCGUGGUGCGGUCUAUGUUGUCGAGGAAGCACAAUCUGAAAAGCUCAGAUUUCAGACGAGUCGUCUUAAGGCAACGAGCGGUCUCAGUCUGCCUGAACGCGGUUUAACUAACUAAAUUAUUUUUGGAAAGUUACCUGAAUUAAGAUCUAAAUUAGAACAAUUGCAACUCAUAUAGUAGGUUGCAACCUUUGGAAGUGUCUAGAUAGUUUAGAUACUAGAAUUUCAGAAGCAUUCAUUACGUCUGUUGUCUUCGAGAGAAACAUCCAAAUUCUAAGGAUCAAGUGUUAGAACCUUUUAAAGACAGUUGAAUUCUGGUUAGACAUCGUUCAUUGAACCACUACCACACGACUAGGUUCAAAAUUCUGUCCAAGGACAUUGCCAAAAAAACCUUUUAUCUUUUUCAUAACAUUCUGAUACUGGAGCUCAAAUUGAAUGAGAAAGGGUUGCUCCCUGUUUAAGUCAAAUACAAAGGGAGCUAAUAUAUAUAUAAGCUGUUGGUCAGACAGAAAAGCAGCAAAGCUUGGUGCGUGGAUGGAAGUUUUCAUAUGGCAACGACUUUGACUUAUUCUUUUCUUUUGCUUUUAAUUUGCUGAUACAGAGUCUUUACUCAUCGUAUGAACGUCUAUACCUAGUUUGUAUGCAAUUUUAGUGAACUUACACGCCGAAAUUAAACCUACUCAACCCUAAUAUAUAUAUUUAGAACUUUCUACAUGUUUAUAGGGUUUUAAAAUCCGCAUUACAGCAGAAGUACCCUCACUAGUAUUUAACUAAACGUCUAAAACUGUAAAAAUAAAAAUUAAUAUAUGCAUACAUGUCAAGGUGCAAUGAUUCAAAUUUUUAUUCUUUUUCAUCUUUUUGGGAUUGAAAAGUUUUCCAAAAAAAAAAAUCAGUAUUGACUCAUUCUGAACUCUUUUUAUUUUUCAUUUUCCACAGGGCCUCCACCCAAGGCCAAUUCCUGCAUCUCAAUGGAUGCUAGUUUAGAAGGUCAAACAUAUAUGAAGUUGACCCCCAUGCAAAUUGUCCAUCUUAAACUACUUUUAUUCAUAUACUGAAGUAAAAAAUAUGGACCGGUUCAAGAGGGUCCAUGUCCUUGAUUCAGACCCUCUUUAAUUCAAACUUCAAACACCGCGGCUCCAAGUCAAAUUAAUCAGACAAUUACACACACUAAACUCCAAUUAAACCCUAGUUAAUUACUAAUAACUUCACAAUUUUGCAUCUCUAUAUAUACCAAACCCUCCCGCUUGUUUAUAUGUAUACAAAAAUGGCCUACUUUCUUCGGGAAAAGUACCAAAAUGCUGCAUUGGUUUUCACAAUAUUGUUAUGCGUAUCUGGUUUGCAUGAAGUUUUGGCUAUGAGGCCAUUAGAGGGAGAUCACUGGACGGAAAAUGAUUCUCUUCACGUUCAAUCGCUUCGGGGCAAGGCGCCUCCGACCGGGGGCAAUCCAUGCACUCAUAUUCCAGGACGCGGCAGUGGACGGUUCACGUUUGAAAUGGACGUUGCCGGUGGAGGCCAUGCAACGCAAGCGGCUUUCCCAGGCCACGUUAUUAGUUUUGCAGCAGCUACCGCUUCUGUUACGCCGAUGACACUGAAAAGCAAAGACCAAUUUAGUUCUUGAUCAUCAUGGUUUCCCAAGGUAGCUGAAUUCAACUAUAAAUUGAAGAAUAUUGACAUUAUAAUUUGUAAUUGUAAUUAUUUUAUUUUAUUUUUUUGUUAAAUUUGUUUAUUCUUUAUUACCUUUGGGAGCUAGCAACCAUGCUAAAGCUCAAGCAAGAAGCAUGGUUGUUUCUCAACGAUGUUAAGGAAUCUGAUGUUUAACAAUUAACAGCAACAGUGCUGAAUGAAAUUUAAAUUUAUACGAUUCUUUAUUUUAAUUUCUGGACACUUUUUUUAUUAAGUUAUAUGAUGGACUCAGAGAAUGCAAUUUGUCAUGCAUGAACAAUUAUGUAGGUUGUAGGUAUGGUCUCCAAGGUUUUAGUCAUAGGAUGGCAUGGGCCUUAAAUUUUUGUACGUCUUUCCCUGUUUCAUGGGGCUUCUUUUUGCGUAUCAAAAACCCUACAAGCUAGCUUAUCUUCGACAACAUUCCAUUCUCGAGACAUGGUGAAUCUAUUAAUUAAAUAAAUAAAUAACCAAAUUGGACGAUAUUAAAUUAGAGAAUUAUACAAAACAAACCAAAUAUUGGACCAAUUGAGAGAAAAACUUACGAGGUCCUUGAAGAAAGUUGAGGUUCUACCAUAAAACUAAUUAGUAAUAUAGGAAAUAGCCCAACCUACUAAUAAGCUCAUGCAAGGUCUCUUCUCUCAUUAAUGUGAGAUUUAUUCUCAACAGUCUUACCGUCCUGAUUUUGGUGAACUCUUGAAAAAUUGUGUCAGAAUUGUCAACAAGAUGUAUUGUUAUUGCUUCAUUGUCUCCAUAAUCUUCGAUGGUAUCUUUGCUUGGUUUAUUGUUGCUCACAUAAGCAAUCGAGCAAAUCAUUGACAAUGUCGUAGUGACAAUGGUGGAUACUUCUCAAUAGAAAUUUCUGAGCAACAUUGUUUGGACAAGGAAUUUUGGGCUUCUUUUUUCAAUAGAAAUUUCUAACAUCUUUAAUGAUAUAGACAGUUGAGUAGAAUAUCCUCAAAAACAUCAAGAAGUUAUUUCAAAUGAAACUUUCUUGGCUCCUCCCAUAGCCUCUCUAGACCAAAAAAUAAUAGAUAAUCGUAACUUGUCACUAACUGUUCCUCUUCAUUAAAAAAAAAAAUUCACUUAUGUUUCAUUUGGCUGCCCUAAUCUCACUUUUCUCAUAUGUGAUACCAAAUUAAAGUACCUGCAGCCUGCAUGUCAUUAUUCUCAACGACUCAUUGGUGCAGGGAGUAGGAGAUUCCUCAUUGACAAAAAAAGCAUAAAAAGAAUGAAAAAAACUGGCUCUUUUUCAUUAUCUUUUUAUUCGAAGCCAUGAGAAAUGAAAAGCUUUAUUUUGCAGAUGUACAACAAGUCCUCCCCUCUGAAAACAUUUUUUUUAUGUGCAAGAAAAGCGUGUGUUGUACGUGUCCUACCAAAAGCAGAGUGUCAAGCAUAUGGGACAUGUUUCUGCGGCCAGUCACAUGGUUAGUGCAGCACGGGAGGAAAACCAAGUACCUUAAGGGGCCCAUAGGACCUAUUGGUUUAUAAUAAUUUUAGUGUAAACGUCAUAUCGUCAUAAACAACUCUUGUAUUUUUAUGUAGAAUUAUACAUCAUAUUAUGUAUAACACAUGUAGUUAUCUAUUAACAUUAUAAUUUGAUUAUAUGGCGAAAUCAUUUAAGUCUGAUUCAAAAUAUAUCACAUAUGACAUCCAUCUAACUUAUACAUUAUUAUUUACUCAUAUUGUAACACGUUAAAUGAUAACAUCGCGUAACAAAAUCCGGUUACAACAUUUCUCACUAGCUAGGAGCCCAAUGGCCAUGGGAUUUGUUGUGUGAAAAAGGGAUUUGGAUCCUCUCCUGAGCUAAUGGAGAGGAUCCUCCUGAUCAGUUAUCAUGAGCCGUUGGAUAAAAAUCUAACGGCUAUAAUUAUUAUAACUUUAAAGAGACUCCCUGUUUAUAACCGUUGGAUAAAAAUCCAACGAUCCAUGAUAACUGAUCAGGAAGAUCGUCUCUAUUAGCUUAGGAGAUGAUCCAAAUCUGUCAAGGGCAUGCGGUGUGACAUUUCAAGCCAAAAUGUACAGGCAUGUGGAACUGUGCAUGUCAUAUUGAACGGUAUUCUAGCAGCAGCUUAGCUGUCGUUUUGACUGCAAAACCUAGGCAUAUAAUUUGGCACCCUCUUCUAUGUGCUUCGACUCCCACAAUCCCACCUCCCACCACCACAAUUCUAAGCAAAUGGUUGGUGACUUGGUUAAAUUAUUACUUUAGUAAACUACUCAGUAUUUAAGGAUUCUCAGCCGCUCAGGCUCUGGGGGAGGAGAAGGGAAAAAUCUUCAGUGUGUCGGAAUCAGUAUGGCGAGAACGUUUUUGGCGCAUCAACUGGGGUAAUACAAGUGAUUAGAAAUUUUUUUCAAAUAUUUAACCAUUUGUAUAUUGUCAUAUUUAAUGUACUAGAUCGUAUUUCUGACAUAUUGAAAAAUUUCUUCAAGAGAAUAAUAAAGGAUCAAUAUCCCUAAGAAUAAAAGAGUAAGACCAUGAGAUUAUGAGUUGUUAUGCUUAUGACGUUUCCAAUGUUGAUACUUAAAUUUAUAUGAUCUCUAUAAGUUGUUAUACUUAUGUUUAUUUCUAAUAUGAAGACUCAAAUCUUAUAUCGGAGUGAGUAUUAAUUAGGGUUUCUUUAUUGGGGUAUAAACUCAACACUGAAAUUCAAAUUAUUUCAAACUCGCACUCUUGUUUGGGUUUGAUUGUAACUUUUUAGUUGUGUCAUGAUUGUGAUCAUUCUUCCUUUAACAAAACUAAACACAUGCUACUGAUACAUUUAUAUUUUUAGCUGUUUGAUUCUUGAUCAAGAAUCCAACAAAAAAUAUCUAAACUUAAAUAUACCAGUAUAUAGGAAUAUAGGAUACAUCCAAACAUGUUACAAUUUUCGGGUGUUUUACGAAUAACAUAGAUAUUCAGCCCAAUGCAAACAUUGCAUGGGAAGUCAAUUUUGAUGCUUGAAACAUAUAACAGUGUCCAUCAGAAAAGAAAAAUGAAAUGAAAAACAUAAAAUUUGAUGCUUUUCUUCGAUAUACAGACUAGGAAAAGACCAAGAAAGGGGCAGGACAGCUUUUACGGUUUGAUAUAGAGGAAUCAAUAUUUACAGUCGCAAACAGUAUUCCUCAGAAUUUGAUACUCUAUUUUUUCGUACAUUUUUUUUUUUAAAAGAUACUAUAGAUAAUAGUAGCUUUAGUGAUUGUGCCAAGGAACGCUUUGCAAUCCUCCACAAUUUGUCUGAUGGAAGACAAAUUGAGGCUGGGAUCCCUCAACACCUUCACAAUCUGAAAUAAAAAACCCCUAUCAAUUUCAAAAACUAAUUUGGUGUUAUUCACGCACUUAUUUUUAUUUUCUAUAUUUUUUUGUUAAUCUUUAUCUUUCGAUCAUUUUCAUUAUUCGUAUCAAUGAUCGGAAAUUAAAAAAUAUGUGUAAAAAGUAAGAGACAGUGAAUAUAGCACCACCAAAAGAAUAUUGCAGAUUAUGCAGAUACUCUUAAAACGAAGAUGUUUCUGAACCUGGUCUGUCUUACUCUGAACAUUGCACAAACCCUUUUUAAACUGUGCACGAAUCUUAUUCUUAAAUACUGUGUUUUAUUAGUUAAUUACUUAAGUUUUAUUUAAUUGUUAUUUGCAGGUGGAACCAGAAACCAGAUAUUCCUGAUUAGGAUAAUGAUACUGUGCUUUGUAAGUUGUAUAAAUAUAUAAUUUCUGGUGUAAUUCCAUCACGUCCUCGGUAAUACUGAGCUAAUAAAAUAUAUAUUAGCAAACCCUAAUAUAAUAAGAUGAGACACAGUCACGUGGCUGCUAUCGAGGAGACAUACUUUCUGGGAUCCUGACAGGUGCCAAAAUAAUAUAUAUCACCCCACCAGAAAGGCCUAGUGAAUCCUGAGAAAAUAAAGUACGUACAAUGUGUAAGUAUGUAUAUAUGGGGUGAAGUUUGAACUAUGGGAGUCUCCUGUCGCUGUACAUGCCAGCCCAGUAAAAUUCCACCUACGUAGUACAAGUCCAAAUGCUAGGGCCGGUCCUGAGUUUUUGGGUGUUCAGUGCGAAAAUUCAAAAUAUGUCAUUUUUUAAUAUGGAAACAUAUGUUUUAAAAAAUGUUUAACGAGGGCUAGAACCCAGUCGAAGCUGGGGGGCCAGACCCUCACGUCUAAAUUAUAUUACUUGAGAAAAUAUACAACGGGGGGACAUAGUACCUAAACCCCGACAAUCAAGAAUACAAUCAUAUACAACCACUCCUAGCAAAACUCCUUGAAAUUUCAACCUUUAAGAAAUUGUCUUUUGCCAUUUUUUGAAGCAAAAUCAUCAAUUAUAUCAUCAUACUCCAAGUCUUCAAUCUCAUCAUUUUCAAUGCAUAAGAUUGCUAAUCCAUUUAGCAUAUCUUGAGUCAUAAUGGUCCGCAAGUAAGAUUUUAAUAAUUUCAAUUUUGAAAAACUUCUUUCUGCAAAUGUCACGGUUACAGGUACAGUCAACAAUACACGAUAAGCAAUCAAGACAUUAGGAUACAUGUCAGUUUCUUUUACAAAGUUUGCUAUUUCCAUAGAUGUCCAAGGGUUAUUAGAGAGAAAUGCUUUUUCAGGUAACAUUAUUUGCAACACCUAUAAUUCGGAACAUAAGUCGGCUAGCAAAUGCACAGGGUAGUCCUCCUCCACAGUUUUAUUCUUUUUGACUCCUCUCAGUGAAAACUACAGAGAUGAGAUCAAAUUAAAGAGUAAAAGUUUGGGUUUCUAAUCCGAAUGUGUGCUAUUGGUUGAUUAUCUCUGUUCAAAUGCAGCAAAUAACCAAUCGUUUCGGCCUUAGGGUUUAUGUUAGUCCCUAGGGUUAUAUCUUCACUCUUUUAUCUCCUUCAGAGGAUAAAUAGACAAUAUGAAUAACUUUCAGGGAAUGAUAAUAUUAGAGUUGUGAUAUUUUUAAUCAUGCAAGCACAGCUGUAUUGUGUUGAAAAAUUAUAAUGCAUGAUAAUAUAUACGUGAAUAACUUUGACACUGCAAGAAUAGCUUUUCCUUUAUAAUUUCUCACAAACCUUAUAUAUCUGGUUAUUGGCCAUAGCAUCGUUUAGAGACAAAGAUUCCUAAUGCUAAUCCCCUUGUGGUUAUCAUAAUUUUGGUAAUGUAGCAAUAAGUAUCGUGCAUGCAAAAUGCUACAUCAGUCCCUUCGAACGUGAAUUUAUUUAGACUAUUCAUAUUUAUGUAACUCAGAAAAAUAUUAACAAUAAGAAUCAGUACUCGUCAUUGGUGCAUUACUGUAAUGGUCAACCCUAGUGAGACUUAAAAUCACGGGUCGAAGAGCGGAGGAAGCUCUGAGUGCUAGUACUGUAGUAGAGUACACAGCUGUGGAUAUAUUUGGUCUUGGCAGAUAAUAAUGAGCAGGCGCGUGGAGGUAGAGCUAGGGUUUGGCACAGGUCGGGAGGGAAGGUCAGGGACAAGACCCAGGACCUAUAUGCAAAGGUGGCAAAAGCAUGAAAGUGAAAAGAAAAUAAAGCUAAUGUCUAAAGGAAAAGACAGGAUUGGAAUAUGAGUGCACAAAACAAUUGAGACACCCCAACCACCCAUCAUGUUAUCAAAGCUGGGAGCACCACCAACCUUACCUAUAUAUCCAUCUAUCUCCUUCAUGAUUCGACUUCACUAGUUAUUCACCCAAUAAUAUGUUCCUUUUCUUUCCAAGUUUCCAACACUUCCAACACCAUGGACUCUGGGAUCCCUCUUAAGUAGAGCACAAUAAUUCAUAUAACCUAGCUUUUUAUCAUAUCUCAAAUUAUAACCCUAAUUUUUAACAUGAAAAAGAUAAUUAUUGUGGAGAUAUUUAUGUACAAAAUGAGGUAAAUGUUCAGAUUUCAUGCUACAACGCGUGAUUGAUUUAUAUAUUGUUUCUUUGACAUCAAGUUUUACCUUUUAAUUAGGUAUUUUUUUUAGAUUUGGCUAACGAGUCGUGUUUUUAUGUCAUACAUAUUAUAUUAACAGAUAAUAUCGUGUCAAAUUUGUUAUCUUAAUGACUUUUUAACAAGUGACCCGAUAAUAACCCAACUCAUUAACAGGUUGUGUCGUUUCGUGUUGGGUUAAUGGAUCAUGAAAAAAAAAUUCAUGUCUAAUGUAUAGACUUGGAAAACGGGUCAUGUUCUUGUCGUUUAUAUGUCAUAUCAUUUAUCUUAACGAGAAUCUUAACAUGUGAUAUCCUUUAUCUUAACGAGAAUCUUAACAAAUGACCUGAUAACGACUCAAUUCAUUAAAAUAUAACCCAAUAAUGAUCCGAAUCGUUAAUGGAUUAACCUAAAAUGUAUUUUUUUUCGUAUUAUUUCAUGUCGAAUCAACGAAUCGUGCAAAAAUUAUCAUGCUCCACAUGCAUAAGAAAGUAGGGCAACUUGUUACUGUUAGAAGGAAAGCAUCGUAUGGUAAUGGUUCAGUGACUUUCUGCCCCCACAAACCACAAAAAGAAAUUGGCCAGUUAAGCCUUUUAAGAUUUUUUUACCUUUUUCACAUGACAUUGUCACAUUGCAACCGUAGCAUCCCACAACCACAAAAAUGCAACGUAGCAUCUCGUCCCACAACCACAAAAAGAAGCUGCCCAGCAUGACCUUUUAAGAUAGUUAGAUGGCAUCGAUAUUCUCCUUCCGUGUUAUCAUAUUUUAACUGUUUCAUAUAUGAUUUGCUUGAAAUACUGCAACAGGGGCAUCCUAUGCAAUUUCUUCCCAACAACCAGAAAAAGAGCUGCACAGCUGACCCUUUUAAGAUAGUUAGAUGCUCUCCUAUUGGAGGCGUGUCUAGCUAAGGGGAUAACUUUGAAAGUAGCUUUAACACUGCUAAUCCAUUGAGGGGCCCUAAUGUGGGAGAGAGAGGAUAGUUGGAAAUGGAGUGGAGGACACCAGAGGUACAGGGCAUGUGAACUCUUUGGGGUCCCUUUCCUGGCCAGAUCAUAUUUUCCAGGAUAUAAUGAAUACAUGAUGAAUCAUGCAUGCAGAUGUCAAUAUAUUUCUUCCACAUAUUCUUCAAAUUAUUAACUGAUAUGAGAUAAAAAAACCAAAUAAAUAUCUUCCUUUGAGGUGUUGAAGUAACUGGUCGAGUAGUUCAGCAAAUAUCACACUUCUACUUAACAAAAAAAGAAUAUCUACAUUUCAAUUAGUGUGCAUCUGAUGAUAGUGCUGUAAGAUCACCUAGCUGUGACAUUUUGCAGUAAAUUUCUUGCCUAGCCAAAUGGAAAUGAUUAAAACACUUGCACAAAUUCCAUGGUUAUAUGCGGUAACUUUGUUUUCAGGAGAAAACUAAUCUAGGGCAUGAUACAUAUUUCUAUAUCAACCGCAAUACCGGAUGUAUGAUACAUAGUUAUGUUAGAGUAAAUGUAGAAAUAUAGAGAAUAAUCCAAAUGAUGACUUUGAGAUACGAAUUAGAUCGUUUUCUUAAAGUGUUAUUGACCCCCACUCGAAUGAGUUUGCUAAAAGGUUCUUGGCAAAUCACUUCCAGGAUAUAACAAAGUAUGGAAUAUUCGAUUAGCAAAACCGAAUUAUAUUCCCUUAGAAAUAACUAGAAAUAAAUUGGAUGAAAGUAAUGGAGAGAGAAGAGAGUAAGGAAUGCAUAAACAAAUCUCUGAAAAAUUGUGUGUGAAACAUUAUGUCACAAUAGGUAUUUAUAGGUAUUAAAGCACCCGUUCAUCGAGUUCUUUCAUUUUAGUUGAAGAUAUACAACAUUUUUUAAUAGUGUUAACCCAAAAGACAUGUCUUUUAUUUAGAAUUUUCAGAAAAUAAAUAUUGACUAAUUACAUCUUUUAAUUAUACUCAUACAAUUUGAGUAAACAUCAUAUCCUUUAACCAAGAGUUGCAGUUCAACCAAAAGAUACAAGGUUGAAUUAAUUCAACCUUUUGGUACUAUUAUUUUCGCACACACAUGCUGCACAAUGCAGCACCAAGUCACAUAUAUAUAAUAUAUUUAACCAAGAGUUGCAUUUCAACCAAAAGAUACAAGUUUGAAUUAAAUUCAACCUUUCGAUACUAUUAUUUUCGCACACACACACAUAUAUAUAUAUAUAUUCACUCGAAGAGAAGCAACGGUUGGGCAUAUACCUAACUUUUCAGCUAACGAAUAUAUGAAUAUAUUCUUGAAAUAUUCAACAAGUUAUAUACUCUAAGUAACAUUUAAAAAUCUCUUCGAUAAGUUAGAGUCCCUAAAUCUCCAAAAACUGGGUUUUUGGUAGGAAUAAUUUACCAAUUCAUUUUAAAGUAGUAUUGGUACAGUCAAAGUACACAAUGUUGUAUAUUGUGCAGGAGAAUGAUUUAUGCACCGUUUACAAUCGGAGCCCAAAUGUUAUAUUUUGGGGGUGCGACUCAAAGAUUCUAAAUAAAUAUCCAAAGAAUAAUGGUUUGCUUCUGCUGCUUGCAGUUGCAGAAAAAAGUAUGGAGGCAAGCAAGUGAGAUCACGUGCCUAGCAUCUGGAGAAGAGCGCGUGGGCAUUGGUGAAUGCAAAGGAAAGGAGCUUUCAUGGAAUCUAUUGACGAAGCCAAUACGUCAUCAACAUUAACAAGAGAGACCACAAGGGUUUGGACUCGAGCUGUGAGUCCAAAUAACCCAACAGGCAUUGCUGUGACCUAUCAUGUAUGAAAAUCCUAGUGGUACUAACAUAUCUUCAUGUUUUUUGGAUGGGUGUGAUAUUCACACAUUCCUUUUCACUUCUCUCAUACUUUUUUAAUUUUCGGCCGUCAGAUCGAAUGAAUUAAAGAAGAUCAAAGGACAAAAAUUAACAAGGGUGUGAGAGAAGUAAAAAGGGGUAUAUGGAUAGCACACAUCUUUUCGGAUAAUCAUAUCUUCAUGUUUGAUCCCUUGUGUUCUUUAUAGGUCACGUUGCCCUAGUUACUUUAUAAUGAGCAUGUUGCUGUGACGAUAUCUUAAGUCAAUUUCGUGUUAUUAAGUAUGAUUCAAGUGGAAUUAAGUUAUAAUUGUGAUGCUAUAACCUAUCACCUAUAACAUGUGAAUGUGAUGAUAGUAUCAACAUUUCUUCUUGUUUAAUUCAAUUAUUUUAGCAUACUAACUUAUCCAACUAAGAUGUUACAAUGACGAUAUUUCAAGUCAAUCAUAUUUGCAGCACAGAUCCACAUAGGGACCCAAAUGGCCCUGGAACCCUUCAGAGGUUUUUUUUGGGGGGGGGGGAAUAGCAAGCAAAGGUCCUGCAAGUAUCCUUUUGGAUGUUGGCAUGUGACUCUUGUGCUCAACAAGUAUUUGAUAUAAUGUUUCUCGAUGUUAAAUAGUACCCGGCUGGGGAUCUUGAGAGAACUUAGUAGGGCCACUCGACAACACUUAGUAGAUGUGGCUCGAUAGAGGACGAGAUGCACACCACAUGCCUGACAAAAUGCAAAACUGAAAAAAAAUAUACAAGAUUUGUGCGUUGUGCGCUUUAUUUUCUUUUCCAAUCAGACCUCAAAGUUAGAACCUUAGAUCUGUCAAUACAUGCAUGGUUACAUUCAGUUUACAUGCAACUAGAUGUAAAGUUUGUAAACUGUGACAAUUUUCUAAAUCAAUCACACAUGGUUAAAUUUAACUUACCUAUCUAUAACGGAGUGUAAUUGCAAUCAUUUUCUAAGCUAAUCAUGCACGAUCAAGUUCAAUUUAUGUACACCGAGAAUGUAACUAAAACGGUAUCCAAGGACCCAAACCACUCAUAAAGUGCCAUGUAAAAAAGCUAAAACACAUUGCAAGCUUAAUUGACUUGAGCUAUGCUUAUGGAUUGUAGGUGAAUUUCUCUCCUCCACGUCUUACAAGAAGAGAGAGGAGAUAGAUAGAAGAAACUGAUGCCGAAAACCAAAACCAAGCAAAACUCCAAAAACACAUUAUUUGCAAUUCAUUUGAUUCGAUGAUCAGAAAUUAAGAGAGCGUUUUGAAAGUAAAAGGUGGGGGCGUAAAUACACUCUCUCUCUCUCUCCGCGCCUAUAUCUGUGCGGAGGUGGUGUCAUUGUAUGUCGGGAGAGAAAGUGAAAACACAGAGAGAAAAAUAGAAAAUAGAAGAAAAGAAAAAGCAAAGGCAUCUGUCAAAACUGUCUCUCUAUUUGGUUGCACUCUUUGCAGUAAGUGUGGCAUCUCAACUCUGUAAAAAAAAAGCUCUGUUCCUACUUUAGGAGUGAGAAAGUUAGAGAGAGAAACAAAGAGAGAGUGUCUUUCUGUUUGUGGUAGAGGAGCAGAGCAGAGAGGUCGACAUAUAUAAAAGAGAGAUGCAGCAGCACCUGAUGCAGAUGCAGCCUAUGAUGGCAGCCUAUUAUCCCAACAACGUCACUACCGAUCACAUUCAGCAGGUCCUCCUCCUCCUCCUCCUCUGCUUUUUGCUCGGUUUUUUUUUUUGCUUCUGCACUUCCAUUUGGUUUUUGGUUUCUCCUGCCAUUUUCUGUAUCCACUUAUUUAAAAUAAAUUAAUUUACCCCCCUUUUCUAAUCUCUGAAGUAUUGAUUUUUGGUAUGCUUAAUGGGUUUUUCUUGUUUGAUUCCUCUUGGUUUUUUCUAAUGGACUAUAUAGACAUAUAUGAUGGUAUGUACAUGUAUCAAUGGAUGUUUCUUCUGAUUUUUUGAAAGUUUCUUCAUAACCUCAUCAAGCUAGUUUCUUUGUCUGUUGCCAAGUUUGUGUCCUGUUUCUUAGUGAAGUUUAAAUGGGUGUUGAGGAUGCAUACCUGGGUUAGGCCAUUUGGUUGCGACGGUGUGCCUAUCCCCUUGCACCAAGUUCGAAUCCUCCUCCCGAUAGUUUAGAAUAUCGUCUCAUAAGAAAAAAGGGUGAUGAGAACUGAUAAAUGGUUUCUUUUCAUGUUGGAUAUUUUGAUUUACUAUACAUGUUAUUUAUUGUGUGUAGAUUUAAACUUCGGCUCGUUUGGAAGUGCUUGUAAAAUAUAAGCGAUUAUGAUGAAAAUGUUUUUGUAAUCGAUCCUUAGUAAAAAUGCAAAGUGAAUCCUGAAAAUGCGUUUGCAGUUGCAGGAAGCACUUUAAGUGUUUUGGGCACACUUCUAAACGAGCCCGAUUCUUCUGUCUGUUGGAAAUAGUGAUUACUCACAUAACCAUGCAUUUUCUUGUGCCUCAUGAGUUUAUCUGGUGUCCUUCCGGCUGCAACCUAACUUAAAGAGUGCUGCUUUUGUUUCUGUUUUGACAAGUUGUGACUAGUGAACUAGACUUUGUGCUUUCAUUUACGCGUCGGUCUCUUGAAAAAUCUUUGAUGGCAUCACUAGAAUUAUGAAAGUAUUUAGCUUGAUCCUUACAGAUUGCAUUUACAAUAUGUGCAUCUGUUUUGGUUGGCCAUUUGAUUCCAUUAAUUUUGUAGGACAUAAGUUGAAGGUUUUGCUAGUUUCUUCACAUCAUUCUCCUCGUAGAUAUAUUACUAUUUUGGACCAAAUUGGCUGAUCUAGUUUAGAUUUCAAGUUGCACAGAAAAAUUCGUUACGAAAUAGCAAAUUAGCAUAAUCAAAGACUAAUCAUUUGUAGUUGCACCGAAAUGGUAGCUAUGGAUUGGUUUAAAACUAUGAUUAUCUGCUUAAAGUGCUCGUUUGGCAUGUUCUUCGGGCACCAAAACAGCGAAACCUUCAGGAUUCUGUUCCUUUGAAUGUUUCUAACGCAGGUCACGUCUUCAUCUUGUUAUCGAGCAUGUUUCCAGUGUCGGGUUUCAGAUAAGUGUGCAGCUAUUUUGUCGACCCUGCAAAAGUUUGUCUAGUGAUAGGAACUAGUGACCAAUAAUCUUUCUUUUGCACAGCAAUGGUGUCUUUUUCUAUUUGUCUCUUUCGGAAUGUAUCACUUGCCCCAGUUGCUUACUUCCAUCUUUCUCAUAAAUUUGAGUAAGCAGUGUUGUUGGAUUGAUUCAGUUGGUUUGGUUACACAUACUACUAAUAAUCGUACUUUGAUUCUGUUCGUUAGCGUUACUGUGAAUUUCUUACUCAGAAAUUUUAGAACCUUUUCGCUUACCGCUCUUCUGGUCUGUAUUAUAUUCUUGUUAUCCUAUUGUUAAAUACCUUCUUUAAACUUUCCUGCAGUACUUGGACGAGAACAAGUCGUUGAUUCUGAAGAUUGUUGAGAGCCAGAAUAACGGGAAACUGAGUGAAUGUGCAGAGUGAGCAUUUUAUUUCUUAAUUAACUGCUGCUUUGCUUAUCUUUUGUUAUCACUGAGUGCUAUUCAUUAGCUGCAUGCUGUAAGCUGACACCCUCUUGCCUACAGUAUCGGAUUUAUGAGCAUGCAUCAUUUAGUUUAAUGGAUACUAUCGAUUUCCACGAAUGAUGAUUCUGUUUAGUGUGGCAAACUUCUGUUUUGAGUAUGUACUUUGUCGGAAGGAUGCCGUAAAUUCUUACCAUGGCAUAAAUUAAGCCUUUUUGAAGGAUGCCACUAAAUUACUGCAAGUGAUGGAUGCCAUUUAUAACUAUUUCGAGUACAUAAAAGGUUGCGAAAACAUCGUUUUAGUUGAACUCUGAUUGCUAUAUAUAUAUAUAUAUAUAUAUAUAUGUUAGGCUCGUUUUAGCUUGUGUCAAAAAGCAGAAUUCUUGUGUUUAAACUGCUAGAUGGGUCAGUAAUCGUUUGCAAUUAUUGCAGGAACCAAGCAAGGCUACAGCGGAAUCUGAUGUACCUGGCUGCCAUUGCUGAUUCACAACCCCAGCCUCCUACCAUGCAUCCUCAGGUACAAAACCUCUUUGCGAAAAAAACUAAUAAACUUGAAGGGCAUCGACUGAAUCUGUUAAGUGUCACCGCGUAAUUCAGUGUCCCGAAAUUGUGCAUUUCCUGAUUGUUUUCAUGAAAUGCUUUGUAGUACUCUUCCACCGGCAUGAUGCAGCCAGGAGCACAUUACAUGCAGCAGCAAGCAGCUCAGCAGAUGACACCACAAUCGCUCAUGGCUGCGCGCUCUUCCAUGAUGUACUCCCAGCAUCCGUUUUCAGCUCUGCAGCAACAAGCCCUGCAUAGCCAACUUGCUAUGACUGCUGGAGGAAGCGCGGGUCUGCACAUGCUCGGGAAUGAGGGAAAUAAUGCUGGAGGGAGCGGGCAACUUGGGGCUGGAGGGUUUGGUGAUUAUGGGCGCAGCUCUCCUGGAGAAGGCAUGCAUAGGAGGAUGGCCGGUGGGAGUAAGCAAGAUAUGGAUGGGCGCGGCGGGAGCUCUGGAAGCCACGGUGGAGAUGGGGGUGAGACUCUUUACCUGAAAUCGACCGAUGAUGGAAAUUAAGCGGUGAAAUGAUGGACAUUUUGGUCUGUUAGCAUCUGAACUUAGGGAAUUAGGUGAGGAAACGAAGUUAGCCGAGGAGGGGGAAAAAACUUGCUGCUUAAGACACUUGUGUUUUUAUCUGUUUAGUGUUUAUCCUCAAAACUUGAACUAUGGUUAUUUUAGUGAGACAAUGCAGUUAUGGUAGUAUAUCAUGUAAAUUUUUGCAGGCUAACUUCUUGAUGCGCUUUCAUUUUUUAUGUUGAAAUUUUCGUGCUCAAUUCGCUGGGUUAUUAUGAAUCAAGAUUUCAGAGAGACGGAUCAACAAUCUUCUGCUAAUCAACACUAAUAGUUAAAAAGGGACGCAGAAUCUCUGCUUUCCCACUUCCCGUGCCCUGUUGUGUCCUCUUGUUUUGUGUGGUCACGGUUAAGCCACGUCAACAUUUUAUAUAUAUAUUUUUUAUAGAGAUAAUAAGACAAAAAUGAAUAGUAAUAUAAAAUAUUGACGUGGUUUAACAGUAAUCACACAAAUAAAAUGGCACGGAAGGACACGAGAAGUGAGAACGCAGAGAAUCUGCCUCUGUUUAAAAAAAGCCUACAACUUGCAGUAUCGUACAAUACAGCAGGUGUGGACGUUUAUCACAAAACGGUCUCAUUACAAUUAGUAGUUGAUCUAUUAGUUAUAUGUUAUGUCAAAUUUCUGGCGCUGAAUUUUUUACAUUCUUCAACAUAGCGAUCACUUCAAAUGUAGGUGUUUGCGAAUUAAACUCGAAAUUAAAUAUUGAUUUUACUUCCCUAAUGUAGUAAGGUACAGUAUAAGCUUGCAACACUGCAAAACUGCUAGGAACACAUGAAAUUCACAAUAUCGUAACACUCUCCAAAAGAAAAAGAAAAAACAGAGGAAAACAGAGUCCUCUGUUUCCUUUCAUCACACAUAAACACGUGGAGGUCGGUAACUGCUCAAGAUUUCAGCAACUGCUUCCCAUAAGUUGUUUUCAUCCAUAAGCUGAUCGGAAACAGCGGCCGGCGCAGGCGGAGGAGGGUGGUCCGAAAAUCUGAUCAUCGUAUCUGGUCUUGAGGCUUGUUCUUUUUCAUGAGUGGCAGUGCAUUCUUCAUCAGAUGGAGUGUUGGCAUUUUGGCCUGUGAAUUGCUGAACAAUUGCUCUGAACUCAGAAGCACUUCUGGCUUGGACCAUCAUAGGGCUGGAGAUGUACUUGAUCAUGGGUUCUUUUGAUUUGGCGGGUUUUUUGCUUUGAUGAUCAGGCUGAGAUUGUUGGAGGUGAUUUUUGAGUUGUUCCAUUUUUUAGAGAGAGAGAGAGAGAGAGAGAGAGAGAGAGAGAGAGAGAUAGAGGACUGAUGUUAUGCUUACUUGGUCAUAUGCUUCUACAUAUAUAGAGAGAGAGAUAGAGGACUGAUGUUAUGCUUACUUGGUCAUAUGCUUUUACAUAUAUAUAUAUAUAUAGAGAGAGAGAGAGAGAGAGAGAGAGAGAGAGAGAGAGAGAGAGAGAGGACUGAUUUUAUGCUUACUUGGUCAUAUGCUUCUACAUAUACACACAGAGAGAGAGAGAGAGAGGAAAUAUGGAGAGGUUCUUGAAGGGGAGGAAGGGAAAGGGAUCCUUUCCCUUCCACCAAAUCCACAAAAUUCUCUUCGGAUCUAUUCUACCAAAUCCAUCAAUCCCGACUCUUGAAAUUUGAUCUAACCACUAAAGUUAUUGUAACUUUUAAAGGAGCCUCCGUUUUUAGCCGUUGAAUUAAAUUUUAAGAACUCAUAUUGGUGGAUUUGAUAAAUUUAGUAGAAGAGAUCCGGAAAUGAUCGCUUUUCAGGAGAAAGCAACCAAGAAGGAACCUUUGAGACAAAUUUGUGGAAAAAGUGAGGCAAGACUAAGAAAAAGUUGAUUGGAAGACCUAUGAUGCAGACUAUAUCUACUAAGAUAUUAUACAUUCAAUUUCUAAAAUGGCUGCUUAAUAUUUUUGUCUAAUUCCCAAGUUGCUGCUCACUUAUCAAUUACACACACACACACAUUUUUGUCUAAUUCCCAAGUUGCUGCUUCCUUAUCAAUUAUACACACACACACACACAUAUAUAUAUAUAUAUAUAUAUAUAUAUAUAUAGAGGAUUGUAUAUGAAAGCGUCCAGAGAUAUCGUUUUUAAUGUAGUAAAAAUGCAAUAACAGAAUUCCGUAAAGAUCGUGUAUUUAUUACAUAAGAAUUCUGUACUGAUAUAAAUGGUUCUUGAAUUUAUCUACUGUCAAUUAUCUUAGAUCUAUAGUGAAAAUCUCUGGUAAAAAGCUACUCUCGUAUAUUAUACAAACAAUGAUUUCCAUAAAUGAAAGGCCAAAUAAUCAAAUUACUUAAAAAUGAAAUUGUUUUAUUUAUUUAUUUAGUUUUUAAUUAUAUUAAAUAGCAGUUAUCAAUUUUGAUGAUUGAUGCAGUCAAUUAGGGUUAGUUUGGUAUUAUUGUAUUUUGAAAAAAAAAAUUGUUUCUUUUGUACUGUAAGAAUAAGUAGCUGUGAAAUAAAGUAGUAAAGUGUUUGAUAACGAUAAUUGUAAAAGUAUUUUUAAUAAAAAAAAAAGCAGUGUUAUAGUUUUGAUAAAUAUUUAUGUUAAACAGCUGUGAUUGUGUAAAAUGACAAAAAAAAAAAAAAAAAAACUUAUGGCCUUUUCUUCCUUUCUUUUUCUUUCUUUCUUUUUCUUACUGCCAAAAAGUUCAUGAUUGUUUCCUUUUUCCUUUCUAGCUUUCUCAUUCUUCUUUCUUUAUAUUUUGUUCUGCCAAAAUGUUUCUGCCUUUUCUUCCAUUUUUCAUCAAUGAUCCCUCCUGAAAUUUCAAAGUCCUCACCUACCUUCAUCCCUUCGCAUUUCUCUUUCAGUUCUGGUGAUCUUGAACCUUCAUCCUCACUCCCAUUUAUAUUUCUUGCAUUUCGAUUUCCAGGGCAUUACAUGUUUUGGAAUGUGCGGUGGUGGAUGGGUGGGUGGAAUCUGGGUUAUCAUCUAGUAGGGAGUGGGUUGAGAUCAUGGUCUGUGAGGUGGUGAUGGGUGUAUUUGGUGAGGAUUGGGAGAGAGAUGGGGUGGCGAAUUUGGGGAGUAAGAAGAGAUAGAGGGGAUGGGGUGGUGAAUCUGGGUAGUACGGCGCUAGAGAGCGACUGGAGAAAAGGGGGAGGGUGGAGUCCAGAACUGGGAUGAAGGAGAAAGAGAGGGUAAGGUUGUCAUUUUGAAAAAUUCAUUUAAUGGCAAUGUUCACUCGUGUAUUGUGAUAAAAAGCUGGUUUUACAAAGCUAGGUUUUGCUGCUUUGCCUUUUUAGCUUUUUUUCACUCAAAACUAUAAAAAAAAUACUAAUUUUGAAAGUUUACCAAACACAAAAAAACUGGGUGCUUUUUUUUAAAGUUAAGCAAUACCAAACUGGUACUUUUUUUUUUUGAAAGCUAGGAAAGAUUCAUUCCAGGGCACAGAGGCCAACGAAGAAAACAAGAGAGCCUACGAAGAGGCAAACAGCCAACAAGCUCAAGAAGGAAGGCAGCGUAAGGAGUUACAAACAGAGACACAACAACUAAGCUGAAGCGUCACUCCCCACACUACCACCAACAGCUAAUGUGGACACGGAAAACCAUCAUUAUUUAACACGAAAACAAGCGAAGAUGGAGGCCUAUCGACCCAAAUAACAUCACACAGCUCUGCACAAUCACGCGACGUAAGAGCAUCUGCCGCCGUAUUGGCUGUUCUUGGAACCCAAGACCAGCGACAGUUCUGGAAGGUUUCCCCAAAGAGCUUUACUCUUGCUAAAGUAGGAAUAGCCUCCCAACUGCCAUUCUUUAUAGAAUUUGAAAGGCAAGAAAUCGCCUCGGAAGAGUCAGAUUCCAGAAUAACCUCAGAUAGACCCAAAGAUGCACCCAGUUCACAGCCCCGCAGCAAAGCCAUAGCUUCGGCAGCUGCAGCACAGGGGGCCCGAAUGUGGUAACGAGCAGCCGCAAUGAAAUGAGCCUCAGCGUCGCGUAAAACCACUCCCACAAAACCCGAGCAAGACGUCUUGAACCAGCUGGCAUCAACAUUUAUUUUCGUAAAAGGGGGGGAGGAGGACACCACAACGGAGCACUGCCAGGAACCUGGCCGACACUCUCCCGAAACCGAUCAACUUCAGAGACACAGGAAACAGCUAGGAAAGACCCCACAGAAUUAGAAAUGGCCAGAACAACAUUUACAGGGUUGAUACGCACCUUAUUAAACACAAAAGCACACCUGGCCUUCUAAAUAUGCCAACAAGUAUAAGCCACCAAUCUUUGGGUCCAUAACAACUCAGAACGAUUACCAAUAUCAGGAUUAACAAUAGCAUGCAGCCAACUAAUCCAAGAGUUAAUAGCCAGCCUGUUAAUCUUAUAACUCAAAGCCCUACCAAACCAUACAGCUUGAACCCAUGGACAAAGGAGGAACAAAUGCUCAACAGAUUCAUCAUCACACAAGCAGAUAGGAUAGGUGGGGGAAGUGGUAGACCGCCUCCUGUACAGAUUCGCAUUAGUAGCCAUAAUAUUGUGCAGAGAGUUCCAUAAAAAAUGGCGUAUCUUAGGUUGAACAUCGAUCUUCCAUAUACAAUUCCACAACUUCUCCGGGAUGGAUCGAACAUUAGUCCCCCUCUGUUUCCUCCCCUUCUCACGGGCACAUGCAUUGCAGUUCUAAAAAAAUAUGGAUAAACCAUUUGAGUAAAGUAUAAUUAUGAAAAAAUAUGGAUGAUCAUUUUAAGUUUUUUCCAUGUUGAAAGUAAAAAAUGAGUUACUCAUGAUUAUUUAAGGAAAAUUAAUGAAAAUGACUUCAAAAGUUUGCAUUUUAACAAAAAACUACUCUAUAAUUUUAUUUAAUGAUAAGGACAAAAAAAAAUAAUAAUAAAAAAUAAAAAAUAACCUCACAAAAGCGCGUGUAUUGCAAAUUCUGUAAACUUACCAUAUAUAUUGUAGCAGCCCACACCUUUUAUUAUUAUUUUCUUUAGUAGCUUCAAACCCUAGCCUCAUAGCCCCACGUGCCUCCUUUGUCACAUCCCAGACCGACUCUGUUGUAGCACGAUAUUGUCCACUUUGGGCUUACCAUUAUCUCACGGUUUUGUUUCUGGGAACUCAUGAGCAACUUCCCAGUAGGUCACUCAUCUUGGGAUUGCUCCAACCCGAACUCGCUUAACUUCAGAGUUCCGAUGGAAUUCGAAGCCAGUGAGUUCCCAAAAAGUCUCAUGCUAUAUGGAGGUGGGCAUGUACAUAUAAGGCACAGAGGAUCCACUCCCCUGGGCAAUGUGGGAUCUAACAUCCUUCCUCUUUCUUCAUUUCAUGUUUAGGAGCUUUAAUGAUGAUAGUUAGUACUUUCAAUGCUCCCGUUCUCACCAUUUUCAACAAAAAUGUAAUAAACUAUCUCCCCAUAAUAAUCUUAAUUGAUGAUUUCCUAUUUGAACUUUUUGUGAGAAUGGAAUAGGCUCUCAUCUUUCCUAAAAUUAGAGAAAUACCUGCUCUCUUUAGACUUAAACAACUAAUUGCUUUGGAAGACACUUCCUGAAGAUAUUCGACCAUCAUAAUACUUUUGAUGACAUUCUCGUGUAUAGGAUAAUUAUUUGGGUUUGCUAUUCAUUGUUAGAAUGUUCAUGACUCAUCCAUUAAUUAGUAUAACAACUAAUCAGAAAACACAACUAAUCAUUUGUAUUUAGUUAAUGUUGAUGACAUGCCUUUUCCAAGUUUAUUUUUCAAACCAUUGGCCACUAAUUUCUUGGCCCCCAAAACCAUAGAUGCUAGUGUGCAUUUUCCAGUUGAGCUUCAUCUGUUGUCCAUUGUUUUCUCUACCAUGGUUAAUGAAAUAGUGAUAGUACUAGUGUUUAGUUUAAGAAAUAGUUAGUGUUUAGUUUACGAAAUAUUGAUAAUAUUAGUGUUUAGUUUAAUAAAUAGUCAAUGUUUAGUUUACAAAAUAGUGAUAGUAUUAGUAUUCAGUUUAAGAAAUAGCUAGUUUUCAAUUUAAGAAAUAGUUAGUGUUUUGUUUACGAAAUAGUGAUAGUAUAAGUGUUUGGUUUAAGAAAUAGUUAGUGUUUAAUUUACGAAAUAAUGAUAGUACUAGUUUAUGAAUUAGUGAUAGUAAUAGUGUUCGGUUCAAGAAAUAGUCAAUGUUUAGUUUACGAAAUAAUGAUAAUAUUAGUAAGUUAGUCAUUAUUUGGUUUGAGAAAUAGUUAGUGUUAAGUUCUAAAUAUAAUCAGUGUUCGAUUAUAGAAAUAAUCAAUGUUCAGUUGUAAAAAUAACUAGUGUUAACAUGACAUGACACAAACUUAAAUAAUUGUCCGAACUAAAGAUAAAAUCACUAUUUCGAAAUUAAAAUAAACAUUGUUUAUCAAACUGAAAAAUGAAAAAUUUUCUUUAUUUUUUGUCUUGUAAUAUUAUUACUUAGUUUGUUUAAAAAAAAAUUAUGAAACAAUGAUCAAAUAAACACACAAUAAAAUAAAAAGUAAAAAUUGUAAAAUUUAUGGAAUGAGAGUAGAGUGAUAUGAGAGAUGAGAGAAAAGAAAAAAAAGUUGAUAUGAAGGGGUGAGAUGAGAGGAGAGAGAAAUUUGAUAGGAAUAUGUGAAAGAGAGGAGAGAGAGAGAGGAGCUAAAAACGGUGGAGGGAGGAAGAGGGAGGAAGGGAAUAUGUGUGUAACUGAGUGAUGUGACGCGCGCAUAUUUUGAUUUUGAUUUUUUGUUUUUUUAAUUAUUAUGUUAAACUUUUGUCAUUUUUAUUAAAACUUAAAUCAUUUUUAUUAAAAUUUAAGUUUUUUUUAUUAAAUAAAGUUAAUGGAUGAUUUUUUUGUUAAUAAAAAAUUAAGAGAAGCUAUUUUCAUUAAAACUCCCUUAAAAUUAUUAUUUUCUAAUUCUCACAACUUCACCUUUUACCUUUGUUUUGGAUAAAAUUCGACAGUUGUCACUUAGUUUUCCCUUCAAUGUGUCUUGUUUCUAGGGUAGACUCCUUUUCUAGGGUAAACCCUUUGCGUUUGAAUUCAAACCUUUUCUCGUGAAUAAGAAUAAUUUAGAAUAGAACAUCGUCUCGUCAUAAACAGAAUUGGAUCCGCUUCGGAUUUUACUGUCCAAAAUCUAGGGAUCAAAUCAUUUGGACCACUGAUUGGUGUGUAAAAAAAUCAGAGCCAUUGGUUUUGUGUGAUGAGCCAGAAAAAUAAGUUAAUGGGAACCGUUAUAUUCAAUUUGUGUGGUCCAGAUGAAUUGAUUUUUAAGCUCCGAACACUAAGAUCCGAAGCGGAUCCAAUUCCGUCAUAAAAUGACGUAACAAAUACAGAAAGCAAAGCAAUUUGGUCACUUUGGACAAGGAGACAGACUUUAGAGGUGAUUCUUUUUCCACGCAACACAAUACUAAUUGAACACAUGCCAAAUACUAUGUUGUGGUCAAGCUAUAAUCUGCAGUCCUUGUCACAACACAGCACAAGCCCUUCUAGUCAAGUAAUGCAGAGAAUAUCAUGUAUUUCCAUCUUUGACUUUGUCUCUAAUUAGGCAAUCAAUCAUUGUAGCUAAAAAAUAAUAUAUAUAUAUAUAUUAAAUAAAUAAAUAACUAAACUAAGAUAAUAUAUAAUUGUUUUAAGAGAAGUUUAAUGAAAAACUCUUGAUACUGUUCAUUUUAAUGAAAAAUUACAUUUUUACACUAAAAAAUCAAUCAUAGUACUAUUCACUUUAUCCUUUAUUUUGUUUUUAUCAUUAAAUCUCAAAGUUUUCAAGCCAUUUUCAUUAAUUUUCUUUUGUUUUAGGAGAAAUUAGGUUCUCAUCCUUCAUUUUACUACUCUAUUGAUUAAAAUCCUAUUCAUUUUCAAUUUUUGAUCAAGUUCCUUGGAUAUUAAUAAUAUCAUUAAUUAUUUCAAUAAGAAAAUAUUUUUUUUAUUUCUAAAUAUAUUCAUUUAAUGUUAAAAAUGUUACAAUUAGUAUAUUUAUAUUUAUGACUAAAUUUUUUAUCAUAUAUUUUUGUUUUAGUUUGUAACCAUUUUUUAUUUGUACCAAUUUUCUUUUCAAUUUUAAUUUGAACCCAUAUAUUAGUUUCUUUUUGUGCCUAUAUUUUUUAAAGUUUGUUUGUAUUUGUACCCAUAUAUUUUGUUUAUUUAUACUUUUUAUUUUGCUGAAUGUACCCAUGCUAAUUAUAUGUACCCAUUCAUGUAAAACUUUUUAAUCUUAAAAUGUACUCAUUCUUAAAUAUAUCAAUUUGUUAUAUGUAAAAUGUACCAUUUUUUUAAUAUAAAAUCUAUUCAAUUUUUUUGUAAUCUAUUUUUUAACUUAUAUGGGUACAUUCUUUUUUUCUUUGAUUUUAAAAUGUAUCCAUGUCAAGUUUAAUCGAAGAAAUUACUAAUGUUAUUAAGCCUAAUGCCUUUUUUUUUUGUAAUUUUGAAGAAUGUACCCAUGUUUUGAUACAAUAAUUUUUUUGGUUAAUUUUGAUGAAUGUACCCAUAUUUAUACACACACACACACACACAAUAGUAUAUUUAUAUUUUAAUAUUUUUAAUCCCACAAAUUAUGUUUUUUAUUUAAAAUCUCAUUUAUAUAAACAACUAAAAUUUCUAAUUUUUUUAUUUAAAAAAUAUAGUAACGUACGUAGAAAUAAAUUAUCAUAUUAAUUUCGAGGACCUCGAUCAAAAAUUAAAAACCAACAAGGUUUCAAUAAAAGAAUAUUCAUAGCUAAGGACCGCAUCCAAAGUCUCCAUUUGUUUUAAAGCAAUCCCCAAUGGCCAAUUAAAAGGGAAAUGAAUUUUCUCUGGAUCUCUUCCUCCUAAUCCAUCAAGUUCGGAGAUUCGGACCAUUGAAAUUUAAUCAAACGACUAUAAACAAGGGCUCACUUUAAAAGUUAUAAUAACUUUAACCGUUAGAUCAAAUUUCAAUGGUCCGGAUCCCCGAACUUGAUGGAUUAGGAGGAACGGAUCCGGAGAGGAUCCCUUUCCAAUUAAAAGGAAUUAUCUAGAUGGAUAAGGACAUGGAUCAUCUUUAAUUGGGUCAAUAAUUUGAUUCAGAUUUCUUGUUGGUUUAUCUUCAAAGGUGCUAAUUUCUUGGGUUUCAUCGUAAAUCAAUCAGUAAUAUAGAAAAUAAUUCAAUUAUUUAUAUGUAUAUGCAAGAUCUCUUUUCAUUUUUUAUUUGAGAUUAAUACUUUUGCACAUACCUCAUGUGUGCAACGAAUCCUCAAACCUAGCACAUGGACAACAUAAUGACGUAAAGAAUGUGGUCGUCAGGCUUCACACAUAGUAUAACAUACUCCAAUACCAUAAAAGAAGUUGAAGUUAUACUGUAAAACCAAUUUGCUAUAACCUUUGCUAAUUAAUUGUUCCUUUGUUUCAUUUUCUUAUUUGGUCUCAACUAUAAAAUCAAUUGAUGCUUAAAUUUUCAGACCUCCUGACAAAUUUUAAUUAAUUUUUAUCUAACAGUUCAACAUUCAAAGAUCCAACUUAUGACCAACAUAAGAGUGAAGAAUUUGAUUAAAAAAACAAAAAUAUAUAUAAAAAGUGACAUAUUGAUAAAAUAAAAUAAAAAGGGAACGGAAAGGGAAGAACAUGCCAACGAGUAAUGGAAUCAAUGGACAAUUGAAAUGGCAGCAAUUAAUGGAUAAACGACGGGUCGUUCUCAAACUGAGCUCUCUCAGCUCUAGCCCUUUUCAUGCACCCUGAUUUUUUUUUAACGAAAAAUGAUUUCCGCACAUUUUUUGUUCACUUUUUACACGGUAUUCUUAGUUUUAGGCCUUUGAUUGUCCUUUGAUUUGUUUAAUCUGAUAAUAAAAAGGGUACGUCGGAAAUGAAGAAUGUGUAGUAAUCAUUUUCUUUUUUGGGAUUGUUGUCUUCAUCAUGGAUGCGAAGAUUUCUAUACCAAAAUUAUAAAUACAUGACGAAGUUUUUGGAUGAGAAUUUGAUGAAUUUAAUUGGAAAAAAAAAUUCUCUAAGCUUUUAAUUUCUUUCCCUAACAUCAGCUAGUUUUACAACAAAAGAAGGAAAAAUAUAUUCAACUUACAUUACUAAAAUGUAGAUUCAAAAGAAAAUCUGUGGGGCAAAGAAAUGAUGAUUCAUGAACAAUGUACAACCCCAUAGCUAGGCUCAUCGUAGAGAGACCGAGACUCAAUCUGCGCGCGGCAACAAGAAACUAAAGCCUGAGUUCUCGUGAAUGAGCGGUGGUGGUUCAAUGUCGGAGAUGUCUAUUUGCUCCAUCGACUUUGAUAUGUCGUCAACGGAGAAUGGAAUGCUGCAGUGUAAAGUCUAGUGUCAGUCGAAUGGCUAGGAUUAUAGGUAAACAUGGAAGCUAAUGUGUUUAGCGAUGAUAACAAGCACUAUGAAACAAUGCAGCGUUGAUAUACUGUCUCAUUUUUCGGAUACUAAAUUUACAAGUAACCGAAAUCUUAGAAAAACACGAACAUAUCAGUUUGACAAGGAAAAACUAAUGAAACGGGAUGUAAAGAAGAGGAAGAGUCGAUAAAGAAUGAAUGAAUAACGGCGAAGACAUGAUUGAAUGUUGUCAUAACCUGGAAUCGUCAUCCAGCAGGAAAGAAUUACUGACUGCGUUGUUGGAAUCUUCUGUCAUCAGCACUCUCAUAUUCGAUAUAACCUGGAUGUGCCAUUGGAAAAAGGAAUGGACAAGUGAGUUUGUGGAUGCAUGUUUGUCAUUGUAUUCUAAUUUAUUUUACUGCCUUGUGACGAAGAUGACUCAAACCUAGUUGAGUAAUGGCAUCCAUAAAAACUUACAUCCGAGGACACACUAUGCGUGCCAUAUUUGUCAUCCCAGUACAUUGUACUGAUACGAUAUAGCUGCUGUAUACUGAGGACCUGUUAAAAGAGUAAGUUGUGUCAAAUGAGAUUCGAGGGAGAGUUGAUAGACUUUGAGAUGUUUAUUGUAUCCUUAUAUACACAUCACUUACCGGGCAUAGGUCAUGGCUAAUUUCAUCAAGCGUCUUUUUCGGUUUUUGAUGUAUGACCUGAGCAAAAAGACAUAAAUUUCAGGACAACUUCACCAUUUGUUCAUUUGUAGAAGUAGAAUACAAUGAAAGAUACCAGGAAUCCAAUAGCCUGCCGAAUAUGCUUGAGUUCAUCCCAAGCUGAUCCUGCAUACUGCAUUUUCGUUUAUUGGUAUAUCAGUUAUUGAACAGUAAAAAGAGGAAUUAAAUUUAAGGUACGGUGGGUACCUCAUCUGUUGCCUUAUAGCACCAAUGCUCCAGUUCAGCCAACCCAGCUUUAACAUAUUCACCAUUACUAAACGAACAGCAUUCUCGUCUUAAUAGAAGACUGCGGGUAUAGAAGAAUACAUGGAGGAUAUUACGAGUUUAGUGCUAAGUAGCAUACAAACAAGACAACCUCAAAUUUGGGCUUAUGACGAUACCUGUUGAAUAGCUGAACAUUGAUGAAGGAGAAUAUUUGCGUGAACACCUUACGAACUAAAAAUGGUGGUACCUGUAGAAAGGAACAACGCGUGUCUAAGAAAGGGAGAAAGAUCCUAGGCAAAAUACUUCACAAAAGUUGCAGAAACGAAAAUCAGAAAGAUCAAGUGAGUAUGAAUCUUAAGAGGAGGGGGGAAAGAGUACUAACAUGAUUUGCUUUUAAAGUAUUUAAGAAGUUUCCGAGGCUCUUGACAAUCCCCUGCCAGUGAGCAAUCAAAGCUUUCUGGGCCUCAGUGUUGGCAACUGAUCGCGACGAUCCUUUGACCAAGCUUGCCCUGGAUGUUCUUGGUGCCUGUUAAAGUUUACAGAUUUAGUACUAAGUUUUGACAAAUCAUGGAAGCACAAUUUUUCUCUCCGUAAAUUGUUUUCUAGUUUGUAGGUGAACAAUUUACUGGACCUGGAUGCACAAUCCAAGCAAAGGAGAAAUCUCUUUCUUCAAAUUAUCUCGAAUCAUCCCGUAAAUUUUUUCUACAUAUGCUGUAAGUUGCUGUUUGAAAAGCAAAGCUGGGUACUUGGCUUCAACUUGCCGUAAAGAGUCCACUCCGCCACUCAUUCCACCAUUGAUUAAGGAAAUAUUAACACCUUGUGGCGCUCCACGGAAACUCUAGAGGAAAACAAAAGAAAACAUGUGAAGCAACUGAAGAAAUGAAGAUUUAUGACUAGAAAAUAUUCAAUGUCUGAUGAGAGACGAUGAAUUACUUGUGUCAUCCUUCCAAACAGAGUAGCUGAUGAUGAUCGACGUCGUUGGGGUGCCAUUCCAGCAGCACCGCUUGCUUUCAGUGUGCGCUGGAGUAGUAAUAGAAGUGUUGAGGCGUUGGAUAGCCAAUAGGCCAAGAUAUCGUUGUUAUCCUGGGUCUAAAUUCCAAGUGGUAAUAUUCAAGUUAAAGAGGUUCGUUUUGUGUUAUAAAGAAACGGAAAACCAAAAUACCAGAAGGGUUAAGGAUGGGAGUUCCAAACCUCAAUGGCAUUCCCUAUGGUCUGAAUAAUCCUAUCGAAAAUACUAGUCCGCUCAACUUCGAAUGAUCUCCACUGCAAAAGGCAUUUGUAUAUGAUGCAGGCAGCAAUAGGCCUGUUCCCUGCAAAGCCCAGGUGUUGUGCAAUGCAUCGAAUGAGCAACUCCUGGUUCUCUUGCUGUUUUUCAUUUAGUGAUUUCUGUGGCUUAUCCUCCAAUUCCGACUCCCUGUGAUUUAUUGAAGGACUAUGCAUUUCCUGAUCCAUUUUAUUGGAACAUUAGCAUAAGUGAAGAGUUAAGAAAAAGCCUUUACUGCAUCAAAUUGCCUUUUUUGUAGGUUAAUACUUGACGUUUAACGGAAACUUACCAGAGCUGUCUUUGCAUCCCCUGGAAUAUGACUACUUUCAGCUGCCCUCUGCCAAUUAUCAAACAAUAAGAAAAUCUUAAGCAUCUGAACAUCAUAGAAAACCAUGGUUUACAUUGAAAUUUACCUGAAUAGUUGAUCUGGACCGUCCAGAAAGGAAUUUAUUAGGCGUCAUGGACACAGCUUGUUGGCGUAAAACUUGAUUUUCUGAUUCUAAAUUGGCAAGCUUCUCUUCUAGCCUAAUCAAGGAAGUUUAAAUUUUCAGUAAACAAACCAUAUCAGGAAAGUGAAAGUUGGUAAUUCAUUUCUCUCCAAUAUAUAAUUUUCGGUUUGAACUUAAAUACUACAUGAGUUUAAAACUUGUUCGGAGUGAGAUAUUAAGAACAAUUUUGUAAUUAUCGUCUCAAAUGCACAUAUGACGACGUGCAUUUUGAUGCUCUGCAUCAGAAAACUCAUGCUUUAGUGUCAUAUUACCUGGUCAAAUUUUCCUGGAGCUGACUAACUUUUUUCUCUGUUUCUUCUAAUUUUUUGCGUCGUUCUUCGCCCGAUGUUUGAGCUUCAUUAUAUUUUCUUUCAUUUUCUUCUGCUCUUUUUUUCUCUGACUCCAUAGAGGCCUGGUGAGGCGGGGACAUGUUAGGUAGAGAAAAACCAAGGUCAAGAAGAACUAAAUGAAAAGAUCAAAAUCUGUCGCUACAUAUAUGAACAAAUAAAUGACGAUAACGCAUGAUAGAACAGUCGAAACAUGUUAAAAGUCUUUGCAAACACAGAAUUAUGUGAGACAAAGUAUUAUAGGUGCUAAUUAUUGGACAGAACAUUUGUACCUUUAAACUGUCAACUUCUGCUGUUAGAGAUUCAACUUUUUCAGUGUCCUCGACCAUAACUUGGGUUUCCUGAACCACAGGAGGAGCCUCUUCAAUAGCUUUCUUUGCAGCCUCUUGUUCCUUCACAAUCAAUGCGUUUGAUUCAUCAAGUUUGGUCUGCAUUUCUUGCAAUGAGUUCUGCAAUUUCGUUAUCUCUUGUGCCUUUGCUUCUUCUAGGUCAGUCUGCGAACAUGACACAAGCUUUUAGCAUGAAUUUGUUUUGCAUAAAAUACCUAAAUUAGAAGAAAAUAUUCAACGAAAAUAUUAAGAUGGAUGUUGAACAAGGAAUUUUCUAUCAUAUUCAUCGUGGAAAGUACACCAAUGCAUUAGCAUAAUAGUUUUCGGCCAUGGGACACGAGAUGAAAAUAUUCAUCAGACGUCCACAGCAUUUUCUCUGCCAAACAAAAUUGCUCUGAAAAACAUUGAAUUUACCCUUAAACGUUUUUCCAACUGUAGUCGCCAAUUUAGUUCCUCCACUCGUUUUUCCAGUGCAUCUUUUGCCUCCUUAAGUGCUCCUGUUUCCCUUGCAGCCUGCAGAAAAUUGGAGAUAAUGUGAAUAUCGUAAAGAAAAAAGAGAAACAUACGUAAGAAGAAGAUUUUAAGAUGUCAGCUUGAAAGGGAAAGUGUACGUACUAUUAUUUAUGGCAAUAAUCUACAGUAUUUGACAGAAACUAUGCUCUGCCUGUACACACUAAAUUUUAUGUAUUCCUCUCAUCUUGGUUGCUAGCCUAUGAAUUUGAUAAUUUUUUCACAAAAACAAUACCUAUAGAGAGAGUUUAACGCUUACCAUUUUUAGCUUCCUAAGUUCCUUCCUUGCGAUUUUCCCCCUCAUUUGGCACUGUGCGACUACUGAACCCCUCUUGAGCCUCUUAAAGUAUUUGGCAGCUUUAUGACAACGCCACACCGCCUGCAAUUUUCAUGUAGAUUUUUGUUUGGCAAUAGGAAAUCAGUAAAGUUUCACAUCGUUAAAACAAAACAAAUCUUGCAAGUUACAACAUAUUUUGUAUACAACCUGGACAACGGUUGCUGCUUUGGUUUGCCUUUUAAAUCUGAAUUCUUUACGUCCAGCCAUUGCUCUUAAACCUGUCUGCACGACAAGAACUGAGACAUGGAGCUUGUUGUAAGUUGUUCUGGCUUGGUGUUUACGUAGGUUCUUCUGAAUUUUCACGGCAGCUGACUCUCUUUUCAUGCCGUGGAAGACUUUGCCAGCCAGGCUUCCUGUAAGUCAUACCAAACAAACAUAGAAACAGUUUAAAUUCGCCCGUUGAUUGACGACCCUAAAAUAUUGUGUUAGAAAAGAAAGUGCUGGGAAACCAUGACUAAUCCUUCUGCUAAGAUGCUCUCUGGCUCACCUCUGCAUAUCGAUUGCAUAACUAUGGUUGCCUGUCGCAGUGCAAUAAACCGUUUCCUAGCAUAAUGGGUUCGUACACGCCGCUGUAUAGUUUUAGCUGCAGUACUGAGUACUUCGGUUCUUCGUGCGUCUAACUCAGCCAUCUGACCAGCCCUCAGGAAUACCUUUGUUUUACCUAUCUGCAAUAACAAAUGUCUCUACCAUCAGUGUGCGAUUGGAUGAAGACCAUUAGCUAUAUUUACACCUAUAUGAGGAACACCUCAAGUUACCUGAAACCCUUUAAGACCCUUCUUUUCGAGAAUCCUAGUGCAUGCAACCUUUUCGUCGUAGCUGCUCAAAAGUAAAACAGGUUCAGAAUGCAGAUCCACAGAGUUUAAUCAGAAAGUUGAAACGUUAUGUCAAAAAAAAUUUCUCUCCCCUCUCGAACUGAAAAUCCUUAGAGAUAAUACUUACUUUCCUUCCAAGACCUCUGGUGCAAGAAGUCCAAAUCUGUUUAUGAAUUCGAAAAAGGGUUUUCGAGUAGGGUAGCCAGCGCAGCUAAUACGGAUUGCCUCUAAAACACCCUACAAGGGGAACUGUCAUCAACAUCUGGAAGAAAAACAUGAAAUCUUUUUUUAAGAAAGUAAAAGGGAAAAGGAACACAUUUUACUUACACCACAGCGCAGUUGCUGCAUAAUGUUGACGUUCUCAAACACGGCUGGUUUUAGAAAAUUAUUUGGCUUUACACAUCUGACAUAGUGAGGUUCUGUAGAGUUUAGGGUUUCCAUUAACGAUUGUAGUUGAAGCUGCACAAUUUAAAACAUACAAAAUUUAAGUUUCAACUUCUUGUAGCAUAAGUUGACAUUCCAGAAUAUAAAGGAAACCACACGAGAGCUUUGCAUGUAGCUUUAGGUUGAUAGUUGAUUAUCCAGGGUUAAGUCGACCUUCAUGCUCACCAAGCUAAUAUCAAUGUACCUUAAAACGAGAGCCAAUCGAAGAAAACUUGGAAGAUUUGGCUGUCUCCUCUGGAAGUGGAGGGAAAAGGCCUGCCACGAAAGGACAUUUGGAAACACCCAACAAAUCUUGAUGUUCAGGAACCACAUAGUCCUUGUUUUUGUCCAAAAAUUGGUCAGAUUGAUAUUGGACCUGUAACAAAGUGUUCCCAAGUUAAAACCGGAACGUAAAAGUAUCAUAUAUUAUAUUAUUAGAAAGUGUUGAUUUCGUAUAAUUUACCUCUCCAGCAUAAUGAGCGAUGGUAAAAUCCGUGCGAGAAAGUUUUGGCUUUAUAAAGCGCUUGUGAGUUUUGAAUGUCUGAUAAAGCUUAUUUGCAAAUGUUUCAUGGGUUGACUUGGGAAACAUGCUGGAAAUAGAAAAGAAAGAAAAGCAGUUAACAAGAAUGAAGAAAAGAGAGAAAAAUAAAAGUUAAAUGCAAAACGUUAACGGCCUUGCAUUUAAGGAAGAAUGAACAGAUGAAUAAUAGCUCACCAAGCUUCAUCAAGGAGAGCAACUAUUCCGCCAGGUUUCUGUGAAAGGAAGCAUCAUAUGUGAAAACUUGUAAGGAUAAAAUUGACUGUUGAUUAAUAGUACUGAAUAUCUGAAUAUUCCAGUAGUGAUUGUGUGUGUGUGUGUGUAACUAUAUAUAUAGGUAGGUGAUUGUGUAUGUGGAUGUAUAUGAAGGAAUAGGAGAAGGAAUAACCUUUUCAAUAAGAUCCAAAACGUCUUGAUUAUCGACAAACUCAAUGUAGCUCCAAUCAAUCUGCUCUUUUGUGUAUUCUUCUUGUUCCAUCUUGAAGACGUGCUGAAAAUAUACAGGAAAAACUUAAUUUAAAUUAAAAUAAUAAUAACAGGAACAAUAACCCAAACAACAACAACAACAAAGCCUUUUCCCACUAAGUGGGGUCGGCAACAGGAACAAUAACCCAAGAGCUAAAAAUAGAGAAAGCAAGAGUUCAACAUGAUCUGAGCCAUUACCUGAUUGAAAUGUUGCUGCAAUUUCUCGUUUGUGAAAUUAAUGCAGAACUGCUCAAAACUGCACAGGUUGAUAAGCUAAAAUUAAGUUGUGGAAUACCAUCAACGCAUGACGGGUGUUUGAUAUGAAAUGUCUUCAUUAGCGCAUUUUCAGUUUCUUUUAUACUAAAAAAGACACAGAAUGCACGUAUGUACAGAACUUCAAGUACUCUAAGUGCGGUAUUAUGCUGAAUAGUUGUUACCUAUUGGUCUUAAAACUUUCAAAACCAUAGAUAUCAAGGACCCCAAUCAGCGAUUUCGAGGUAGCAUCUUGUCCAAUUGAGACAUUAAUUUUAUCCACCAACCUGUAUAAAUUUAGAACCACAUCAACAUUUAAUUCUCACUCCAAUAUGCUUCUAGUGGUUAAUAGAAAAUUUAUUCAUAAACCAGAUGUUAAUCUGAUGAUGUUUUAAGCUAUAGUAACUAACCAAUCAAACAAUCGAGAAUAUACUGUCUUUGCUAAACCAUCGCGGCUAAUUGCUGCACUUUGAGGAUCAAGACUUCUCUUGAUAACUUCUUCAGGUGUGAUCAUGACACGCUUACAUAAUGCAUCUUCCAAUGCAUCAGGGUCACACCUGAGGUAAUGUUAUUAUCACACUAUAACAAUAUGAAAACAGACUGGAAACAGAUUACAUGGGUAAAAGCACGAAGAAUACAUACAUGAGAAGCUCUGAAGUCAUCUUAAGAUGGAACUUUGCUUUAUCAUCUUUUGGAACUGACGAAUCAACUUCCGAGCCCUUGGAAAACUCAAUAUUUCCUAGAUGAAGAAUUGCAGCAACUACUCUAAAAAUUGCUUCCUAAGAGAGAGAGAAAAAAGAAGGGGUGUGAGACGACGGUCUUUCUAGGUUCCACGUUAAAAUGAAAUUAAGAAGAGGCUGUACCUGCUCCUUAGCACUUAUUCCAACAAUAUCCAUAGCUCUCCUUGUGGCAAGAUAGUCAUGAGCAUCACUUACACCAACCAGUUCGUAGCAACGUGACUGGUUAAGAUAGUGAAAUGAUUUAGGAUUUGCCAACUUGUAUUUCUCAAUUUCCUGUCAACAUAAACAAAUAUUAGCUCGAAGUUUAAGAGCGGAAAUUUGCAGCAAUACUUUGAUUGUUUUAAUCGAAGUCUGGUUCCUACAUGAUCUUACCUCCUGUGGUGCAGCACAAAGAAGGUAGAAGCAGUGGUAGUUCCGUUCAGGAUCAGAAACUUGGCAAACACGAGACCGUUCCAGAAGGUAGGUUCUAAUGGCUGCUCCUGAGAUUCUUCCUUGCUUAUCAAAUUGAAUUUCAACAAAUUUACCAAAACGACUGCACCAAUACCAAACAAAGAGAAUACCACGUGAAUUUAUCCGAACAUGAUAAUAAUUCAGGAAAAGUAAUUUAUGCCAGUAAAAUGACUGUUCAAACUAAGACAAAUUUGACACAAAUAUGUACUAGCUUGAUAUCGUCUUGCCUAGAAUUGUUAUUUCUAACAGUUUUAGCGUUGCCAAAUGCUUCCAGAACUGGAUUUGACUGCACUCAGAAAAGAAAGAACCAUAAGAAUUUCAUAAGAAACUAAUAGAGCUUGACAUAGAGAAGGUAAUAUGGAGUUAUCAAAGCUUAAUAUCAAUGCUGAUCAAAGGUAGGAUAGAAAUCGUACUUCAAGAACUUGCUGUUCAACUGUCCGUCCUUCAGUUGCAGCCCGGCCACCUAGAAAUGCAAGGUACCUCAUAAGCAUUUUUGUGGUCUCAGUUUUACCUGCUCCACUUUCACCACUGACCAGAAUUGAAUUGCUUUUUCCCUCAUUGAUCAUUGCCCUGGUUUUUUCAAAGAAUUAACUUUAAAUAUUCGGUUUAUUGAUCUUAUGGAGCAAUACAUAGCAUAGCAUGCACAUAAGGAAUGAAGGUAACCUAUAUGCAACGUCCGCAACUGCAAAAACAUGAGGAUUUAGUUCUCCAAAUGGCGCGCCCUUGUAUUGUUGCAUCAUGUGACCAUCGUAGAGAUGCGGCAGUCUUUGGAAUGGAUUAAUGGCAAUAAGGAUAUUUCCAGUAUAAGUCUAUCAUGAUAGCAACAGAGGCAUAUAUUAUUGCAGGAUUAUAGAGAAUAAGAAUUCCUAAUUUGAAUAAAAACUCCGUAAGUAAAUUCAAAUGAAGGGCAGAACAUGUACAUAGAUUUCAUUAAGUUCGUAUCUAGUUUUUAAAUUCUGCAAAACUCCAGGCUCAUGCAGAUAAGAUAGCUUUGUCAUGUCAUCAACUCCAGCAGCAGGAGCUUCCAUAUCUUUUGGAUAUAUUUUCGCCAAUUUGACAACCAUCUUAAUAGCACAAAAAAGUGAACAGGAAUCUCGUUAGAGUACAUUUAUAUAAUACUAGAAGAUUUUCUUAAAAUAAACAAAUUUCAAAGACCAAAAUAUAUAUCCAGAAAGAAAAAUAUCAAAUUUAGUAAAAAGAGUUUACCUUCUUCCCAUUGCUACUCUCGAUCUCAGCUUCUUGUCCAGUAAUCUUUGACACUUGGCCAUCAAUCCAGGCCAAUUCUGAGUCUUCAACCCAGACAUGAGAACCUACAAUGAUAUUCACUGGUGUUCCCUGUAGAUGAAGAUAUUAAAGUAUGAAUAGGUAUACGAAUAAAGUGCCAUAAAAACACACAAAAUUCACUGAUAACCAUUUCUGAAGACUAAUUUGAAUGGCUUUUAUAUGAAUUAUGGCUUAAUAUGCGGCCAACGCCUUUGUCCUAUUGUUGUUGCUUAUCUAUGAAGUCUAUGUUAGCUAUGCCCACCACCAAAAGUAUAGUGUGAUGGUAAGCGCACUUGUCUCUCUUGCACAAUGCUUCCUUUGAGUUGUCUCAUAAAUUGUGCCGUUAGAGUUAUCUCAUAAUUUGUUUCUUUCCCUUGAGAAGAAGCAACAGGUUCCCAGUCUGUUAACCACAAGCUAACACAUACACUAAACGAUUGUUCUGCUCUGUAUCACAAACACUCAAAUCACAUGUUUGAUCGAAAAGAAAACUUAAUCAUUUGUAAUUAACAAACCCAAUUUCUAUAUACCGCAAAACUUCUAAUGAAGAUGUUGUCUUAGACUCCAACAAUCACUCGAAAUUUCAAACUGAAUCAGAGAACCUAAUCUAAUCCACAAAUUAAAGCAAGAAACAAAAAAACUUUACAAAUUUUAUGAAAAAUCAACCGAAACCGCACAUACCAUUUUUUCGUUCUAAGCUGCCGAUCCAAAGCUCAUCAAUUCAUUAAGCACUUUCAUCAAACAUUUCAGCUGCAUGACAUUACACAACCAUCAGCUCCCAACUCCAGCUGAGAAGUGUUCCUCUCCACCAAACACCAUAAGCGAAAGAGACCCCUUUUUCUCAAAAGCAUCAGACUUUCCCUACGAAACACGGGGGUCAGAAAUGUCCGAUCAACGCGCCAGAAAGCUCCAUUUUCCCGGGAAAAUUGGCAAGAAAGUGAAGGAAAACCGAAAUGGGGACGAGAGAUGGAUCGAUUAGCUAGGUGGGAAACUUUUGUUUGUGUGAUUGUUGUGCGUUGUGUGUGUGGGAAGUGAAUGUGGAUCGAGCGGAUUGAGAGAGUGGACAUUCUUCACAAGGGCCUCUUGUUUCGCUUUGCUUUCCGCUCUUUUCGCGCCAAUUAGUGGCUGCUAACCAAGUCUUCUCCUUCUUUCCUUAACGGUCACAUUUCUUCUGCCAUGUCCAGGGGUCGUUCGAAUCUUGUGUGUCCGGAUGUAUUGUAAGAAUUUGUUACCCGUCGUUUGUGCCGUUGGAACUUGUUACCCGUCAUCUGUGCCGUUGGAUCGAAAAAGUAAUUUCCACAAACUCAUUAUUUCUUUGUUUCUUUGUGUACAUGCUGUACGUGUUUAUUUUUGUCAGUUGAUUCUCUCGUUCUUGGAUGAGGAGUUGACCUCGUCAGAACAAAAUAUUCGUGUCGAUCUUAAAUUUUCGUGAAAAAUAAAUUUUUCUAAUGUUCUACUUUCCAUCACAUGUUCGCAAACAACAACAAAGCCUUAACGAAAAAUAAAAAACACCGUCUGACACAUAUACACGAACAUCUCAAACCGCAGAACGAAAAAUUCAAAUGAAACCCAAGGCACGACAGGGAUCCAUUUGAUACAGAUUUUCAAACAGUUUGCUCGUCGGAAAUGGCAAUUCAGCAAGCCGUAGUCUACAUCCAGGGACAUAAAGAAGAGCGUGGCCAAGACGGUCUAUAGAAAGGCACCACUGUGCUGUCAUCCCAUUGAAUCGAAGGGUCACGACCAAGAUAUCGAAUCUCUUUAAGCUUCUGGCUUUUCAGGUGGAAGAAAUAUAUGUUCCAUCCAGCUCUUAUGAAGAUAUACUCGGAAUUCUGAUGAAGGAAUGCCAUAAGUUUAGCUUCUUUCGAAUGCUUUCCAUGGUCUGGAUUCUGCUUCCACAUCGCCUUGAAACCGAGUCUGUACCUCAAAUUCCACUUCUUCUGUGACUGCACAUUGCCUGUGCUGAUCGAUGAGAAACUACUUUCUCCGGCCUCGAGAACCCAUAUUUCCACGCCAGACGUACUGCUCUGACCAUACUGCAAAAGCCCAUCUGAAGAAUGCCCAAGAACGCACUCAUCAUAAUCUUGAGAAAUCCUCCCUUCUGGUAAUUUAAGCAGAUUUAUACGCCUGUUUCCAAGACGUGGAUCAUAAAUGGCUAGGUUUCCCUGGGUUGCAAACCAGUGUAGGAUACCAUUAACUACAGUAGCCUCUCUCCAAGGACGCAAUGCAAAUGUUGAAGAGCAAGUGAGAGUGAAAUGCUUCCAUGUACCGCUGAUUGAAGAGUAAGUCUCAAUGGAGACAGUUUUAGAUUCCCGUCUGCAGUUACAUUUUGCCCGAAUAACCUUGUAGUGGACUGCGUCAUUAAAACAGUCAUCUUCGACAGUGAGGAAUGCCAUGCACAAACUUUGAUAGAACUGCUGAGGUUGAGGAAGUUUGCAUAGCUGUUUGCUGACUGGGUUCCACACCGUAUAUGUCAUUGGAUGGCGGCCAAAAAGAAGUAGGCCAUUGGAAGUGCCAAGAAAGUAACCAAGCUGUUUGGGUGCAGAAACCAUUAGAUUAUCACCUUCCUCACAGGCUGACAAAAAAUGAAUUGCGGGCUCUGUUAGGGGCCGCCGCAUGCCAUAUUUAGAUAUUCCGAGGUAAAGAUGGUUGCACACAAAGAAGCCCAAAAGAUGAUAAUUUACUUUCCAUCGAGCAUGGUAAUCACAUCGAAAAGAAGGGCUACAUAUCACAUGAAGCCACCUCUUCGAUACGAGUAUUAAACUGAAAACAGAUUUCUCUGGCAGACGGAGUAGGAUCUCAUGUAGGAUGUCAUCAUCACAGGUGAAUACUUCAUGAGCAUCAUUUGCAGACUUCUUUUGACCCGUCAUAAUAUCAUCUGGACACAUAAAAACGUGCUGAGAGCAUGCUCCGCUGUAUCAGUACAGUUCUAAAAAUGUGUAGCCAAACAAUAACUAAAGCACCUCCAUUGACAUAAAAGGAUACAAAUCUAAAAGUCACCGGUUGUCCAUAUUUAGAAACACUUAAAAGCUCAUGUCAAACAAAUACUGAUAAACUAACGGAAACUAGAACGCAUUUUACAAGGAGAACCAAGUAAUGACACCCUAGCAAUGACAUACGUUAAUUUGAUCGAUAUUCACAAUCUUUUACCAGAACCCCGAAAGCAGCAUAUCAAUGAAACACGUUUCAAAUUCAUAUUUUCACCUAAAUUCUAUAAUUCCAAGUUUUCCCACACCGUGUAAGCAAAAUAUGCAAUCUAAAAGCAAACUAAGAAAUCCCAAGAGAAUAUCUGCUACAAUAAGUUUCACAUUGCCUAUUCAGGAAAGAAAUCGGGUUUAGGGGAAAAGAACAAGCUUGAACACAUAUGACCCCGCAACCAUAUAUCCGAAUUGCGAAAGGGUAGUGCUAUGCACACACCCAUUUUUACCUCCCACACACCCCUUUUUAAUUGUUGUUCUUUGAUCUUCUCCAAUUCAUUCGAUCCAAUGACUUAAAAUUAAAGGUUGUGUGAAAAGUAAAAGCUUGAACACAUAUGAGCCCCGCAACCAUAUAUCCGAAUUGCAAAAGGAUAAUGCUAUGCACACACCUAUUUUUACCUCCCACACACCCCUUGUUAAUUGUUAUUCUUUGAUCUUCUCCGGUUCAUUCGAUCCAACGGCUUUAAUUAAGUGAAAAGUAAAAAUAGGUGCGUGGAUAGCACCGCCCUUGCGAAAAUUGCAACAAAUCCAAGUUCUAGACUUUUAAGUAGUUUCUAACAAUUGAAACCUAGUUAUCACCGAAACAGCGGAAUCGUCUAUAAUCUGGUUACCCAUUUGCAUGCACUAAAUUAAUUAAGGAAAAAGACCUGAACCUUCACGAGAAAAACCCAACAAAAACACUUCCGACAACCUUAAAGAUUUCAUCUUGCAUGGUCUGAUAAGAGGACAACAUAAAACACCCUAACCAAUCGAAUCGAAACGAAGGCGUUUUCCAAGCUGCCAUUUUUGCCCCAUUUCAUCAAAUUACAACGAAAGGAGAAGAGAGAGAGAGAGAGAGAGAGAGAGAGAGCUUACCUGAGAGCUUGAGCGUCUUGAUGAAUUCCGGGAGCCGCGAGGGCGGAGGAGGAGGAGCUCCGGCGAGUGAUGUUUGGACUCUCACAGUGGCAUAAAAAAACCUGUCGCUUUCUGAUCUCACUGGUUGGGGGUUUUGGGCCACCUAUUUAUAGUAAGGGGUCCGAUUCAAGCAUGGUUCGGUAGGAAUGUGACUUUACUCGGGUUAUUUACACCUUUUAAUUAAAGGUUUGAAACUGCCUCCAAAAUACUACAGUCUCGUAGUAUUUAUCUUCGUUUGUAAGUAAUAGGUUUAGGUUUGCUUUUCGUUAAAUGCGAAUUUGAAUUAUAUUAGUACUAGCUUAUUGUGAGGUUUACCCACUCCCCUUCCAACCACCAAUAUAGAUAAUAUUGUUUGUUAAAAAAAAAAAAAAAAACAAAGGUUUGAAACUUUGAAGUGGUGUUGACCAAAGAAAAAAAAAAAAAUCUUUCGAAGUGUUUUCAAUUUUCAUAGCGGAAAAUGAUAUUUCAAUUUUCUCAUAUUGUAUUCUGAUUUUCGAGUCGGCCCAUUGAAAUUUGAUUUAACAGAUGCAAUUAUUAUAAUUUUUAGAGCGACUCCCUGUUUGUAGUCGUUUGAUCAAAUUUCAACAGUCCGUGUGAUUUGCUCAGAAGGCUCAACCUCCUAAGCCCAGGAGGGGAUCCGGUUCCUUAGUUUUUAUGUUAAAUUGUUGACACAGUAGUUGUGAGAUUCGUUUUGAGAUGAUGUAAAACUCACGCAUAUAUUAUUGGGGGUCAAAUUGUAAGAGUGGUUGUGAUCGAUUAAGGAUAAGCUGAAGAUCCUAUGUGGUGCAAUUGCACCAAAAAGUUUUUUUUUUUGGAAACUUGCACGAAAAAGUUUUUGAAAGUUUACAACUUUCGUCGAACAGGACGAUUGUGCUUUGUAUUUGGUUAUUUAUUUGAAAUAAUGAAGGCCCAUACGUUCAAGAGACGACGAAAGCAAUGGUUUGACCCACUGAUCUCUUUGGACCGUUGGUUGCACCAACAGGUAAGCCCAUGUCCAUGCCAUAAAAGCUUCCCACUUACAGCUAUGGAGAUACAACCCAAGAAAUCCCCCAUCCCACCCACCCCGCCUCGGCAGAUCAAAGAAAAUACAAGAAGAAGAAGGAGAAGAACAUCAUGUUUCACUACAAAGAGGUAAAAGAUUCAAUUUUUAUUUCAUUUUUUUGGGUUUUUUUUCCCAUGAAAAAGUUUCAAUCUUUACCCAUUUCCUGGUGGAUGAAUGCAUUUUGUCAGGAAAAAGAAGCAAAGAAGGAAGCAUUCAGGAAGUACUUAGAAUCCAGUGGAGUUCUUGAUGCCCUCACCAAAGGUUUGUUGAAGUUUCGGACUUUUCCUCAUUUAUUUUUGUGGGUUGGGUUUUUUUGUUGUUGGAUUAAUUUCAUGUUUUCUGUAACUUUUUUCAUAUAAUUUUGUGAAUUGCUAACCGAAGAUUUGACGCAAAACCGACAUUCUAUGAUUCAUACAGACGGCCCACUUGGUGGGAAAAAGGCAUUAUUGUUGUUGUUGUUUUAUAUAAUUUUGUGAUUUUUUUCUGGGACAGUUCUGGUUGCUUUGUAUGAGCAGAAUGAGAAGCCUUCCUCUGCACUUGAGUGAGUUCAUUUCUUUGAUUCUGUGUUCUAAAAUUUAUUUGAGCCUAGAUCAAGUUUUAGAUUUUUUGCUAGCUCAACUCAAUUAGGUUAAUUUCAUGUGGAUUUGUUGAAUAUUUGCUCAAGAAUUCAGAUGUUAUUAUUAGCUACAUAUUCUUCUACAUCAAAAGAUAGAUGUUAGCUUUUACAUCUCGUUCUCAUUGCACAUUUUUGCUUAGAUUGUCAACCCCAUCGGACCAGUUUAUAAUACACCUUGAGUAUGUGUGAACCGUGUUGAGAAUUGUGAGAGCCUUGAACAUAUGAUGGUUGCUAUGCAAUUACGUGAUCCUUGUUCGCGAGGUUUAGUCUGAAUGCUAUUUCAGUUGUGUCAAUUCUUCGUGAGAAAUGGUACUUUUCAUUGUCAAUUUGUUCUUUUUGCUUGAUUGGUGGUAAUUUUUCACAUUAUUGAGGACCUUGAGGAUGUAUAAUCAAUCAGUAAUCAUCGUAUAAACUGAACCAUGAUGCUCAUAGUACUUCUUUAAGUGUUUUCCCUGGAACCGAGUGAUAUAAAUCGUUCAUGAACAGAGAGAAUUGUUGUAACUAGGAUAUUCCGCUUCCAUCUACUACUGUUGCUGUCUUGCAGAUGUUGGGUAGUUGUGCUUAAUUGUGUUUUGCUGCUUAGUCUAGUUUGAACUAACAAAUGUUAAGACGUACUUUGAUUUUGAUAUUCAAUUUUUUGGCAGGUUUGUUCAACAAAAGUUAGGGGGUCCAUCUGUGUCUGAUUACGAAAAGCUACAGGCUGAAUUGUCCGAGUUGCAGAAAAAGUAUAGCACACUUUCAGCAGCAUACCAAGAAACAUGCACUGAGGUAAUUUCUGGAGUUUGUAAUCCUCCUUUACUUUGAGAUUAAUAUGAGCAUUGGGUAAGAGGCAUUGUUAAGUUUUGAACAACAUAUUGCCUAUAGGGCGAUAAGUUAUGUUAAAUAAAGUUGUGAAACCAAGUGUUAAAUUGCAAAGGCAAGAUAUAGAUAUAAUUCAUGAACUCCGUAGAUCUUACGAUUAUGUGAUAAUUGGGGGAAGAUAGGCACCAACUCAUUGGAUGACCAGUAAGAUGCAGGUUUCGCUCAAUAACUUUGAUAACUAAAACGUUCCUUGUGGUGGCAUGUUUGAGAUAUGUAUGAUACUGAUUGCAUUGGCUUUUGAUCUUCGUUUUAACUGUAACAACCUCCUGUUUCGUUAUAUAACUCACCAAAUUAUGCACCGUAUUGCAGCUAGAGGGACUUAAGAGCUCACAAUUACUUAACGUGGCCUCGCUUUCUAUCAAAGACAAAGAGACCGCAGGCGAGGAGGCCCUAAAGGAGAAAAUCUAGAAGUGCGGUAGAUGAUUGUGUAAAUUGCUAAGCUACGCAAAACCUUUUCGUGUGAAUAUAUCAAACAUGUGACAGGAGCCAUGGUUUCCUGGCUGUAGUAUCUACAAUACACGCCAGAACUUCGUACUCUCUGUGUAUGUGCUCGCGUUAACUUGUGUUUGUGUCAUCUCUUUCAUCAUUGUAUGUGUUUGGUGUGAGUUCUAUGUAACUGAUUCCCAUGAGAUAUCUUCAAAUUUUAAUGUCAUUUGAUAUUCUUCUUUAAAUUUGGGAAUCGGGAUGUUGUGCAAGAAAUAGCGAUCCUUGUUUCUUGCUCUAUUCUGCAAUGGUUGUCCAGCAUAAUCUUGAGACAAUGAAAACUCAAACGACACAAACUUGAGAUCUACUUUUGAAGACAGUCACUAAAUUGUUACAACAAUACCGUCGCAAAUGAUAAGAUUUGCCAACAAUUUGUGGCAGAAAUUCUAUCCUUCUCUUAAAAUGACAUAACACCAGCUGCUACUGCAAGCAGAAAACAACGAGUAGAGCAACCGCGACGAUGACCGAGCAAAUUAAAGCCUGCACCAGUGCAAGUUUUCAGCACAAGAGGAAACAAAAUGUCAACACCAAACAUCAAAAGACAAAAAAAUUGUAGGAAAAAAUCUGCAUAAUUUCUUACUGCAAUGGCAGAUGCUGCAAGGCCAGGUCGUUCCCUGGGGUCUUUAAGGUGGUUCCCAAAGUAAAGGACUGUAGCAUAAUACCAUAGUGGUGGAAAGGCAAAUCCCAAGAGAAACCUGUCACAAGCAUCGAUCCUAUAAUCUUUAGUUCUGUCUACAGGACAAACACGCACUCAACAAGAACACAUGUAUAACAUGUCUAGUUGUUUAAAACCACUUCUAAGAGUCCUACCAAACCGUUUGAUUGAUUUAGUACACCAUAUUAUGGGUCGCUUAAGUAUUGGUAUUAAUUCGUGUUUGUACCCUAGAAAAACCGCAAAAAAAAAAAAAAAAAAAUCUCUAGCAUCCUUCAAUUCAAAUUAAAAGUGAGCAUCUUAAUCCUAACACAUAUUCAUCCAUCAGUCUCACUUUAUGCUUGUACUUAAUGGAGGUGGAUUGUGUGCCCUCCCAUUUUCAUACUCUUCACAUUCUCUCUUGUCUGUGUGGUUACGGUUAAGCCACGUCAACAUUUUAUAUUCUUAUUACUUUUUAUUUUAUUAUUUUUAUAAGAAAAUCAAUAUAAAAUGUUGACGUGAUUUAACCGUUACCACACAAACGAGAAGAGAUGGAAAGAGUAUAGAAAUGAGAGGACAAACAAUCCACCUCGUACUUAAUAGAUGUUUGUGCUCUACAAAACACGCAAAACAUCAAUCACUAUCGUCCCUUAAAAAGAAAGAAAAAAGUAAGAAUCUUGAACUAGAAACUCACGAGAACCAUCCAAUGCCACAACCGAAGCAUGAAAGUGGCUUAUCAUACAUCCCAUCAAGCAAAUCUAAUUCUCCUCCAUCAACUUCAAGUUGCACCAUUCCUUUACUUCCAUGAUCUCCACCUGUACCAACACAUUAUGCCGUGAAUAUCUACGUUGCUCCAGAGUAUUCUAUACUUCGUAAUUUUUAUCCCUCGAGCGAUAAUCUCCGACCCUCGCAAAGCAGGGAACUUGGGGUCGCUCUUAUAGCGAAAAUCCCUUAGGUAUUUACUACAACGCCAAACAAGGGAAGAGAGAAAAAUCACAGUACUGACCGUAUUGCUGCUUCAACGAUGUGAUCCCAGUGUUGUUCUUCAUGCUUGCUCCUUCUACCAAAUCCGUGCUGCUCUCAUGCAUGAUCAAAUCGCUGUAGUUAGACACAGAAGUCUCGAAAUUUAUCGACGUUUCGAAGAGGAUCCAUGCUGUUAUGUGCGGUUUUAUGUUGACAAACUGCUGGAGAGAAAACCAGAAAACGAAAAGGUUUCGAAAGGAGGGAGAAAGAGGAACAAAAGGAUUCACUUUUUCGGUUUCUUCUUGUUUUGAAUAAAACGGUUUCCCUCUUUUUAACCGAAACAACUGCCACUUUGCUUUUGGAUUUUAUUGAACAAAGCAUGUCACUUCAUCAUUUACUAACCUCUUUCCGCACGCGUAAUUUUCUUUUCUUUUUUUAUGUUAUUUUUACUUGUAAUCUUAUUUAUUUUAUAUAUUUUUAUUUUUACUUGUAAUUUUCUUUUCUUUUUUUAUGUUAUUUUUAUAUAUUUUUAUUUUAAAUUACGAAUUAUUUACCUUUUUGUCUUCCGGUUAUAUAUAUAUAUAUAUAUGUGUGUAGAUAUUUUAAAGUCUAAAAUAUACUUUUUUCACUCAUCGUGAUUCAUGUUGUGAAAUUUAAGUAUUAAAACUAAAAGAUUCGUCCAUCGAAUGCAUAAUUUUACUAAGGUUGAUUGAUCAAACUCAUAUGUGCUAAGAGCAAUUAUAAUUGAACUAUUUUGACCAAAAAAAAUUAUAAUUGAACUAUCAUUAUUCGACAAAAAUAGCAUUCAUAUCAUUGUUCUUGUGGUGUACAAACCAAAAAAAUAAAAUAAAAAAGUUGAUAUUCAAUUUGCAAAUAUUUCAACAAACACUGAUAAUUAGUUAUAUCAACUUUUGAGCAUAUAGCCCCACUAACAGGUAGGUAUCUUUUGGAGAAGCAACAUAAGGUUGGUGGUGACUGGUGAGGUGCCAAAUUAACUGAAGUUGUCCCACCCAAACAUUAAUUGGGGAUUGCUAUGGCUUUCUUUUUCAAUCUACUAUUUAUUUUUUCAACGUAGAUUCGUGCAAAAUAUUAUUUAUAAUAAAAAAAAAUGUAUAAUAAAAGUAAUUUUUGUAAAGUUUUGUGGACUCGAUCUAACAUUAAGAUGACUUAUAUGUCGAGCACGUCAACGACUUACAAAAGGUCACACUUGUAAUGAAGAAACAAGAGCUAAAACUCGACAAAGGGCUCAAUAUUUAUAAAAUAUGAAUUUCUUAUGUGAGUUACACUAGUUGGAAAGAUAGUAAAUUCGUGUUCUUAUACUCGAUUUUGCAUCGUUUUUUUGUUUAAUUUUUUUAUACUGCUAUAAUUUACUCUAAAAUUGAUAGAAACUUGAAUUAAGUCGCACAAUAAGAUUGACAUAAUGUGGUAUUGAAUCUGCUGAAAUCUAAAACCUUUUAGUUACAGAUGACGAGUAACACUAGUUUGUAGUUUGUAGUUUAAAAUAAAAGUUUAUUUUUUUGUUGAAAAAAAAAAAUGUAAUUUGUGAACUUGUUGACUGGAGUCUAAAUGUCAAAUCAAACCUAAAACCCAAUCCGACGGCCAAAAUCACACCACACAAUUAAAAGCGCAAACCAAGAAAACCAACCAAAAAUAAAAUAAAAAGAAGAAAAAUAAAAUAAUUAUUUUGUUUAUUCGACACAGACGCUCUCUCUCUUUCUCUCUCUCUCUCUCUAAAACUCCGAAUGGAACCGAAUGAAAACCAACUGAGCUCCUACUUCCAACACCCCACCACGACGACGGCCCCCGCCGCCACUUCCACAGCCGCAACCACUCCCUCUCCAACCAAUGGGCUCUUGCCCAACACCCACUCAACUUAUGGGUCCCACAUGUUGUACUCUCACUCGGUGCCCUCCUCGGCGGUGACCUCGCCACUUGAGCCCGCGAAAAGGAAGCGGGGGCGGCCCAGAAAGUAUGGCACGCCGGAGCAGGCUCUGGCGGCCAAGAAGGCAGCGACGACGUCGUCUCACUCCUCGUCCUCCAAGGAGAAGAAGGACCAACACGGCGCCGUCUCGCCUUCGUUUUCUGGGUCGACCAAAAAAUCUCAGCAGUUUUCUCUCGGUGGGUCGCAAAUAAAUACCCUUUUAGAAUUUUUUUUUUGUUUUUUUUUUUUUGCAAUUGGGUAGUGAAAUUCUUCAAUUUUUUUUUUUUUUGCUAAUUUCUUCAAUUUCGAUUUGGGUUUUAAGUUUUUGGUAGCAUUGCUGUGGAAAGAUUGAAACUUGAUGGUUAUGAGUGGGUGUUCUGGAAAUACCCUAUUUGUGUUUCGUUGUGAAAUUUCGUGUUCUCGGUGGGUUGUUGCGAAUUGCUUCGAUUUUAUUUGUGUUUUUUUUUUUAUUUGCUAUGUUUCGCAGUGGCUGCCCUGUUUUCUGUGUUUUUAUUUGUUAAUGGUUUAUUGUGAAUACGUUGCAAUUUUAAAGGUUUUGUUCCGAUGCUUAAAUUUAUAAGUGUUUUCGAUUGCAUUGUUCGGUGUUCUCACCUUUUGGUAGUGUUCAGUUUAAUUAUUGCUAAAUGGUGGGCAUAGUUGGCUGUCAAUUUUAAAAUUGGAGUAGAAUAACUUCCCCAUCUGUUUGAAUGAUAAGCUUUUGGGAAGUAAAAAGAGAAGAUAAGGCAAUUUGGUAACUUUAAUUUACAUGAACCAAAAUCUUCCGAGAUCACACUUUUUGGAGUGGAAACUUUGGUUAGCUUGAUAGUAAGUUAUUGAUAAGAAGCUCUUAUGUUUUUGCUUUUGAAGGAUAGUUACCUAGUGUUUAGUUUCGGUAAUACCGAGUAUAGUUUUUAAAGUGAUGUCAAUACUGUAGUCCAAAGUGGCUUGUUUUGUGGUAUAAAUAAUCAUAAUUUAAAACACUCAUGUGGUACUCUUAAUUGGUUGAUGCAGGCAAUGCAGGGCAAGGUUUUACACCACAUGUUUUAACUGUUGCUGCUGGGGAGGUAUGAAUUUCCUAAUGAAUUCUCAAAGAAGGAAUACCAUGACAGUUUAAUUCAUGUUUUUCCCCUUCAAUCAAGUGUGUGUGUGUGUGUUUUUUUUUUUUUUUGUUUUAUAAAUUGCAGAUUCUGGAAUAUAGCUCUUUCUUAUUUGAUUGCAUGAAUGGAUUUUUUAUUUUCACAUUGUUUUAAUGUGUAACGGGCUGAUAUGGGAUAUAGAAUAUUUCCUUGAGUUUGUUUGUGGGUUUUGUGAACAACCUUGCAGAAGUGGUUUCCUUUUUCCUUUGGGGCAGUUACUGUUGUAUUUUUACUACAUCCAUAGUUGCCUGAACUUACCUUGUUUAUCUUGCCCAAACUUACUUUUGGUGCAGUAGUUAUACAGUUUUCCCGUUAUUGUGUUUUCUUUAUUUGUUAUGUGCUCACACAGUUUAGUGAAAUGUCUAACAGGAUGUGGGCCAGAAAAUCAUGUUUUUCAUGCAACAGAGCAAGCGUGAAAUAUGCAUUCUAUCUGCUUCUGGUACCAUCUCAAAUGCAUCUCUCCGCCAGCCAGCUACUUCGGGAGGCAACAUUACAUAUGAGGUAAUUUUUGUCUUCAGCCUUUCCAAGUUUCAGAAACAUUAAGUAUCUUGGAAUAUAUUGUAUUUGUGCUUUUGGAGUAUCAUAUUCAGUGCUUUGUUCAAGGUAUGUGUAUAUGAGUGGAUACUUGUGUCACUGUGAUUAUAAAAUCAAAUGGCAACGCUUUGGACUAGUGAACCUCCCAGGUGGUAUUAGAUUCUCGGUGGACAAAAAUAGGGCAACUGUAACUUAGUUGCUCACUAUUGGCAACUAACAGGUGUAGUUAUCAGUGUGGGUUCAGAUGGAGGUUAAAUGUACAAGUUCAGCCAUUAUUUUUUUGUGUACAUGGAUUUUUUUAUUGGUCCGUUCAUUCAGCUAAACUGAGAUACGGCAAAGCUGCGAGCCUGAUAACAAUUCUCACUUGCUUCUAAUUUAUUUUUAGACGUAUCUGAAUAAAAAAAUCUUUUAAGUAAAAUAUAUUUUGACUGUAUAGUUCUUAUAGUGCCCUGUAUAUUCUACACAUGAAGCCAUCGUAUGAUUGAUGAAAAAGUGCCAUCCAUAGUGAUAGGUGGCUGAAUUUUGAUUUUAGUAGUGUCCAAGUUAUUCAGGUAGAGUUCAUUGCUACAAAUUAUAGUUGUGCAAUGUGCCAUUGCUCUAUCUCUGUGUGUGUGUAGUUAGGCAGGAGAAAAGGGAGGAAAUGACGACGUCAAGAUUCCUUUCUUUUGAUUUCCUUUUUUGCUUGGCCUAAAGUGGUUUAUGUGGAAAUAAAAAAUAUUAGUUUCAAAAUAUGCCUAUGCUUUUCUAUCUUAGAAAUUUUGGACGUGUGAAACAAAAAUUUAAAUUUCUUAAAGGUCUGCAUAUUCUUGCAAAAAAAAUAUUUUGUUAGUUCCUCCAAAGAUUAAUAUAUGUCUGGCUAAGUCCUUUAUAAUACCAGACAACUUGACGGAUGGAACUGUGGCUUCUUGAUCAUCUCCCUCAUGUUUAGUUCAUCAAAGUGUAAUGGUUUCUUUCUGAUGUUAGGGUCGCUUUGAGAUUAUUUCGUUGUCUGGAUCUUAUGUACGUACUGACCUUGGAGGGAGGGCUGGUGGGCUCAGUGUAUGCCUAUCUAAUACAGAUGGGCAAAUCAUCGGCGGUGGAGUUGGUGGGCCCCUGAAGGCUGCAGGCCCUGUGCAGGUAAUAUUUUAGCAAGUUCACAUUUUGUUGAAUAAUGUCUGUAAUAUUGUUUGAGUGCACAACUGUGGCAUAAGAUACUAGUGUCUUAUGUGUCUCUGCAUCGAAGCAGUAGGGGGUUUGGAUGUCAUCUGAUGCUCAAAUUGAUUUUUCCAUGUUAUUUGGCAUUGGGGCAUUUGAACCCUUUCUUCUUAACUGAAAUCUCUGCUCGUUUCAGUUAGCUUGUUUGAAAAUUGGUUCUGCGGUAUCUAUGUAACACUACUUCGUUGCACCCACAGGUUAUUGUCGGAACAUUUCAGAUUGAUGCCAAGAAGGAUGCGACUGCUGGUGUAAAAGGUGAUGCUUCUGCUGCCAAGUUACCAUCGCCAGGGGAAAUGAUGAGCGGAGGCUUCCACCCAACACUCGACCCUUCUGGAAGACCUCUCGUCAGGGGGAAUGAAGAUCAGCAACCUAUGGGGGGAAGUCACUUCAUGCUUCAGGGCAUGCAUGUCGCACCUUCACGGCCCACAGAUUGGAGAGGUGGUCCAGAUGCUAGAGGCACCGGUGCUUACGAAUUGACAGGAAGAGGAGUUCGUGCACCACAUCAAUCUCCAGAGAACGGGGACUACGAUCAAAUUCAAGAUUAGGGAUUUCUUUUGGGAUUUGAGAAGCGGUUUUUUGUCGUAGAUAGAUGUAUAAUACAUACUUUUCGUCCGCUAACUCUGUUUUUAGUGUGCACCAUACAUUAGAGAUGAUGGCUCCAUACCUGUGACCUCCACCCUUUGAAAUAUGUUGCUGCCUUCACUUUUGCUCAUGGUGUAUGUGCAUGGGGGUCGGCGGCUGGUUUCUGUUCUAUACUUUGCCUGAAUAUGGUUGUCGAUAUUUAUCCGUUGGGGAAUUAAUCACAGUUCUGCAUCUCUUUCGAAAUCUUUUCGUAUGAGUUGAUUGAUCCUUGAAUGGUUCUUCAUCACCUUCUUGGCGUACAGAGUUCGAAUCGCGGUUGCCUGAAAGUCUGCUGAAUUUUCUUUCAAGGGUACGUCAAUGGUUGGCAGAAGAGUCCAUAGUGUUUGUUUGGAAGUGCUUCUUUAGAAAGCACUUCUGUUCAUGAGUGUUCUAGUGAAAGUGAUUCUGUUAGAAGUGUAUUGAAAUUUUUAAUAGAACUGCAGCACUUGAAAUGCUUUGUUUAGGUGCUGCUUCUGGAAAGCAUUUCAUUUACACUAAACCUUUUCUGGCAACCUCGUUUCACCUGCUGCUAAGGGCUCGCUUGAUAAUGUUUUUAGUUUGUGUUAAGACGGAAAAAUGGAGGCGGGUGGUGGAAGGAAGGAGAAAUGAAGAGUUUGUAUGAAAAUAAAAAUGUCGUCGUAAGGUCGUACCCAGUGCACAAGGCUCCCGCUUUACGCAGGGUCUGAGAGAGGUGAAUGUCGGCUAGCCUUACCCCCAUUUAUGGAGAGGCUGCUCCCAAGUUAUGAAAAUAAAAACGUGAAAGUGAAAAAUAAAAACGAAAAGCAAAUUGGUUAUCACAUUCUAAAUUACUUUAGUCCACAAGAUGAGAUAUUUGAACUUUGUUCUAUGUGUGAAAUACAACGCCUUGGCCUUUUGACAAAAUUCGAUCGAAUAAUUUAAUAAUUUGGGAUUUUAUUUUAUUUUUUAUACGUCAAUAUUUUACACUACAAUUGAUGAGGAUUUAGACUAAUCGAACAAACUAUACAGUGGUAUUGAGCUUACCAUCCACGAAAGUCAACACCUAAAACUUCUAUUCACUUACGAGCGAAGAGAGUAACACUAGUAGUUAAGAUUAAAUAUUGAAUGUUCACAAUGUUACAAGUUUAAUAUAAAAUUGAUCCGACCCUCUACCUUAGACUGUUGAUGAACCUUGUCUCAAGGCAUCUUAAGGUCCACACGUUAACUAAAAGUUGUGCAUUGGCUGAUCAAGACUCAAAAGGCAUAAAUCAACCAACACGAUAUUGACAUUUCCAUACUUGCAAACUCCAAUUUUCAAUUUCCAACCUAAAAAGUUGAAACUAGGGUUUUGAAUUAUGCAAAGUUUAGUUGGUCACGAACAUUUAUCUUUUUGUCUGAAGUGUUAAGUUCGACUUUUUAAAAAACUAAGUUGAACUUAGUUAACUAAUUCGAACUUAGUUGGUAAAAAAACACUCAUCUUUCUCCUUGAGACUUCGAGGUGUUAAGUUCUAUUUCUUUCCAUCCUAAGUUGUUUUGAACAAGAAGCGAUAGAGCGUAACAUUAUUAAGAAUAACCAAAUACAAUAGGUGGUGGAUGAGUAUAUUGUUUCCAGUAACCAAUUUUGUUGAUAUGGAGAUAAUUUGCAUUGAACAUAAAUAAUUUUAAAACUCCUAUACGAUUACCACACAAAACCACAAGAAGCAAGAGUCUCAAAACAAAUCUAUCAAAACAAAUGUGAUCGCAAACGACCUUAUCACACAACUUAUUGUUGCAACACAAACAAAUUACCGAAGCAACACAUAAACCCUACUAAAUACUUAAAAGAACUAAAAACCAAACCAAUGACGUGUCCAUUGAGAAGAUCCCUCCCUAAGCACAUGUAUCACAUGUUUUUUUUUGGUCAAAAAAUAGAUUUUGUUAGAUUUGUUGACUCCAACAUCUGAAUCAACUAAUUCAAGUCAACUUGCAACCACCAAACCUCCCGACGGACAAAAUCUACUCAAGAUCGGACCCAUCCAACGGUGGAAACACUAGGAUGCACCACAUCUACCACAUGCACCCGCCCACACUAUACCCACAAAAAAAGUAAGAGGAACAACCUUUUUAACGAAAUAAAUAAGGAAAGAAAAAUAAUUUUAUUACAAGAUGCAAUGAAUAAGUUACCGCCUUUUCCGUGCGAGAACGUCCAGGUUCUCUUCACAUCACACACACUUGCGGGCCCCACGGCCUCCCCUUAAAGGCUAAAAGUUAAACAUCGCAUUCCUCACCACCGACCCAGCUGCUGGUCUGCAAUCUGCAUUUGGGUAUUUGUAUUUUGGUUUCUGGGAUUCGUUUCUGCUACGAGUUGGUGGAGAAAGAUCGAGUCUUUGGAGGUGAUUAAUGGUGGGGUUUGCAUAAAAAGUUGGAUUGAGUAAUAAAGUUUCCGACUUUCGGGUUUUGAUUUGGACACGGGAGGCACCGAGGUGUGUUCUUAUUGCUUACUUUUUUUUUUUCCUGAUUUUUUUCCUUCUGCUCUUGUUUUCUCUGAGAUUUUGAUUCACUGAAAUCAAACUUUUGCUUGUAGUUUUUGAAAUGAAAGAAGGGUUUUAGAAGAACCGGGGAAAAAACAGCAGAGGAGUGGAUUGUAGGAAGUUUGGAGGGCUGUUUUGAUUGGAAAGGUAGAAUUUUGAUUGGGAAGAUAGAAAGUUUAGGAGUUUUUGGCAGAUGGGAAGGUUGGAUCUUAGGAGUUUAGAAAGUGGUUAUGUCAGUCACCCUCCAACAAUCCAGGUGUUUUUCAUAUCUUAGAAUACGGGAAAUGUGUUUUGGGAUUCGUAAUUUGGGAUUGAAGUGAUAGAAUUCGAGUGGUUUUCGUUGUUUUUGGGGUGUUCGAGUGAGUUUGGUUGUUCCGGAGUUUGAAAGAUUGAAAGUUUGAUAGAAGUGGAAUGAUCUGAACAAAUUCAUCACUUGGGCGGGUGCAAUGUUCAGAGCAUUAGCAAUUGGAUUGUUGGUUUUGUGUUUCGUUACAUUAGUUUCGGGCAGUGAUCAUGACUUUUCACAUUGCAAUUGUGACGAGGAGGGUUUUUGGAGCAUACCAAACAUUCUGGAGUGCCAAAGAGUGAGUGAUUUCUUGAUUGCAAUAGCAUAUUUUUCAAUCCCUGUAGAACUCCUUUACUUUGUCAGCUGCUCGAACGUUCCAUUCAAAUGGGUCCUCCUGCAGUUUAUUGCCUUCAUAGUUCUCUGUGGGUUGACCCAUUUGCUGAAUGCGUGGACGUAUUAUGGCCGCUACACGUUCCAGUUGAUGCUGUCCCUCACCAUUGCCAAAUUCCUCACGGCCUUGGUCUCUUGCGCAACCGCAAUAACCCUUUUAACUCUGUUCCCUAUGAUUCUCAAAGUAAAAGUGAGAGAAUUGUUCUUGAGGCAAAAUGUGAUGGAAUUAGACCAAGAGGUUGGGAUGAUGAAGAUACAGAAGGAAGCGAGUUGGCAUGUUCGAAUGCUGACCCAGGAAAUUAGAAAGUCGCUUGACAAACACACCAUAUUGUAUACAACUCUGGUUGAGCUUUCAAAGACACUAGACUUGCAUAAUUGUGCAGUUUGGAUGCCGAAUGAGAAAAGAGGAGAGAUGAACCUGACCCAUGAGUUGAAAACAAGUUCUUCGCAACAGUCGCCGUUCUAUCCCAAUCAAUGACCCAGAUGUGUUAGAGAUAAGAGAGAGCGAGAGGGUAAUGAUCCUGAGGCCUGAUUCGGCAUUGGGGUCUGCAAGUAGCGUCGAGUCUAGUGAAUCAGGUGCUGUAGCAGCAAUCCGGAUGCCAAUGCUUCGGGUUUCAAAUUUCAAAGGAGGUACACCUCAGUUGGUUGAUACGCAUUAUGCUAUAUUGGUUUUGGUUCUUCCGGUUGCAGAUUCUGGAGGUUGGAGCCAUCAUGAGCUGGAGAUAGUGGAAGUUGUGGCUGACCAAGUUGCCGUGGCUCUAUCCCAUGCUGCUGUACUUGAAGAGUCUCAACUAAUGAGGGAGAAACUGGCUGAGCAAAAUCGAGCGUUGCAACAAGCUAAGAAGAAUGCAAUGAUGGCUAGCCAAGCAAGGCACUCGUUUCAGAAGGUAAUGAGUCAUGGAAUGAGAAGGCCAAUGCAUACGAUUUUGGGUUUGCUCUCAAUGUUCCAAGAUAAUUUAAGUUUCAAACAGAGCAUUAUUGUGGACACAAUGGAGAAAACUAGUUACGUUAUCUGCACUUUGAUAAAUGAUGUGAUGGAGAUGUCGGUAAAAGAUAAUGGAAGGUUCCCGUUGGAGAUGAGGCCUUUUGAACUACAUUCUAUGAUCAAGGAAGCUGCUUGCCUUGCCAAAUGCUUGUGUAUGUAUAAAGGCUUUAGCUUUGAAAUUGAUGUUCAAAGCUCAUUGCCUAAUCAGGUGAUGGGAGACGAGAAAAGGACUUUCCAAGUACUCUUGCAUAUGAUUGGGUACCUAUUGAGUACCUAUAAUGGUGGGGGGACUGUCGUCUUUCGGGCUAUUUCUGAGAGUGGUACUGAUGGCCUUGAUGAUAGAUUGCAAGGAAUGUGGAGAAUGGGUAUUCCAGAUGAGUACAUUUGUAUAAAGUUUGAAUUUGAGAUUAGUGAGGCAAAUUCUUAUCCCGGUGGAUUAAUAGCAUCGACACACGAUGCUUGUAGGCAGCACAACAAUGAUGCAAUCAAGAAGGGCCUGAGCUUCAGCAUUUGUAAGAAGAUUGUCCAGGUAAGCACAACAAUGUUUGUUUGUGUUAUUAAUAUUGUUUAUUCUGCUGCUUGAUGCUGUAUAAUUUGCUUCAUUGUAAUUUGUGACCGAUCAAUUGAACUGUUGGUAUGCUCCCCAUGAAGUUGAUUAUUGCCGUCUUGAUCCGUGCAUUCUUAAUAUGAGUCUAUUUCAACUGCAUGUAGAAGGUCUUUGUGAGAAAUGAGUAGUCAGAGUCCACGGUCUCAGAAGUCAUGCAUGUUGGUUAACUUGUUUCCUUGCUUUUUAGUCUCACUUUCAAAGGAUAUCUUAUGCGCCUUUAAAUGAACACGGCACCACAUUCUCUCCACACCAUAUCUCAGGCAACCUCUAGUUUGAUCGGCGACCUAUUUCUACUGUAUUUAAUUUGUAAUAUUGUUGGUCAAAUUGUAUUUUCUGCUCUGAAGUUAGAACAAUAUAUUGGUCAAGGACUAUAUAAGUCAGAUAGUAACAGUCUUCACUUUUAUGUCAAAUUUUAGGGUCAUGGAUACAAUUUCACUGUAUAAAUACAGGUACAGUUUUGAUCUGGAUUGUUUUCUUCCAAAAUAUAUGUUUCUACAAGAAAUGCUAAUAAGAUUUAGAAAAUACUUACCGCAGCUUGCAUCGCUAAUUAUUUUGUGCAGCUCAUUUAUAGAUUUUGAUUUAUGCAUUGAUAUGAGAAGGCAAUCAAAAUAUGAAUAAUGUUAGAAACUUAUGGUUCUUCGGUAAUAAAUUUAUGUACAGAUGAUGCAAGGCAAUAUCUGGAUAUCCAUGAACCCAGUGGAAUUUGCAGAAAGCAUGACACUUGUUCUCAGGUUUCAAAUCCUGUCAUCUAUGGGAAGAACUAUACGUCCCCUGGGAAAUAAUUUGGAGCAACCAAAUUCCAACUCGCAGUUCAGAGGCCUUCGGGUUAUCGUAGUGGAUGAUGAUAACAUAAACCGGACUGUGACCAUUAAGCUCCUCGAGAAACUUGGCUGUCAAGUUACUGCUGUGUCUUCCGGGUUUGAAUGCCUGAGUGCUCUUACUGCCUCCGAAAACUCUUUUCAAAUUGUUGUAUUGGAUCUCCACAUGCCGGAAAUGGAUGGGUUCGAAGUAGCAAUGAGAAUCAGGAAGUUCCGCAGCCGUAGUUGGCCAUUGAUCAUAGCCAUCACAGCAAGUGCGGAGGAGCAUAUAUGGGAGAGAUGUCUGCAGCUGGGAAUGAACGGAUUGAUUCGAAAACCAGUUCUUUUGCAAGGGAUGGCGGAUGAACUUCGUCGAGUUCUACAAUGAGCAGAUGAAGGUUUGUGGAGAUGAAGCAAGUGAAGUAAUGUGGUGUAGUUUACUUUUGUUUCCUUACUUCUUUCACAACUUCUUUAGGUUUCUCCAAUGAGCACAAGUUCUAGAAAGAUGGAAUCCAACUUAAACAUGUUAAACUUAGUUUUACUCAAAAAAUAUAGUAAUUAUAUAUUGCUAACCAUAUCCUUCAUGUCACAAGUAAUAUGUACUGAAUAAUGAGAGUUUUUUUUCUUUGUUGAUGUUAAAUGCGCAAAAUUGAGCGCAAUGGCAUUAUAAGAUUCAUACUGCGACUCCACUUAGUGGGAUAAGACUUGGUUGUUGUUGUUAGUGUUAAACCAAGGCUACUCAUAUUCAAGUUAAGGUGACAGUAGCUAUAUGAUUGUCCUAACUAUAACAAAUAUUUACUCCAAUCCAAUGAUUAUUCACCUAUUCAAACAAAAUGCUUCGCAAAACUUAUACACACCUGUAAUGUCAAUAUGUGCGUAAUUGGCUUGUAAUACCCAUUACAAAUGCUUGGCAAUCAAUAGAAGAGUGGAAUUGAAGAUUGAAAAAGAUAGUCCGAGCAGACACCAUAUAUAUGUUUGAUUAAACCAAAUUUAAAUACCGAUUUGUUGUGGCCUAUAUUUAACUAACAGGGAGAGGGGGCCGGCAGCACAGAGAAAAUAUAGAGAGAGAGAUGUGUUUGUAGGGUUGUGUAAAAGAUGUGUUAUUCUCCAUACGCAAUGCCUUUAUUUAUAGUAAUAAGAGAGAAGAAAUCCUUCUCCUCCAAGGAAUACAAGUCCUAAUAGGGAAGAAUAACUAGAAUAAAAUCUAAUCUAGUAUUUACACAAUCACACUUAAAUAAAAAGUUUAUAACACUCCCCCUUGAGUAUGCAAAUAUCCAAGUAGAUUCGGCAUCAUGUAGAGUUGAGGAAGUCGACUUGUCAGCACUGAUUUUGGGAACACGCUAGUCUCAAUAAGGUAGGAACUUGCAUAAGAAAAUAAGUCUAAAAAAAAAACCCUAAGGCUAUGGUAAAAACCCAAGUAGGGACAAAAUCCGUAGUCUAAGGAAAAAUGUGUGAGUAAUGCAAAGUCAAAUGAAACGUCUACGGGACAUCAUCAGGGAUAUGAUCAACCCAAGGUAGGUGUCUCAUCAAAACCUCGUUAAGUAGCAAAAACCCAGUGGGAAAAAUGCUCUUAAUCGUAAGGAAUAAAAGCACAUUAAGAUCAAGCAAGUAUACUUCAGGAUACUCCCCCCGAGUUUGACACAAUUCGAAAGAGAACUAACAAUGGUACAACUCAGAAAGUUUACGCAUACCAAUUCCUUGAACAAGCUUCUGAAACGUUGCCCUCGGUGGUGAUUUGGUGAAAAGGUCGGCCAUCUUGUCUUGUGAAUGGAUUUGCGUGACUUCAAUCUUUUGAUGUUCUUGUUGUUGAUGUGAGAAGAAGAACUUUGGCGCAAUGUGCUAGGUGUUGUCUCUUUUGAUGUAACCCUUCUUAAGUUGUUCGUUGCAUGCUAUGUUGUCUUCAUAGAUCGUCGUCGGGACGUCUACGACGGGGUAAAGAUCGCAUGAGCUUCGAAUAUGGCCCACAACUACUCUCAGCCAGAAGCAUUCUUGAGUUGCUUCGUGUAGGGCGAUAAUUUUAGCAUGGUUAGACGAAGUGGCAACUAAGGUCUGUUUAGUUGACCUCCAAGAGAUUGCGGUGCCUCCAACGGUAAAGACAUAACCUGUUUGAGAACGCACCUUGUGCGUAUCAGAUAAGUAUCAUGCGUCGGCAUAACUAUGUUUGUACCAUACUUGACCAAUCCCGAAACUACUGAGCACCAGUUAACGUUAUACCGUCAAGGACCCAGAAGAGUUUCCCUCAAACCAGGAGGCCAAUCACAGCGCGACACGUGUCAACAUCAGAAGCCAAUCAUAUCGCAAAAGUCUCAACAUCAGAAGCCAAUCACAACACGACACGUGUCAAUGUCAGAAUGAAACUAGAAACUCUUUUCUAUAAAUAGAGAUCAUUCUUUCACAAUAUUUCCUAAUGUCAUUUGUACUAAAUCAUUCACUAGUACUCACUAAAGGAGAGCUUGAACCUAUGUACUUGUGUAAACCCUUCACAAUUAAUGAGAACUCAUCUACUCAGUGGACAUAGCCAAUCUGGGUGAACCACGUACAUCUUGUGUUUGCUUCCCUGUCUCUAUCCAUUUACAUAUUUAUCCACACUGGUGACCAGAGCAAUCUAGUGAAGGUCACAAACUUGACACUUUCUGUUGUACCAAAGUCAUCACUGAUUUUGUGCAUCAACAUUUGGCGCCGUUUGUGGGAACGACACGUAUUCCCGCUCUCUUCAGUUUUGUCAAGGUGGUUUCCACCAUUCGUACACUCUCUUUUGACUAGACAUCCCUCUCUAACAUGGGGAGCAAAAGAAGCCACAACACGCAUAAUGACACCCCUCUUGCACCUGGUGCGAAGCAACGAAGGAAUGAACAAAAAAAGUUUGCUCUUCAGGCUAAAGUCGAUGAGCUGGAAGUUCAGAACAACAAGAUAGCAAUGAAGAAUGAGAUCCUCCAAGAGCAGUAUGAGAAGGUCUUUGAGACGCUUCACGAAACUAGGCGUACUCAAACACGCGAGCUCAUUACCUUUGUGGACAUCAAUCAUCAUCUGGGUGCCCCCUUCGACAUGGGUAUCCCUGAUGAGGAGCGAGCUAAUCAUCAAAACUUUGAUCAACAUGAGACUUUUCUCAACCCAGCUGCUUUGACCUGAAGUAUGAGAAGUGGAGGAAAACACCUCCUUACAGAAGAAGUGGAAGGAUCAAAACUGUCUUUCACGAUUGUCGAGAUUUCCUAAAGCAAUGUUAAGAAAAUCCCAUCCAUGUAAGCUUAAAGAUCAAUUACCCAAGGGUCUCUGAAAGACUCAGUCCCCUCCCAUGUCCCAGGCCGGCUACCAAUUUGGGGAAGGGGCAACAAGUCCUAGAGAAACACGAAGGUAUAGGAGACUCAGAAAUGUUCCGACAGACAUACCUUGGAAGUCAGUAUGGCGUCCAGGGAAAAAUCACAUGCUCUUGAUCAAACCUUCAUACUUCCAAGAGGAGAUGAAGAUUUACGAAAGAAAACUCCAGUGGUACAUGACUCCACUCAGGACCCUCUUGUCCUACAACUUCUUAAUGAAGUAAACAAGUUGAAGGCCAAACGACAAGCUGAGAUAUCUGAUUGGAACCAACCUAGGCCUGGCCCUCUUACAAGGAGGAUCCUCAACACCCCUCUCCAAGCAAAGACAAAGCAGAAGCUUAGCUUGCAACUCUAUACUGGAAAGGAGAACCCGAUUGAACACCUUAACCUUUUUGAGUCCACCAUGGCAUACUAGAUGCACACCGAUGAAGAGCGAUGUCUUUUCUUCCCCUCUACCCUCUCUGGUAGAGCUCUAAACUGGUAUUGUCAUCUUCCACCUAAGACGGUAAACUCAUUUGAGGAAUUGAGGAAACUGUUUGUUUCUCAACAUAUUUUCCAGACCGAUCGCUUGCACUCUACGAAUGACUUGUACAUUAUUCGCCAUAUGCCAGACGAGUUAUUACGUAUGUAUGCUGGCCGAUUCUGCCAUAAGUAUUCCCGUUGUGCCAAGGCAGAUGACAAGACUGCCCUCAAAGCCUUCACAGCAGGCCUAUAUGACUGUUUCUUUAAGUACAUGAUCAAUGCCAACAUUUGGAAGACUUACUCUGAGGUGAUGGCCCAGACUUAUAACCAUGCCUCAGCCGAGGCAAUGACAUACCAAGGGAAACCCCCCACAGCCACCCCUUAUCAGCAAGUAGGGAGUGGAAGCCAAAUCCAACCAAAUAAGAAGACCUCGACCUUCCAAACAGCAGCGGUGCCUCCCCUGCCUUACUUAAUACUUCGCCAAGUCAACAGACGUAUCAAUCUCAGGGCAAAAGGAAAUAUUUACAUCCUCACCAGUCUCAUUUUAGUAAAAGAAGUAAGGGACAUUAUCGCGAUAACCAAGGGUAUCACCACGAUAAUGCCCGCCCCCAGGCAGUCAACACAGUGGGCUAAGCAUGUGUCAGGACAUGCCCUACCUCGAGGUAUGAGACAUACACACCUUUGAACGCCACAUGCAUGACCAUUUACCCCAGCAUAGCACACCUAAUACUGAAGCCAAUGUCGAGGCAGUUGAGUUACAAGCCCAUGAAGAACACGGGCACGUUUUGCUGCUACCACGAGCAUAACGGCCAUGACGGCGAGAAGUGUAUCACCAUUCGUGAUCAUAUUGAAGCUUUGGCACGUGAAGGAAAAAUUGAUCAAUUCCUCCUUCACCCUCCAAGGGUAACCGUAACCAACGCCAGGUGAAUGUGAUAUAUUUCAUAAGCGACGGCACACCCAUAUCCGAAUCUUUCAAUAGAGCCAUGAAAAACAGCGAACAAGCUUUAAAGCCUGGCCACCAAGUGUUUCACGUGGAAGACAUCAAAUGAGGCAAGUAUCAAAAGCCUAACUGGGAUCCAAUAUGUUUCUACCCUGAGGAAGAAAGAGGUAUCAUCUACCCUCACAACGACCCACUGAUCGUGGAGGCUCACAUAGCCAACUUUGAAGUAAGACGAAUCCUGGUAGACACGGGGGUUUCGGUCAAUAUCAUGUUUACUGAAGCUUUCAGGGCACUUAAUGUAGCUGAACACUUGCUCGAUCACUCGAUUUCUCCUCUGAUAAGCUUCUCCGGUGAUAUCGUGCAACCUAUAGGGAUUAUACACUUACCUUUCACCAUUGGUACAUACCCUUACACAACUACCAUUACCACUGAUUUCCUGAUGGUUGAUUGCCCAACGACAUACAAUGUCAUCUUUGGACGCACAGGUAUCAAUGAUCUCAAGGCCAUGGUAUCCACACAUAUGUUGUUGAUGAAAUUUCCAACCCCCUAUGGCAAUGGUUACAUCAGAAGAGAUCAACUUAGUGCACGGUCAUGUUAUAACACUUCGGUCAAGCAACAUCACCUGCAUGUGCCCAAGGAAACAUUUUCUAUACAUGACCAAGUCAUAAAGACUAGCCCAGACGAAGCCAACUUGGAUUUUCACGGUGGCAACAGUCAACUUGACGAUCUUCGAGAUGACUAUUUCACCCAGCAAGCACAACCCACUGAAGAGCUGGAGAAGGUUUCUAUCUCAAAAGAUUAUCCAAAUCGCAUGGUUAAGAUUGGCACCAUCUUGUCACCACCUAUUCGGUUGGCAUUGAUCUCUUUUUUGCAAGAGAACACUGAGGUCUUCGCCUGGUCAUGUUAUAACAUUGAGAUCAACUUAGUGCACGGUCAUGUUAUAACACUUCGGUCAAGCAACAUCACCUGCAUGUGCCCAAAGAAACAUUUUCUAUACAUGACCAAGUCAUAAAGACUAGCCCAGACGAAGCCAACUUGGAUUUUCACGGUGGCAACAGUCAACUUGACGAUCUUCGAGAUGACUAUUUCACCCAGCAAGCACAACCCACUGAAGAGCUAGAGAAGGUUUCUAUCUCAAAAGAUUAUCCAAAUCGCAUGGUUAAGAUUGGCACCAUCUUGUCACCACCUAUUCGGUUGGCAUUGAUCUCUUUUUUGCAAGAGAACACUGAGGUCUUCGCCUGGUCAUACAAGGACAUGCCAGGCAUCUCGCCCGAUAUCAUCUGUCAUCACUUAAGUAUUGACCCCAAGACUAAGCCAGUGAGACAGAAGCGAAGAUCUUAUGACGCUGAAUGGUAUGAGGCAAUGAAGGCAGAAGUUGAAAAAGUCAAAGGCAUAGGCUUUGUCAGCGAAGUCAAUUAUCUAACGUGGGUAGCAAAUGUUGUCCUUGUUAAAAAGAAUCCGACCAAGGAAAGUCUCCUGCUCCAAAAGGUCUUGUGGAGAUUGUGUGUCGAUUACACCGACCUAAAUAAAGGAUAACUUUCCUCUUCCUUUCAUAGACAGACUUAUAGACUCUACGGCAAUGUGUGAACUCCUGAGCUUCAUGGAUGCUUACUUAGGAUACAACCAAAUUCUCAUGAACCCUCCGGACCAAGAACACACAACCUUCACUACUGAUAGGGGACUAUAUUGCUAUAAAGUCAUGCCCUUCGGCCUAAAGAAUGCAGGAACGACUUAUCAAAGACUAGUCAAUUCAAUGUUCGUCGAACAGAUUGAGAAGAGCAUGGAAGUUUACGUUGAUGAUAUGCUAGUCAAGAGCAAACAUGCUGACCAACACAUCGCUAACCUAUCUGAAACUUUCACCAUUAUGAAAAGGUAUCAAAUGAGGUUGAAUCCCAACAAAAGUGCCUUUGGCAUAGGCCCUGGCAAAUUCUUAGGCUUCAUGAUAAGCCAACGAGGCAUUGAGGCUAAUCCCGAGAAGAUUAAAGCAAUCAUCGACAUGAAAGAACCGGUAACUUCAAAAGACAUCUAAAGCCUUACUGGUAAGGUGGCAGCCUUAACUAGGUUCAUCUCUAAGGCCACAGACAGAUGUACUCAUUUCUUCAAAACACUUAAUGGAAGUAAGAAGUACAUCACAUGGACUGUUGAAUGUGCCGAGGCAUUUAAGAACCUCAAAGACUACAUGGGUAAAACCCAUCUGCUCUCCAAACCUGAGGUUAGUGACACUCUCAUUAUCUAUCUAUCGGUAUCGGCUUCAGCAGUAAGUUCUGUUCUCAUUCGAAAUGAUGGUAAUGUCAAACAGCCUGCCUACUACGCUAGCAAGGUCUUACAAGAUGCAGAGACACGAUACUCCAACAUUGAGAAAUUGGCUCUAGCAUUGGUCAUGUCUGCUCGAAAACUUCGCCCUUACUUCCAAGCACAAUCCAUUAUUGUGCUUACCAAUCAUCCUCUUCAACAGAUACUCCAAAGUCCUGACACUUCAGGGCGAAUGAUAAAAUGGGCGAUAACAUUGGAUGAGUUUGACAUCUCCUACCAACCAAAGCCAGCUGAGAAGGGCUAAGCAGUGGUAGACUUCAUCGCCGACUUUACAUAUCCUGUUGACAUUGUUUCUACGCCUAAAGAAGUGGUUUGAUUACCCUCAGAAGCUCAGAAAAUAGAACCAACAGCCCCAUCAUGGAGUCUAUAUGUUGAUGGCUCGUCUAACCAACAGGGUUGUGAAGCAGGACUAGUCCUUACGACCCAUGACAAAGUGGUGAUGGAGUAUGCUCUUCAUUUCAAAUUCAAGGCAUCGAACAAUGAGGCCGAAUAUGAAGCCCUCCUAGCAGGCUUACUUUUGACCAAACACCUUGGGGUUAAACGAAUUGAUAUCUUCAGUGACUCCCAAUUGGUGGUUAACCAGGUUAUCAGCAACUUUGACGUUAAAGAUAGCUCCAUGACAGCAUAUUUGGCACAAACACAAUUGUUGCUCAAGCAUAUCCACUACCAGAUCACCCAAAUUCCUCGAGCAGCAAACAGUCAUGCAGAUGCUUUGGCUCGCCUCGCCUAAGCGGUGGAAGACAAGAUUGGGAGAAAAAUUCAGGUCGAAUUGUUGGCAGCACCAAGCACCAUGGCUGCGGAAGUGUGCAACUUACAACAGUGGGAUAGUUGGAUUACCCCGAUUUAUAGAUUCCUUGCUCAUGGCACCCUUCCAAAUGACAAAGUCCAAGCUAAGCAGAUUCGAUACAAGGCUACCCGUUACUUGAUCAUUAAUGACCAACUCUACAAGUGGGGUUUUAACCUACCAUACCUAAGAUGCCUUACGCCCGCAUAGGCGGAAACUGUUCUUCGGAAAAUACAUGAAGGAGUCUGCGGAGAUCAUGCUGGAUCUCGAUCCCUAGCACACAAGGCUUUUCGCCAAUGAUAUUACUGGCCAACACUCCACCAAGAUGCCAUCAGAAUAUCCCGCUCAUGUGAUAACUGUCAACACUACGCAACUAUUCCUCACUCCCCUCCCGAGCCGCUUACUCCUAUGAUCAACCCUUGGCCCUUCACUCAAUGAGGACUUGAUUUGAUCGGCCCAAUACCUGCAGGGAAAGGCAAGGUUCGCUAUGCAAUCAUUGCAGUUGACUACUUCACAAAGUGGGCCGAAGUAGAACCCUUGGUAACCAUUAUUGAGGCAAAAAUAUAAGAUUUCGUAUGGAAGAACAUCCUUUGUAGAUUCGGCAUUCCCAAUGAGAUAGUCACUGACAACGGGUGACAGUUCGACAACAAUAAAUUCAUAAUGUUCUGCUCUAAGUUCAACAUCAACUUAUGUUUUACCUCCCCAGCUCAUCCCCAGUCUAAUGAAUAAGUUGAAGCCAUCAACAAAAUAAUCAAGCGAACUUUGAAAACCAGCUUGGACAAGGCUAAAGAUUGUUGGCCAGAAUUUGUACCCCAAGUUCUUUAGUCAUACCGCACUUCGUAUCGGACAUCAACAGGAAAAGCCUCAUUCUCACUUGCCUUUGGUGCAGAGGUAGUUGUCCCAGCUGAGCUUGAGCAAGCAACGUUUCGAGUCCAGAACUACGUGCAAAGCGAAAAUGACAAACAACUUACCCUCAACUUAGAUCUAGUCGAGGAACACAAAAACCAGGCUCACUUGAAGAAUGUCGCUUACAAGCAGUGCAUCUCCAACUACUAUAACUCAAGUGUCAAACCUCGUUCUUUCAAAGUGGGGGACUGAGUAUUGAAGAAAAGAUUACUCUGCGACAGAGUCCUAAGUGAAUGAACACUUAGUCCAAACUGGGAUGGACUGUUUGAAGUUGUUGGCAUUAGUCGCCCUGGCUCCUACAAGCUUAGAAGCUCCUACGGCAAUAUCCUUGGCCAUCCAUGGAACGCUGAUCACUUGAAGUACUAUUACAAGUAAACUCACAUUGUACAAUUGUUAAGCUUCAGCCGUUCGGCAUCCUAUGUAACGAAGACUAUUUGGCAUGAAUUCAAUAAAUAGGUGAUUUAGACAACUCAGUCCUAAUCCUCUUACAUUCAUAGCAAUGAAACACUCUGGUUCAAAGCUUCAACUCGUAGAAAGCUUCACACACUCUUGAUCAAGACAGUGUGAAGCAAAACCAAUUUAUGGUGCCAAUAAGAGCUUCAUCAUAGGAGUUCAACCAUAAUUCUCAAAAGCUUCACACACUCUUGAUCAAGACAGUGUGAAGCAAAACCAAUUUAUGGUGCCAACAAGAGUUUCAUCAAAGGAUUUCAACCACAUUCUCAAAAGCUUCACACACUCUUGAUCAAGACAGUGUGAAGCAAAACCAAUUUAUGGUGCCAACAAGAGCUUCAUCAAUGGACGACAACGACAAUUCUCAAAAGCUUCACACUCUUGAUUAAGAUAGUGUGAAGCAAAACCAAUUUAUGGUGCCAACAAGAGCUUCAUCAAAGGAGUUCAACCACAAUUCUCAAAAGCUUCACACACUCUUGAUCAAGACAGUGUGAAGCAAAACCAAUUUAUGGUGCCAACAAAAGCUUCAUCAAUGAAGGGCAACUAUAACUCGUAGAAAGCUUCACACACUCUUGAUAAAGACUGUUCGAAGCAAAUUCAAUUUAUAUGGUUAAUCCAAACCCUCGACUACUACAAGGUGUGGCUUGCAUCACAAUCUCUUGCUCAACAAUGUGGAAGAAAAAUUUGUAUAUGUUGUCUCUCCCACAUUUUCAAAUUUCUAGUUUUCCAAAAAAAAUAAAAAAGAGGGAAAAUGGGAAAUUCAACAAAUUUCUAGUUUUCCCAAAAAAAAAAAUUGGGAAAUUCAACAAAGCUUCAUCAAUGGAGGACAACUACAAAUUCUCAAAAGCUUUACACUAUCUUGAUCAAGAUAGUGUGAAGCAAAAUCAAUUCAUGAUACCCAACAAAAGCUUCAACUCCAAAGCUUCACCUACAAAGCUUCAACUCCAAAGCUUCACCUACAAAGCUUUAACUCCAAAGCUUCACCUACAAAAGCUUCAACACAAAAGCUUCACCUACAAAGCUUCAACUCCAAAGCUUCACCUACAAAGCUUCAACACAAAAGCUUCACCCACAAAAGCUUCACCCAUAAAAGCUUCACCCAUAAUAGCUUCACCUACAAAAGCUUCACCCAUAAAAGCUUCACCAACAAAAGCUUCACCCACCACAAAAGCUUCACCUACAAAAACUUCACCUGUAAAAGCUUUACCCAUAAAAGCUUCACCAACAAAAGCUUCACCCACAAAACUUCACCCACCAUAAAAGCUUCACCAACAAAAGCUUCACUCACAAAAGCUUCACCCACUAGAAAAGCUUCACCUACAAAAGCUUCAUCCAUAAAAACUUUACCAACAAAAGUUUCACCCACCACAAAACCUUCACCUAUAAAAGCUUCACCAACAAAAGCUUCACCCACGACAAAAGCUUCACUCACAAAAGCUUCAACACAAAAGCUUCACACUAUAUUGAUCAAGAUAGUGUGAAGCAAAAUCAAUUCAUGGUACCCAACAAAGCUUCACCUACAAAGCUUCAAGACCAAGGCUUCACCUACAAAGCUUUAAAAAAAAAAUAAUAUAUAUAUAUAUAUAUAUAUAUUUUUUUUCGGAAAUUCGAAAAUUCAAAAAUUCGAAAAGAAAAAAAAUUGAAAAAAAAAAUUGCCCAGACCUUCUCUUCUUUGGGCCUAACAACUUUUAUAACAAAUAUAUAUAUGAAAGAGGAGUUUUGGGCUACCACUUAGAAGGAAAUGCCUCAUUCGUCAACUCCCUCGACCGGAGACUUGGGGGACUCCUACCAUAUGCUACUGCACCUUGAUACUCGGAAGUCUCAUGACCACUCAGUGACUUGGAUUUUUCAAGUCUCCAACCGAAAAGUUUUCCUCACUCGGGAAAUUAAGGGAGCAUUACCUUAACCUACAUGCUUCACUCACAAAGCUUCAACAUACAAGCUUUAACAAAAGAAAACAAAUUCAAAGAACUUAGCGAAUGAGGCCUUGGUGUAUUUAACACAAUACGUUGAAAUGAAGCAAAGCUUAUUUAUUGAUAUCUCUGAUAAGUUACAAAUAUGUACAUAUACAUGAAUCAAAAUAAACAAACAAGAAGGAGCCUUCACAAAGGUUGCUCAUGAGAAGUCUCAGCAGUCGGCAGAGCUCCAGAAAGAGAAGGCACCAAAGGGUGAUUAUUCGAAGCCUCAGUACUAGGCAGAACUCCAUAAGGAGGAGGCACCGAAGGUUGAUCAUUUGGAGCUUUAUUACGUGGUACAGCCCCAGAAGACGAAGGCAAUAAAUGCAUUUGGAACAAACCCACAAACCUCUGAUGAUCAAGUAAAAUCUGACCAUCAGAUUUCUGCAGUUGGUCGAGCUUCCUCUUCAUGUUUGUAGCAUAGUCAUGUGCGAGCCUGUGUAACUGUUUAUUCUAAUGUUUGAGCCCUCUGAUAUCCUGUUUGAGACUUAUCACUUCAGCCGCCAAUGAUUCAACUUGGUGGGUUUGAGUAAAUAGGCGUUGGGCCAUAUUAGACACAGAACCUGCACACUGAACACUGAGAGCCAGAGAAUCCUUAAUAGCCAACUCAUCAGACCGUUUGGAAAGUUGUCUGUUAUCUUUGGGAGUGAGAAGGUUCUGGCCACCACCUCAGCGGUCAUAUCAUUUUUCAUCACAGAGUCCCCAACUGUAAAAGGACCAGUAGGGGAUAAGAAUGAUAGGCGUCAUAUGUUGUCUUGAGAAGGCAUGGCUGCCUCUUCACCAAAGUUCAAGUCAAAACGACAGUCGGAUGGGCCAUACAUUCUCAGAAAUGAUGAAGGAGAAAUAAGGUGCAAUAAAUCUCUAAAGUACAAAAAUAAGGGGAAAAUUCCUAUAAUCAAUAACUCUCUGAACGUACUUCUUGCACACAAUUGGUGCCCCUAUAAAAGAAAGGGCAACAGGGCUGUUGGUUCAAAAAUCAAAGAGGUACCACUCUCCGAAUUUCGAGAAGCAGAUUUUCCUGAGUAAAAUAUGUCGACAAUCCCUACACGCAUCAUCAACUCAUCGGGUACCACAGAUAACUUUACCAAAGAUCUCUGACAAAGUUUAGACACAUAAAUUUUAAAGGUCCAGCUACCCUACCAUUACCCACAAGGGUAAAGGAAUAGCACCACUGCUUGAUAACUGGAAAGUCCUUGUGUGUGUCAACCUCCGUGCUAUGUGGCAAGGCAGAAUGAUAAAAAUGCCCAACCUUUACUCAUAUCGAAAAAACACUCCCAACAGGAUUACUUGCUCAAAAAUCGAAGAGGCACCGCUCCCCGAAUCUCGAGAGCCAAACUCCCACCAGGAUUGUUUUCUCAAAAAUCGAAGAGGCACCGCUAUUCUACUCUCGAGAGCCAGACUCACAAUAGGAUUGCUUUCUCAAAAAUUGAAGAGGCACCGCUCUCCGAAUCUCGAGAGCCAGACUCCCAAUAGGAUUGCUUUCUCAAAAAUCAAAGAGGCACCGCUUUCCGAAUCUAGAAAGCCAGACUUCCAACAUGAUUGCUUUCUCAAAAAUCGAAGAGGCAUCGUUCGCCAAAUCUCGAGAGCCAGGUCCCUGACAGGAUUGCUUGUUCGAAAAUUGAAGAGGCACCGCUCUUUGAACUUUGAGAGCCAAAUUUUCUGAACUUUGAGAGCCAAAUUUUCUUGGAUAAAGCUUAUCUGCAACCUUCACAUGCAACAUUAGUUUUUCAGAUACCACAUACCACUUUUUCAAAGUGCUCUGACAAAGUUAAAACACGUGAAUCUUGCAGCUCCCACUACAUUGCUAUAACUGAUAAGGGUAAAGGAACAACGUUACCACUUGUUGUUGGGAUAAUUCCUAUAUAUGUCGACUUUCAUCCUUCACAACCAGGCAAACCUGCAAAUAAAAAAAAUGCUCAACUUUUCUUCACAUCUGAAAGGGCACUCUCAGUAGACUCUCUCGAAAUACUCAGCUUAUUUUCCCCCUGAUAAUACCUCUGCAAACAAGUCACACCAGAGCCAGAGUAUCUCAUAUCAUCAGGGUUAAAAGCAAGAGUAUCUCAUAUCAUGCUUUUUCCUUGUCUUUUCCUUUGGCCUUGUUCUUACUUGCAAGACAAAGAGAAAGAGAGCAAUCAGUCAGCACUUGGAAUCAAGCUUCCAGUCAGGAACUGACUGCCUGGAACCCUUUGCCUGAUUACUUACCUGACAUUGCUCUCGAGUACUCAUCUACAACAUCUUAUGCUUCCAGAAAAGAUACUACAUCUGCCUGAGGAACAGAUAGGGCAAGUGAGAAGGAUACAAGGAAGCAUGUGGAGACAAGCGCAACAGAACACGUGCCGAUUCGUCUAUUACUUUGUCAACAGGAAAAGUAUCCCAUAUCAUCAAGGUCGAACGCACUCUUGAUUUGAUGGACUUGUUAUGACCCUCAAAUUCUUGAGUCGGCCUUAUACUUUGGAGGAAACCAGAAAACCCUCCAGCCUAGUUCAAGAAUAAGCAUGUGGAAAGUUACUUCUUCAAAAGCAAAAGUAUCUCAUAUCAUCUCUUCUGCAUUUGCUUCUCCUUAUCCUUGUUGCUGUUUACGACAUAAGGAGAAUGAGAACAAUUAACCGGAAGCCGAAGUCGAACCUCUAAUCCAGGUUGCUUGCUUGGAAGUCUGAUUGCUUACCUUGUCUAUUACCUCUUUCAGCAAAUCUCCUAGCUCGGCAACUUGGGGGACUCCUACUAUAAGGUUUGUAUCACACUUGACCAAGCCCGAAACUACAAGUAAGCUUUAAGUGAAAUUGAUACAUUACCUUGUGCAUCUUCAUCAGUUAAAGAUACCACCCCUAGAUGGAGGAAAAGUACUUCCAGAGAAGAUGCCACAUCUACGUAUGAGACAUAUAAGGCAAGUGAAAAUGAUACCACACUUCGGUACUUAGAAGUUUCGUGAUUACGCAAUGGCUUGGAUCUUGCAAGUUCCCAACCGAGGAUCUUCCCUCACUCGGGAACUUAGGGGAGCACUGUUUGUACCAUACUUGACGAAUCUUGAAACUACUGAGCACCGGUCAACGUUAUACCGUCAAGGACCUAGAAGAGUUUCCCUCCAACCAGAAAGCCAAUCACAGCGCGACACGUGUCGACAUUAGAAGCCAAUCAUAGCACGACACGUGUCAAUAUCAAAAGCCAAUCAUAACACGACACGUGUCAAUGUCAGAAUGAAACUAGAAACUAUCUUCUAUAAAUAGAGAUCAUUCUCUCACAAUAUUUCCUAAUGUCAUUUGUACUAAAUCAUUCACUAGUACUCACUAAAGGAGAGCUUGAACCUAUGUACUUGUGUAAACCCUUCACAAUUAAUGAGAACUCAUUUACUCCGUGGACGUAGCCAAUCUGGGUGAACCACGUACAUUUUGUGUUUGCUUCCCUGUCUCUAUCCAUUUACAUACUUAUCCACACUAGUGAUCGGAGCAAUCUAGCGAAGGUCACAAACUUGACACUUUCUGUUGUACCAAAGUUCUCGCUGAUUUUGUGCAUCAACAAACUAACAAGGCGAGAAUCGACUCGAGAUAAGGGGAUGUGGCAUCACUCGAGGAUUCGUAGGGAUAGAAUAAGCCCAAAUCCGUGGUACCCUUAAGGUAGCGUAAGAUGUCUUUAACACCAGUCCAAUGUCUACGUGUUGGUGCAUUAUUGUAUCUAGCUAAAAGAUUAACAGCGAAGGGGAUGUCCGGUGUAGUGCAUUGAGCUAAGUACAAUAAAGCGCCUAUCACACUUAGAGAAGGAAGUUCAUGCUCCAAAAUCUUUUCAUCAUCCUCAUUCGGAUGGAAUGGAUCUCGUUUUGCAUCUAGCUAUCGAACGACCAUAUGAGUACUUGAAGGCUUCGUUUUAUCCUCGUUAAAAUGGCACAACACAGGUGUAGUUCGAUUGAUGUAUUAAGAUUUCAUCCGAACGGUGCUCUAUCUCGAGACCGAGACAAUAUCGAGUCUUUCUUAGAUCUUUCAUCUCAAAUUCCAACUUCAGGUGUGCAACAGUUCUGUAGAGCUUUUUAGGAGUUCCGAUGAGAUUCAUGUCAUUAACAUAUACUGCAACAAUCGUAAAAUUGGAAUGUGACUUCUUAAUGAACACACAAGGGCAUAGUUCCUUGUUCACAUAUCGCUGACUAGUCAAAUACUCACUCAGAUGGUUAUACCACAUUCUUCCAGAUUGCUUCAAACCGUAGAGUGAACGUCUCAGCCAAAUUGAGAGUUUGUUCCAGGGUUUGGAAAUAUUUAAUCCAGUUCAGGAACUUUCAUAUAAAUUUUCAUAUCAAGAUCGACAUAGAGAUACGUAGUCAUUAUGUCUAUCAGCUGCAUACUCAGUUUUUCAGAAACUACCAAACUGAUAAGGUAGUGAAAAGUAAUAACAUCCAUAACGGGUGAAUAAGUUUCGUCAUAGUCAAUCUCGGGGCGUUGUGAGAAGCUUUGCUUAACAAGACGAGCUUUGUAAUGCAUAAUUUCAUUUUUCUCAUUACGCUUCCAAACAAAAACCCACUUGUAGCCAACGAGCUUCACAUGUGGAAGAGUAUGAGGUACAGGUCCAAACACCUUACGUUUCGCAGGCGAAUCGAGUUCGACUUGGAUUGCUUGUUUCUAGUUUGACCAAUCGGUUCUACGUCGACAUUCAUCAACAGAACAAGGUUUAAUGUCAUCGUUCAACAUGAUCUUAGUAACUACUACAUAUGCUAAUGCAUCAUCGACGAUCAUCUCAUUUGUACACCAAACAUCAUCCAAGUUAGCAUAAUAGACCAAAAUCUCAUGGUUCUCAGGAGACGGAUUCAUCUCUUCAGGGUAAUUUUCUAAAAAAAGGCCUAGGCAGCCACCUAGGCGCUGGGUGGAGGGUGGCCGAUGCGUUAGCUUGCAAAACGGUGGGAAAAAACGGAUGGGCUCUAAGUGGGCUAGGCGGCCUAGGCGUUUUUUUUUAAAUUGAAAAAAAAAAUCCUAUCUUUAUUCUAAUUUUCUAAGUUCCCGUUCCCUACAUGCGCCUAUGUUUAUACCUUGAAAUUUUGUUAAUUUUAUAGAAUAUGUGUGUAUCAACUUAAAUUCUAGGAUGUUAAAGACAAUUACUAUAUUUCCUCCUAUUUUUCAUUUUAUGUGGUUUUAAAUUGUGAACUUGUUGUACAUGGGUCAUCCUACAAUACUCUUCACUAUGGUUAUAUGGCAUAUAUGCUUGAUAUGUUUUUAAAUUUUGGACUUGUUGGAUACUCUUUUUGCAUUUUAUCGUUCUUUUAUUAUCUUAUCCUUAGAUUUCAUAUAAGUAUAAUUUUUUGUAAGUGUCAAUAUACAUUUAUUUACAAGAAAUUUACCUAAAUCCGCCUAGGCGCUAGGCGCUAGCCCACCGCCCGAUUAGCGCCUAGCGUUUUUUAGAACCUUACUUCAAGGAUGCUUCCGUAAUCUAGAAUUUUCUCAUGAGUUGGAUAGAAUAAGUAGGCGACAUUUAGAUUCACGGUAGGCUCUUCAGGGGCCUAUGUCUUGGGUUUCCUUUUUCGGGGAUGUGAAUCCUUAAACCAAGUGGUUUGCCAUGCUUGUGUGCAGGGCUAGAUGAUUGGCUAGCCGCUAAUGUACGUGGAUCGGCCAAAGUGAAGUCCUGGGCCUCUAGGAGGGAAGUCCAUCGUACAAUUGGUACAUUUAUCUUUGCAUGCAUAUUUGCAGUUGGAAUAUGUGAUCUUGUCACUUGCUCUAAAUUGGUGAAAGCAUCUAGCAUGCUCUGAGCUACGCUCUAAAGAUCUAAUAUGCACUGCACUUCAGUCUCAGACUGAGUGGUGCGAGGAUCUAAAUGAGACAAAGUGGGAGUCGUCCACAAUAAUUCGCAUCGUUCUUCAGGAACAUUGACGUUAUUAUCUCCUCCUAACGAUGGGAAUAUUGUCUCAUAGAAGUGACAGUCCGUGAAAUGAGUGGUAAAUAGAUCGCCUAUCAAAGGUUCUAAGUAACGAAUGAUUUAAAGAGAAUCAUAUUCGACUUAGAUUUACAUUCUUCGCUGAGGCCCCAUUUUUGUAUGUAAGGGCGGCGAAAUCGGCACAUAGACUGCAUAAUAAAAAAUGCGCAGAUGCGAUAUGUCAUGUUCGUAUCUAGUAACCAACUGAAAUGUGCUAUAUGGUUGGGUCGCAACAGGCAUCAGGCAGACUAACAUGGUUGCGUGCAAUAUUGCAUGGCCUCCAGCAGCAAUCGGGAGCUUAGUAUGUAUGACCAACGAUCGAGCAAUCAUUUGUAAGUGCUUAAUGAAUGCCUCUGCUAGGCCUUUCUGGGUAUGAACAUGGGGUACUGGAUGUUCAACUUUAACCCUAACCGACAUGCAAUAGCCAUCAAAAGUUUUAGAUGUGAAUUCUUCAGUAUUAUCCAAUCAAAUACAUUUGAUUGGAUAAUCAGGGUGGUCCCUGAGCUUGAUAACCUGAGCCAACAGUUUAGAGAAUGCAGCGUUCCUUGUGCACAACAAGUAAACGUAUGACCAACGUGUGGAAGCAUCAACCAAAACUAUAAAAUAUCUAAAUGGUCAGGAAGGGUGAAUUGGUCCACAAAUGUCCCCCUGAGUCUUUUGUAGAAACAUACGAGGAUUCGAGCGAAUCUUGUCAUAAGAAGGCUAAUAAUAAGCUUUCCCAUGGAGCAUGUUUGCCAUGCGAUUCCUUGAAUCGAACCUAAACUUCAGGUUAGUGGAUGCCUAUGUGAUGAUUUGAAGAUACGACGAAUUGCUGUUCGUCCAGGGUGUCCCAAACAAUCAUGCCAAAGUGUAAUUUCGUGCGCAGUCCUAAAGGUAGGGCUGGACACAUAAUGGCUUUCUAUAGGGCGUAUGGUCGUAGUUUACAAACCACUAAGGAUAUGCUCCAUAUUCUCUAGAAUAUGCUUCUAGCCAUAUUCGUAGAAAGUUAUGCACAUAAAUUAAACUCCAUUUUCUACAUAGGUUUCAGCAUGGUAACUAUUAUCUCUAAUGUCCUUGAAACUCAACAAUGUUCUUCCGGAAUGCGGAGAAUAAAGUGCCUCGUAAAUGGUCAAGAUUGUACCAUUGGACAACGUUAUACGUGCUUUACCGUAUGCUUUGAUCAUGUUGGAUGGUCCUGAAAGGGUUGUCAGAGGUGCAUUCUUAGGUAUGAAGUUAGUGAAAUAGAUGCGUUCAUGCAAAACGGUGUGCAUGGUUGCACUAUCUACCAAACAACUAACUUUCCCACUAGUUACCUAGAAAUAAAAAUUAAUUUGAAUUGGUCACAUGCAUAAAAGUUCUAAAAACAGAUAUGCAUUCAAAAUAAUUUAAGUAUUCAAGGAUGGUAAUUAAUAAAAACUUAAUAUCCAAAAACAAAUCACCAACAAAUAAUCCAAAUAUAAAGGAAAUUGUUCAAAAUUAAACCAGAAAACAAGGGGGGUUCGGACACUAGGUGGAUUUCAGCCCCCAGGGUUCUAAAUUCAACUAAAAAUAGUUCAUGUCUAAGAUUCUAAUCUUUCAUAGGGGUGGUAUCCUCCUGAAUGUCAGAAAGCUCCAUCUUGGUACUCUCUGGUUCUUCCACUUGCACAAAAUUUGAUUCAAACUUCUUACGAUGAGAAUGAUAUUCAGCUACAACCUUCUGGGGAGCACGGCAAACAUGGGACCAAUGGUCCUUUGAACCACAAUGAUAACACAUGUCCUCAUCCAUGGUUUUAGGUGCUUUGCUCUUAUUCUUGAAGUUUGGGGCCUUGGGAGCGAGGUUAGGGCGCUUCUAGGCUCGAUUUCCUCCCUUAGAUGGGCCUUGGCUUUGUUGUCCUUGACGGGGGCUUCUAACCGCCCCUACCACGCCUAUGUUGGCGUUUUGGGCGUUGGUUCAUGCUAUAGUGUGCUCAGGCACAAUAGUUACCCCAGUAGGUCGUGCUUGAUGAUUCUUCAUCAACAGCUGAUUCUGUUUCAUCUUCAAUGACGGGACGAAAAAUUAUUUGCAAUGAGUUGGAGCUUCACAUCUUGGACCCACUUGAGGUAGUUUUUUCUAGAGACCUCUAAAGCAGUGAAGUUGAGUUUGUUCAAAUUCGACAUGUUUCCUAUCACAAAAUAAAUGGAUAAGAUGUGGUUAGUGUAGUGGAGAAAAAAUCAAUCCAUUCACAUAGGAGUAAAACAUUCAGGUUCUAAUAGAUAUGAAUUGGUUUAAAUUUAUAUGAAAAAGCUUCGGGUUUUCAUCGGUGAUGUUUUUAAGGAAAACUUCAGGUUUUCAAACAAGGCAUGUUUCUAGAAACUUCAGGUUUCAAAAAAAAAAAAUUAUGAACUUCAGGUUCAUAUGUUCCAACAGCAAAACACAAAUAUAUAUAUAUACAUAUAUAUGCAACAAGAAAAUAUGCAAAUAGAUAUUCAAGUCUAAAAUUAUAAUUGAAUUAAUUAUUUGGACUUCGGGCCAAAAUUGAAGUGCGGGUGAAAAAAUUAUAAAACCAAAAUUGUCUAUAUAAAAAACAAUUAAGCUCGGGGGCCAAAAAAUAUGGGCCAAAAUCCACAGGUAGGGAUGAUAAUUCUAACCAUUAAACCUGAUAACCGUGGAUAAUCGCCCGAAUGGAUUGGAUUUAGGUAUGAAAAUUUGGGUAUAUUUUGGGUAUGGGGAAAAACAGUGAAUAUUAUUCGGUUAUGGUUUUGGAUAUGGUUAUAGGAGUCCCCAAUCCAUAUCCGUACCCGAAUCCAAACCGAAUAAUAUAAAUAUAAUAUAUGUAUAUAUAUGUUUUUCAUUAUUCACCGAAUCCAUUACCUUGAAAAAUUCACGAACCCUAGAAAAAUUCACUUGCAUCUUCCCCGUUACUACAAGAAAAAGAAGAAACAAAAAAAAAUGGAAAAGUCUGAAAUCCCAUCGCAUUCAGGUGAGAUCGAAUUGACAUUCCCUUUGCUUGUCAUCAUAACUCUGAUUUUGGGAUUGUAAUCGCUAAUGUAUAUCUGAACAAAACCCUAACAACCCUAACCCUAAUGCCCUGGUUAGUGGUACUCGAUUGUCCGGAGGAUACCAGCAUUGCCGACCAUGACACUGUAUAAGUCUCUCUCUCUCUCUCUCAAUGCUAUGGGACCGAGUAGCCCAAUCAGAAGGUGCAGUUUGUAGGGUUUGUAGGGUUUUUAAGGUUUUUUAUUUUUUAUUUUUUUGAACAAAGGUUUUUGAAGAUAAUAUCCAAAGCAAUAAGACAGACUCCAACCUUUGAGUAAAACUCCUUGGACAAAAAAAAAAAAAACUUUUGAGGAAAACUCCAAUUUUGGGUUCUAAAUUUAUCCCAACUUACUCCAACGCUUGGGGCAAAUAUGAGUUAAAACCCAAAACUCAUUUCUGAGACAAAUUUAGCCCAGGAUUCCCUUAUGGGUUAGUGGGGCUGGCCCACCAUAUACGUGUAUUUUUUUAGUUUUAUAUUUAUAAAUUCAUUGAAUCCAACAGCUAAAAUCUAAUUUAAUCAAAUCUAAUGGUCCAAAUUUAAAUCCAACUGCUAAAGUAAUUUAAAAAAUGAUUUUAUGUGUUUCAUAUUCUUUCGUAGUGUUCCACGAGUUUCAUGGUGCUGGUUUAGUGAGUUUUCAAUAUUUAUCGGAAUCUAAAUAUUUUUAGGUUAAAAUAUUCAUAAAAUUAAAUUAGGAUAGUCCACAUAUUUUUUUUAAAAGAAAAUUACUUUUAAAAAAAUUAUCCUAAAUUCAUUCUUUAAUAAUCUCGGAUUAAAAAUUUAACCCAUAAGGGUUGGAGGAGAAAAAACUAUUUCUGGGUUAAAACCUAAAUUUUCUAGGUUAAAUUUUUUUGGUUUUAACCCAAGGAUUUGGAUGGUCUAAAGACCGAGUGCCAAAAACAAAAUGCCCUGAUUGGAAGGUUAAUUUAGAGAUGUUAAACUGGUACCUUGCCACAGUCUCUAGUUUUGUAUAUUCUGAAUGUGUUUUAAAUUAAAGGUAGGAAUUUUACAUAAAAGUUUGAUUAUAUUACAUUAAUUACUGAAAAAACAAUUUGACAUGAGGGAUUUAGGCUUCAUUGAUGAUAAUUUUUCCAUAUUUUGGGCAUUAGGUUGAGAUGGAAAUCUUAUGAUGAAAUUUUUGUUUCACUCAUCGACAUUGCACUCAUCUCCUGUUCUUGCGUGUAGUUCAGUUUGCGCUUCUCGUCCUUAUUCUGGCUCUUAGAAGCGUGCAUGCAUCACGCUGAGCACUGAGCAAUAGUAAUUCAAUCUAGUAUUUGAGGCAGGUUAGUCCAGUUUGAAACCCUAUAAACCUAGUAAUAGUAAUUCAUUCUAGUACCAGAGGCUCGACAUGCCCGUACAUCACACUGAUGAGGGUAAAACUAACCUCUUUUGUCAACCUCGUUUCCCCUAUGCUCAUUUGAAACCGAAUAUGGCUCCAACUUCUUUGCUAUGCAAUGUUUUCUCAUUUUUCUUUCUUGGAAACUUAGGGGCAGUGAAUAUGUACGAAUGCCACGCCUAGAAAACUGUUGCAUUCACUUCAAAUUGUACCCGUUCCUAGUCAGGAAACUUUCAUGGAGUACAAAGUGAUUUCACCAAACUAAUUAGUCAUUACCAUCUUCACGACACCAAAAACCCAUCAAUCACCACAUGGGCACCUUCCUUACCCGUGGCUGGAAAAAAAAAAUAAAAAAUUCUUCAUUAGUUUUUACCCUAGAGAAAAUUUGACCAAACAAAUUCAGAACUGAUAGAGGCAAUUUUGGCUGCAAGUAAUUGUGUAGACCUUACAAGUUAAUUGAAGGACAGGAUAAGCAAAAUCCGGCAGUUCUACAGGAGACUAGGACUAAAAGGACCACAUCAUACACGUACAAUUCUGAGCCCUCUAUGUGUCCAAGUGAUCCAAUUCAUAACCCUUGGUCAGUUCCUUUGGCAUUUAAGUACCAAUUAAAUAUGCAAACCAAUCCUUUUGUCUUUCGACACGAUUGUCUUGUGUGAAUUCUCAAGCCUCAAAAACAAAACAAACUGAAUUUCAAUUUCUACUUCUGUUUAUUCUAGAAGAAGCAAUAGUACUAUUAAAGAAAAGAUUAUAAAAUUUAGGAACAAACCAUUCUCAACACAAAAGUUGAUAAGAUAUGGAGAGAAUAACGCACAACCUAUCAUAAAUAAAGGGGUGUGCUAUCCACACAUCCCUUAUUAAUUUAUGUCCGUUGAUAUUCUUCAAUUCAUCCGAUCCGACGGCCAAAAACAAAAAAUAUGUGGGAGAAGUAAAAAAAAGUGUGUGAAUAUUACACCCCUAAAUAAAAUCCUAAUUCAACCAACGGGUCCGCAAUUGGAUGGAUGCAGAGCUCUAAUUCUAAUGUUGGUUUUUUUUUCUUAAUUAGUUUCUUAGUUUUACUGUUCGUUUCUUCCUGAUCAGCUUCACUAGAUUUAUAAACUAGUGACGACUAGACAACGGUAAUACUUUCUGAAGUUAGGUUAAUUUGAAAAGCUAGAUAUAGCUUGCCCUGAAUAAUCAAUAUCUUAAUUGUAAACUGAAGACCUAAGUAAUUUAUUGACACAAAAGCAUACAGUCACUACUGCACCACUACUAUAUGCAGAUAUUAUAAUUUUAUAUUGGCUUCAGAAAGCAUAUAGAAGAAUAUAUAGAAUAUUAAAAAAAAAAAGGUAAUCCCAUGAUUAAAGAAAAUGUUCUAUUUCUCUAGUGAAAGCUUUAGAUUGUUUGAUAGAUCGCCUUAUAAAAUGAGAUCCAAGAGCUGGUUUGUCAAGCUGUCAUUCGAACUGCCAUCAGUUCGAUCAUUAUAUAACUAUUAAGUUAAUUAGGUUUAAACUUCAAAUAUAAAACCAUAAUCUCAGUUUACGGCUGGAAAUGCAUGAAGCACAAUCACAAAACCGCGCCUACAUCUAUUUUAUCUUUAUCGAUAAUUAGGUUUAAUUAAUUAAUUGUGAUUUGAACUAUUGCACUCGCUGCAAUGGAUAUGAAGCAUGGUGAUUAGCCAAUAGUGAUGAAGAAUUUUUGGAAGUCCCAAUUAACAAGAGAAGACGCAUGCAGUCCAAUCGAAAUUUUUACAAAUGCAAUCAAGAUUUAAUAGUAACUAGUAGCCUUAUUUGUCUGAUAAAUAUUUGUGACGUGUUUAAAAUGUAAUUUAUAUGUUAAAUAAAAACUUGUCACAAUGUGAAUUAAGAACAAGAAAGUAUAUCUCCACUCUCUCAUUUGAAAGUUAUAAGAAAUUUUUCAGUGCAUUCAAAACAAUACUAAAUACUAAAUAUUAUUAUACAAUUAAAGAAAAGGUUUUUUUUUUUCAUGUGUCUCUUCAAAUAUUUAAUGAAUGUUAUUUCAUCUCAUAUUUUGAACACACUAAAAACUCUCUCGAAAGUUAGGUCAACGUAUGGAAGAGCACCUAAUAAUCCAGCCAAGGACAACGUGUAAUCCACGGUGGGUGCAUGCAUUCGAAAACAACUUUAAAUUUUAAUUAAAUUUUUAAUUGUGUUUGCGUCAUCAUCAUCAUCAUUCACACAUUCAUCGAUCAGAGGUUGAGUUGGAAAGUGAUAAUAUGCUCUCAGAAGUUUUUUUUCCCACUGGUGAUGUACCUCAAUACUUAAUUAAUGAAUUAUUAUUUUUUUGUCGAAAUUAAUGAAUUAAUUAGGUCUGUAGUUUUCUACUAACUAUUGUUUAUAAUAUGCAGAAACUUCAACUUUAUUGGGUUGUCCUCAUUUCCUUAGUGCAGGUUUUACAGAUUCCCCUUCAAAGUAUUAUAGUUUAGUUGGCUUGUUUAAACAUUAAAAAAUAAUUGGGGCUUCAAAUGUUGGUAAAACUACACCAGCAAAGACAACUACUGGUGCACUAAAAGGAGGUUUCAUUUGUGCGUGAGUCUUAGUCCGGAUAUUAUUUUAAUUAAUCAGGCUGCUUUAAAUAUUAAACUCUUUGAGGGUGGGCUCCGUGAUCCUCAACGCAAAGCUGCUUUACCAUUAUAAAUUUAGGACGAAUGUUGUAUGCAAAUUAUUACUAGGUAAUAGACAAAUUAGGGUUCAUUAAACAAUGACACGUGAAUCCAUGUGAAGAGGGUCCUUCAUGUUUCUAUACUAUGCUAGGUAAACUUAUUUUUUAAGCCAAAAUUUUAAUUUAUGUAAUGUGUCAUUAAUAAAAAAUGAGCAUAUGUUAAUCAAUUUUUGAGUAAUAAUUCAAUAAUUAUCAUCAACCACAUCAUAUAGUUUACAAAAUAUGAUUUAAAUAAAUGAUCUCAUUAACAUUACCCAAAUAAGAUGUAUCCUUUGAGUGUCAAGGAAACAUCCUUUUGGUGACAAUUUUACAUAAUUAGUAUUGUAUGUAACAUAGAAGUUAUAAUAUUAAUGUCACAUCCCGGGAUGGGCCCCAUCACAUCCCGGGCUUGACUCCGCUGUAGCACAAUAUUGUCUGCUUUAGGCCCUGACCACGCCCUUACGGUUUUGUUUCUGGGAACUCACAUGAGAACUUCCCAGUGGGUCACCCAUUAUGGGAUUGCUCUCACUCGAUCUCGCUUAACUUUGGAGUUCCGAUGGAACUCAAAGCCAAUGAGCUCCCAAAAGGCCUCGUGUUAGGUAGAGAUGAAAAUAUACAUAUAAGGCUUACAGGAUCCACUCCCCUAGGUGAUGUGGGAUGUUACAAUCCAAAUGUCACAUCCCGGGCUCGACUCUGCCAUAGCACGAUAUUGUCCGCUUUGGGCCCCGACCACGCCCCCAGGGUUUUGUUUCUGGGAACUCACACGAGAACUUCCCAAUAGGUCACCCAUCAUGGAAUUGCUCUCGCGCGAACUUGCUUAACUUCGGAGUUCCGUUGGAACCCAAAGCCAGUGAGCUCCCAAAAGGCCUCGUGCUAGGUAGAGAUGGGAAUAUACAUAUAAGGCUUACAGGAUCCACUUCCCUUAUAUGUAUAUUCUUAUCUCUACCUAGCACGAGGAUUUUUGGGAGCUCACUGGCUUUGGGUUCCAACGGAACUCCGAAGUUAAGCGAGUUCGCGCGAGAGCAAUCCCAUGAUGGGUGACCCACUGGGAAGUUCUCGUGUGGGCGUGGUAGGGGCCCAAAGCAGACAAUAUCGUGCUACGGCAGAAUUGAGCCCGGGAUUUGGUGGGGGCUCGGGCCGGGAUGUGACAAUUAAUGUUUAACUCUUUAUAUCCCUAGUACCAUAUAUAGUCAUAGCAUGGAUGGGAGAUGAACGUUGUGCGUGUGAAAGACUAUUGAUCAUAUAUCUUUAAGAUCCUUAAUUUUUAGAUUUUCCAUAUUAGUUAUUCUUGCAGGAAAGAAAUUUUCAGUAAUGGUAGCAUUAUUCUUAGUUAUGUAUCUAACCAAGUCCCAUCAUGAAUCAAAAUAAAACUAUUCUCUAAAUAAUUAGGGUUUCUUAUGAUGAUGUGAAGCACAUAUAUGACCUUUGAGCUUCACAUAUGCGCUAAUAUGCUUUGAUACCAUUAAAAAAGUUACAGUGUCAUGAGAAAUCAAUUGACAAAUGAGAUAUAAACAAACGCAAUGUUUGAUAAACUUUCGAUUUAAAAUAUUUCUGCAUACUCCUCCUCACUUACUUUAUAUAUCUCGACGGAGAUGGCAUUGUUUUGUACAAUUUUAUGGUCAAUUUUUUCAACAGUAAUGGUCUUUCGCUUAACAUAAAUAAAUUUUAGACAAGCACAGUAGCCAAAGUCGACCAGCAAUAUUGGUCCCAUAAAUUAAACUAGCUAAUAAAAAUAGUUAAGGAAACAACAUGUGUAUUGGUUUCAUAGAAAAGUAGACUUAAAAUUUCACCUAAUAAUAUAUAAGAUAUACAGAUGAACAUCUAAGACGAAAGAAAAGCGUGGAUGUCGCUUCCAAUUUUUCGUAUUUCUUAUGCUCAUUAUAUGUUAAACUAAUUUCCAAUUUAAUAAUUCUUCAUAACAUUUCCGGUUAACACAUUAUUAAAAAGAAAGAUCACUGCACAAUACACAUAAUUAAUUAAAUCUACCGAUCACACCACUUAGACAAUAUAAUAUAAUAAAACAUAAAAUGAAUGACCAAAUCCAAGUAGCAGCUUAAUUAGACUUGGUUCAAAAGAUUAAUUGGUAGUUUAAUUAGAAGAAAUAAAUUGAAAUAUCUCAGAAAGAUGCAAGGGGAUUAUAUCCUAUAUAUAUUUAUGUAUAUACAUUUAAUUUUAAUUUAACUCUUCCAUCAAUAUUAUUUAUGAUUGGUUUCUUUCAUGUUUUAGUCAUUAACUAAUAUAUAAAAAUACUCAUUGUAAAGCAUUCACCUAAUUUAAAAGGGAAAUUCUACAGCUGCACCAGAUGAAGAAAACGGAGCACCAGCUCAAGCAGUACAAAGCACAACACAGAUUAAUGAAGUUAAAGUACCUCAAUAAUUUCCAGUUUCAUUCUUCCUCUCAAAGUGAGUUAAUUUCAAAGAGACUACCACUACAACAAAAGAAGCUAUCACUGGCGAAGCAAAAACCGACAUCACCCAUUGACACAAUAAGGCCCUUUUUAAUAGUAUACUACUAUUAAGCACUCACUUCUCAAUUUUAUUCCUAAUUAAUUCACAAUAAUCCAUAAACCCUAAAAUUAUUAACUUGAUUUAAAAUGGAGGCCUACCACCACCUUGACCAUGAGCCCAAGAUGAAUAAGCUGCCUGCUGAUCAAGGCUCAACUGUGCCUGCCCUCCAUUUGGAAGCAUAUUCGAUGGCAAAUUAUAAAUCCCUGCCAAUGCCGCCGGGUCUCCCAUCCCACCACCUCCAAUCCCCGGCGGCGACCCCGCACCUCCCGCUGCAGUCCCCGAACUAGUACCCCCUCCUGUUUGCUCUUCUUCCUCCUCCAAUGGCAACCUCUCAUACGUCGCAUUAGAAAACGUUGCCGCGAUCACCAUCACGGGCCCUGAAGCCACAAGGGGGCCAACCACACUUCCUCCAACAACCUGGCCCUGCCCGCCUGCCAAAUAUAUGGUCAACCCGGUUGAACCAGGCAGUGCAGGGCCAGGCAAAAACGCUCCAGUCAAGAACAAAAUCUCGAACCUCCCGUGAAGCGCCAUGACCGCGCCGGGCGCGGACGGCUGCCUGAGCGUGACGUUGAUGACGGUGCCGCUCCCACUCAUGACACAGACGCCGCGCUGCCUUCUCCUGGCGAACUGGGCGACGCUGUCGGCGAUGUCGGCCCCGCUGGAUAUCUCCAUGACGUGGCUGCGGAGGGCGUUAGGGCUAUCUCUAGUCACAAAGAUUGGGGGUUUGGGCUUGUUUUUGGAGCCGGGCGGACGGCCUCUAGGUCGUCUCGUGGCGACUUCGAUGGCUCCUUCCUUGGGAUCGUCGCUGUUGUUGUCGUCUUCGUCACCGCCGGAUCCUCCGAGGCUGCUGGUUCCGGUGGUGUUCAUGGAGAUCCCCAGAUCUGGUUUCAUGAGGUUUUUCAUGGGGGAGCUGCCGGCGGCUGCUACGGCUGAGGUUUCGUUCACUACUCCUCCUCCCGGUAGACCUACCUGUCCAGCCCACCACCGGUUCGCCAUGAUCGAUUGAAAAAAUGAAAAUGAAAAGUAAAAAAAGGAGGAGGGAAGAACGAAGAUAGUAUAGUAAUUUAUAUAAAUUUAUAAAAUAAAGGAAAAGAGACAAGUAGAAGACUAGAAGUGAUAUAAUUAAGCUGGUUGAUUAUAUAAAGAAAGUUUGAUCUGUAUAAACAGGAAAUCUAGAUAUAUAAGAAGAGCUUGAAGAGGUAGGGUAAAGAAAUGGGGAAGAAAAUUCAGAGAGCCCUAGCUGGACAAGUAACAAGAGUGAAGUGUAAGAGAGAUCUGAUCAGGUACGACCAAGAUAUAAACAUCAAAUGGGGAAGAAUUUACCUAAAAGUUGGGGUUUUUUGGGGUUAAAUUAACUUGGGUAGGGUUUGGGUGGGUGUCAAGGUCAAAUACUGUCUAGGGGAAGCUAGCUACCUUUGGGUUCCUUCUCUCCUUCUUUCUUUUAGUUUCUCUCACUACAAAGUUCUCUCUGUCUUUCUCUCUCUGAAAAAUUAGAUGUGAUGAGAAUUGGAGAUAGAGAUGAAACGAAAUGAAAUGAUGAAUGGGGGAGGUGGUGGUGCGUGGUGUCGGUCUUGGGAAUUAGGGUUUUGUUUGGGUGGGGUCGAGUGCGCGUGAUGAGAAUGUGGGAUGCACGUCCUCCUCAACUCUGAUCUCCUCUUGUAGCAAAGCGUCAUAUGGUGCCCUACGCAAGAAACUUGACAAGAAGAUCGAUUUUCAUGUGAAAGUAGUAUCAUCAAUAAUGCAUAAUUACAUAUAACCCAACCACCCUAAGUUUUUCAAUUGUUAUUUUAGCAAGAACUUCCGAUUUUUACAUGCUGUUUUUCUUUUCAUGUAUAUUUCUGUUUAAUUUCAGUAUUUAGAUUGAAUAAAGUAAACGCGAAUCAAGAGCAUCAAUAAACAAAGUGUGCAGAUGGACAAAAAAUAGUGUGUAUAAAUUAUAUGUCAAAAUUAAGUAACUCAUUUAGAAUUGCUUUUUUAAAGCACUUCGGCUUAAAAGCACAUCUAUUAGAAGCACAAUGAAGAUUUUUAUGUAAAUGUGAGUGCUUCCUGAAAAGCACUUCUAACUUUUUAUACCUAGUUAACAUAAUCUGAAACGUUUUUUAUAAUCUAAAAAUAUUUCUAAUUAUUUUAAAAAUACUUUCAAACAUGUUCUUAAUUGUUUGAACAUAUUUUUUCAUGUAUACAUUCCCUCUUUUGGAUCUCAUAUAUUAUCACAUGUAUACACUCAUUCAUAACUCCAAGAUGUAAUUUGGGAUUUUGUUUUUGUUAAUAUUUUACUCCAAACAGAUGAGUGAGCACUGAGUAUGGAUUUCUCAUGCAUGAUCAUAUCAUAUAAAGAAAAGGAACUACGCACAUACGUACGCAAUUUUGGAAUGCAGUACCAGUGCUUUUAGCUCAACUUGUUCCUUUCCUAUGCUUUCUAAUUAGCAUUUCCUAGUUUUUAGCAUUUUCUUCUAUUCUAUAAGAAAAACAUAUAAUAAUUUGAACAAAAAAUUAAGCUUAUAAGCUGGUAAAUUAACAUAAAAGCGACCAUUUGAUGAAAUACUAUAUAAUAUUUAACUCUUCAAUACUACUUUAUUAAGUCGUUUGGAAGUGUUUUUAAAAUAACUAAAAGCACUUUUAGAUAAAAUGUUUGUGGAUUCCAAAAAGCACUUGAAGGUACCACUAGUUAUGUGAUUCUUAUUAGUAGCACUAGUUAUGUACUUUUCAAAAUUCACUUACACUCUAUUUGGAUGAGGAAAUUUAAGAUUACUAAGGAAUGUUAAAUUGACGGAAAUUGAAACGAUGGAAAUCUAUUUUCUAGAAUUUGUGAAUUUUCUAGCAUUUGUGAAUUUUUUUUAUUUGGUUAACCUAAAAGAACAAUGGAAUUUGUUAUUUUUAAACUCUCACUCAUAGUUGUGAAAUGACACCUAUUUAAAUUGAAUUUAAACUUGGGAAGUAGGGGUCCCAAAUUUCAAGUUUUUUUUUUCCACGCAGAAAUUCUAAAUUUCUAUGUUUAUGAAUCCAAACAAGGGAAUUGGUGCAUGUCAAUUUAUAAAUUUGAUUUUUAUCCAAAUUCCAAGUUUAUUCCCUCAUCUAAACAUAGUUUUACACUUUUACUAAGAAUUGGUUCUAAAAGUAUUUUAACGAAAAAUGAAUUUGUCAUUUUAAAAGCACUUCCACGAGUCUUGUAUCUCUACUUGGGGCUGAGCUGGCUAGUCCACUAGAAAAGGAGGGGGGGGGGUGUUCAAGAAAACCAAACCAUUCAACUUUUACUCCCACAAUCUUUUCAUUAUUGUCUCUAUAUAACUCUAAGUUUGUUAAUGUAAAUCUUCGAUAUUGUCUCUUGUAAAGAAGCAUGGCCAUGUACAUGUCUUAAUUUAUGACCACUCCACCAUCUUUGCAUGCUUCCAUUUAUUUUCUUAAAUUUUGAAACACACAAUUUGCUCUAACGAGGGUACGUAGUAUUCUCAUGUUUUUUUCCAUACUCUCAAACGAUUAGUAGCCCUUAUAUCUUAUUUAGAGUAAUUUUUUGAUGGAUCGGAUAGCAAACCAGAUUUUCAUUUCCAAUCUAAAAAGAUUAAAUUGGAACAAAUUGUGGGAAUCGGAUCUUGUCUCUCAAUUUUCUAAACAUAAUUCGGAUAUUUCACAAAUUUUUAUAUAAGUUUUCAAACUUUUGUGUACAUGCAAUUUAAUAUGCUUUAGCUUUGUAUGUAUUUGUAUAUGUUUCUAAUUAAUUAUAUAGUAUAUAAAUAUGUUUUUAAAAGUGAGACAAGUCACUUCAUACUAUGUUUCACCGUAUAAAUAUCGUAUAUAAUACCCUUAACUAUUAAUUAAAGAAAGGCUCUUGAAUUUGAAUAAAAAAUUGCGUUUCCUUAAUGAUUUUAGAAAAUACAAAAUUGAUAAAUAACCAAUCAAAUCAGUAUUUAUUUUUUAAAAAUCAAAACUCUUCCCAGUUUUAACUAUAACAACAAUUAUGGGUAUUAGAGGUGCAACUUGGGUUGGGCCAAUCUGAAUCCGCCCAUGUCUAGUCUGAUUUUAAACCCUAACAAGCGGGUUUUUUUUUAGUUAUAACCCGUCCGAACCCAACCCAAUUUCAACAUGUUCAUUGAUUGGGUUGGAUUGGGUUGAUCAUUUGCCCAACUCAACCCAACCCGAUUAACCAAACCCGAUUGGGUUGAGCUGUGCAACAUGCUUCUCAAUGACCUCUGCACCUUUGCACCUUCAUGAGAACCUACUGAUAUAAUAUACAAUUUGACAUGAAAGGAAUCAUAUUAAGUUUAUUCUGCUUUCACAUCACAUCAUGUAGAACAACUUCCUUUAUUAAAUUAACUAUUCGACCUCUCUUUGAGAUCUGCUUCACAACUUGAGUUGUCAUUGUUUCUUAUGUUGCUUUCUUGUGCCGAUUCAGACGAAGCAGGCUAUUAAGCAAGUAAAUUUGAGGGAAAGUGAUUUUAAGGUCAGUUGUUUGCUAAUACAAAUAGGUUGAUGUCUUUGUGGAUGUAUGCAUGCCUGUGCGGGUGCUUUCAGAAACAUAGGAUUUAAAAUUCGAUGCUAAUGCCUGAUUAAAACUUGAAAAAGUUGGGCAAUCUUAACCCAACUCAAGUAAACCCGAAGCCGAUUAAACCCGAGCCCGAAUGAACCCGAUUAAAACCCAACCCAAAGCCAAUCCCAAAUUGUAAAAGUUGGGUUAGGAUUGGGUUGAUCUUCCAACCUGCCCGAGUUACACCCCUAAUGGGUAUACGUAAAUCUCACUUCAUACUAUGUUUCACCAUACAAAUAUCAUAUAUAAUCAAAAAAUUUAUUUUCUUAAUCAUUAAUUUACAAAUAUACACUAAAAAAUUAAUCAAAUUAUAAAUUCAUUCAUUGUCCAUUUUUGUUGAACAAUCGACAGUUUGGAUAUAUUUAUUUAAAGAAUAUAGAGGGUUGUAAGUGGUAAAUUGCCCUGGUGAUUAAGCCUUUCUCUUCAACGCACUGUAUUUCGAAUUUAAUCUCUCACCCUUUUCUUGAUAUAGCUUAACAUAGUAAUAUUGCCAAAUAAAAUGUCAUACAAAUAAGAAAAUGACUAGAGGGUUACUCAGAUGGAUAGUUAAAUUGGGGUGGGUUUGAAUAAUCUUACGGGCCCAAGAUGCAUUCAUAUUUACAACGGGCUUGGAUUAAAGCCCACGAUCAGAGUUUCAUAUCCAUUAAAUACAUAGAGAUCCAAUCGGGUUGGAACUCCUCCCCGUUUGGACAAGCUCCGAGCCAGUUCGAUCGAGAGGGAGAGGGACAUGGCUGACGACCUGUUUGAAGGCCUCCCUCCGCCAUCUGCAAACCCUCCUCCUCCUCCUUCUCCUGAAAUCCAACUCCGGCAACAGCUGCCGGAACCACAAAAGCCACCAAAACCGCGAAAAACAGCUUCUUUUAGCUGCGACUCUUCUUCUUCCCCUGCUCCUGCUCCUCCUCCAGUUGCUGCCCCUAAACCAAUUCUCAAAUCCGCCCUCAAGCGGCCGAAUCCCGCCGAGUCGACCCCAGAAGGUAUCUUUUUUUGGGUUUUUGGAUACAUUGCUUCCAAACCCAUUACUUGUAAAUUCUUGGAUUUUAUUUCCAGCAGCUAUAAAAAAAAUUGCCUUAUUAGGGUUUUCGUUUUACAUUAAUUUUCGCUGUUGAAGAACCCUAGAAACAGAAUUGAAUUCAUUUAACUAUCAGGGUUGCAUUUGUUUUUAGUUAUUGUAUUCCCUGAAUUAAUGUACUGAAGUUUUGCUCUCUGUGAAUGAUUAGUCUUUUCAAAUAACUUUGGGAAUGCAGCUUUUCGUAAAGGAAAUGUGGUUUCUUACUGUUCGUUUCUUUGUGUUGGAAUUCUUGCUAGAAAUUAGUGUUGACGAUUUAAUAAAAUUUGAUUCUUGUUUAUUUCUUCAUGUAUGCAACUUGUGUGAAAUACCAAUGUUUUGAUUUGGUCAAAUGAGCUAAUAUUUUGGAACUGGAUUUUAGAAACUGUGCCGGAAAAGAAAAAGUUGAGGUUCAAAACCACGACGGAUGCCUCAGAGCAACAGGUGAUAGAGGCGAUGCAGAAGAUAGCUUCGCAUAUAAAGACUCCUGCGAAGUUUAGUAAGGCUUCAAAGCUUGCCAUCCAGCUUAUUCAGGCGGGAAGUGUGAAAGCUGAGACUAGUGAUUACUGUUUUGCUAUACUAGAAGCCGCAAUGGAAUCUCCUACUUCUUGUACGGAUCCUUCCAUGCGAGCUGAUUACCAUGCAUUGUUUUCAGCGGCACAAGAUGCCUCUGAGGUAAGACUGAAAGUCUGCAUGUAAUGCACGAUAAUGUCAGUGUUGGUUCAUGAAAUUUUUAUUUGAAUACUCAACUUACAAGGAUUAAAUUUUUGUUUCAGUGUCUCGAUAAGAAGCAAAAGAAUCAAUUAACAACAUGGACAAUCAGGGCAGUGAUGGCAAAUGAAUUAUUCACCGACGACAGCUUCCUGGUGAGAACUUUUCCUAUGGCAAUUUGUGAUCAUAGUUUCUGAAUCAUGUAAUGAAUAGCUUCUUUGGUAUAUGAUUUGAUGAGAAGGAUGAACCAUGCAACCGAUUUGGAUACAUAUGCAUUCUAAACUAAUAUUUUUCAUUUAAUAUUAUCUACUAAUAAAUUUCAGCGUAGAACUACCAUUUGUUUUUGUGAUAUCUUCACCAACCCUGACUUACCUUUUUUCUGUCUUUCAUGUUCUUCCUCUUUUUCUCGUCAUGCAUUUGUUAUGUGAAUGUUUACACAGUUUUCAAAAGCAGCUGGACGAUUAAAGGAAGCCAUAUCUAAUCUGCCUGUUGCAACCGAGGACGAUGACAGAGAGGAAGCAGCUGUGCUGGAAGAUGGAACAAAGAUAGCAGAUGAAGAUGAUCAGACGAAGCAGGAUGUGACUUCAGCUGCACCAGCGGAAAAUAAUGAUGAGUCAUCUGAUCCGUUUGGGCUUGAUGCAUUUUUAACUCCUGCCUCUACAAAGAAAGAUGAUAGAACAAAGGAAAAAAAAGAUAACAAGAUCACGAAGGAGGAGGAAGAGACCAAGAGAUUCCUCAGAUCAAAAAGAGAAGCCUUGGUUCUUUGUUUAGAGAUAGCUGCUCAGCGUUAUAAAACCCCGUGGUAAGUUCUUGAAAACUUUAAAUUCUUCGAUGCACUCUUCUUAUUAUCCAACCUAUUACCAUCUGGAGAGCUAGAAUUUCUUAUUUUAUAUUGUACUUAUACUUUGCAGGUGCCAAACAGUCAUAGACAUAUUAGCAAAGCACGCCUUUGAUAACAUAGCAAGGUUCACAUUGAAACAAAGGACUGCCAUUGAGAAACUUUGGGUUUCCAUACGGGAACAGCAUAAUCGUCGAAAACAAGGGAAAUCGAUUACUGGGAAACUUGAUGUCAACGCUUUCGAGUGGCUGCAGCAAAAAUAUUCUACUGAGAAGAUCAGCAUUCGGCACUCUGUAAGUGGUAGCGGAGGUCGUAAAACUGAAACUUGGCUUGGAUGACAUUAUGUUUUCGAUGUGGAAAUGUUGAUCAUUCUUUAGAAGGAAAAACACGAAGAAUUUGUAAUUGUUGAUCUGAAUGAAUUAAUCACAUUUCAAAUUUACGUUACAUGUUACAAAUAAUCGUCGUUUGCUACCAAUAAUCACCACAAGAACAGGAUCCUUCUCUGAAGUGGUGAAAGCGAUUCCGGUCCCUUACUAUAAUUACCCUCCCGUAAAUUUUUGAUAAAAGCUUUGUUGCUGUGUGGCAAUCGUCACAGACUCGGAGGUUCUUCACAACCCGAAUCGGGGUACCUGCAGCAGCAGCGAUCAAACCGAAUGCCAUGGCCAGUUUCUCGCUGUGAUAGUUAACCGCAGUUUCUUUCUCUUCCUCAUCUAUGUUCUGCAACACGACCGACGUGUUAGGAGCGUAACCUGCCUCUUUCAGCUUCUUGAUCAUCUCAGCCAGCAUUUCGUAAAUUUUUCCGGCUUGAGGGUGCGCUCUAUCCCCCAUUACAAAGUCAUGGACCGAGCCAUUUACUUCGAUCGAGCUGAGACCGGGUUCUUUCUUGGUUCCUCUGUCUUUCAUGGCUUUUCUCACCCCGGCAACAUCAUUCCAUCUGUUUGAUGCUGCAUAGAUGUUCGACAUCAGAAUGUUGUAUCCACAAUUUCGAGGUUCCAACUGGAGAAGCUGCCUUGACGCAACUUCAGCCAAGUCGGGAUUUUUAUGGAUUUUGCACGCAGCGAGCAGGGCACCCCAUACAAUUGUGUUAGGCUGUAUGGGCAUGCUUUUGAUCAGUUCAUGAGCCUCGUGGAGUUUCCCAGCUCGACCUAACAAAUCCACCAUGCAUCCGUAGUGCUCAACCUUCGGAGCCAAUCCAUGGACACGAACCAUUUUCUCAAAAAAAUUCUCUCCUUCUGCCACCAAUCCAGCGUGACUGCAAGCAUGGAGAACUCCGAUAAAUGUGAUGUCGUUAGGCUCCACAGCUUCUCUGUUCAUUUGUUCAAAGAGUUCCAGAGCUUGUUUUCCACAGCCAUGCAUAGAAAAUCCUGUCAUCAUGGCAUUCCACAUGCAAAUGUCUCGAUUUGUGGCUUCAUCAAACAACCUGAGAGCCAUAUCGAUUUCUCCACACUUCGCAUACAUGUCAACUAGAGCUGUUCGUAAAAUGACAUCAACUUCCACCCGUUGCUGGUUUAUAUACGAAUGAACCCACUUGCCCAGGUCAAGGGCUCCAACUUCUGCACAUAACGAAAUCAGGCUAACCAUUGUGACUUGAUUUGGCCUUGCUCCGCUAUUCUUCAUCCGAGCAAAGAGCUGUGAAGCCUCAUUAGUGCAAUUGGCAUGCGCGUAAGCUGAGAUCAAGGCACUCCAAAUCAUAACAUCUUUGUAAUCCACACUAUCGAAAACAGCCCUUGCAUAUCUGGUUUCUCCGCAUUUUCCAUACAUGUCGACCAAAGCAGUGGCCAAAGGCAAAGACAUGACAAACCCAUGUCUCAGAAUGUAGGCGUGCAGCCACUUGCCUAAUUCCAUAGCGCCAACAGACCCAGACUCGAUAAUCAAACUCAGCAUCGUAAUCUCAUUCGGAAAACUUCCUUCCGCCAGCAUUCUGUUGAAAAGUUUUGCUCCCUCGUGUAAAUCUCUGCAAUGAAUGUACCCCGCAAUCAUUGCAGUCCACGAAACAAUAUUUUUCUGUCCUAACCCGUCGAAGAGCCUCCUUGCAUAAGUUACAUUUCCACACUUGACAUACAUGUCGAUCAUAGCAGUAGUAACAGGAACUCCGAAUUUCUCAUGCUUGCCAUUCCUCACAACAUGAACAUGCAUCGCUUUCCCCAUUUCGAUAUCAGCAACCCCCGCAAAGAGAUUAACCAUGCUAAUCAUGGCAAUCUCACUAGGCUUCACUCGAACACGAUGCAUUUCCCUUAUAAGAUCCAAUGCCUCACCAAACAAUCUGUUCCUAACACAGCUCCUAAUCAUUGUACUCCAAGAAACAACAUCUCUGUCAGUCAUUUUAUCGAACAGCAAGCGAGCUAGCACCACAUUCCCACUUUCGCUAUACAUUUGGAUCAACGCGUUGCGCACGAAAACAUCACCAUCCAACCCGCUCUUCAGCGCGAAGCCGUGCGUCUCCUUUCCCAAAAUCGCGAAAGACGAUUGCCCGCAAGCUUUGAGGACUGAUGGAAUGGUGAAGCUGUCGACUUGAGUGUCCAUUCUUCGCAUUUGGGCAUAUAUUUCGAGUGCAAUUGCCGGGCAGUUGUUCUUAAUGUAUGAAGUUAUCAAGAAGUUGUGCUGAGCUGCAGGGCUUAGCUGGGUUUGGAGGUGCGUGAGAGGGGUUUGCUGGGUGUGAUCAAAUUGGGUUUUGAUCAUGUGGGCAUGGAUUUGCUGGGUGUGGUCAAGGUUGGGGUGUCCAUGGGGGGUAAAAGAAGUGGUUGGUUGGUGGGUAGAUGGGUGGGUGUUUGGGUGUGGGGUGUGAUUGUUUGGAGAGGUUUGGAGGAAUUUGAAUUUGGAGGGAGGAAGGAGGGAAGGUGGAAGGAGAUGAGGUUUGGUGGUGACCAUUGUAUGGUCCAUGGAUGUGUAGGCUUUGGAAUUGCAUCUUUUUCUCAAUGUUUUCAUCCCAUGAGAAAUAUCUUCAAAAUCUCCCCUUCCAUCUUCUACCUCACGAUUGGGCUUCAGCUUGGGCUGGGCUGAAUAUCUUCAAACAUCUUCUACCUUACAUCUUCACCAUUGUUUGGUCCAUGGAUGGACAGGCCACCACUGAGGGUGAAGAAGUUGUCACAAAGAGUCACUAUUUUAAAAAUUUCCGCCUAACGCCGUCAAGGUCUCUGCCUAGGUUUUAGGCGCUGGCCACUGUCCCGAUUAAUAUUUAGACGUUUUAAAAUUAAGAAAUGAUGCUAGAGCUGCUGAGGUGCUCGCCUCGGCACCCGCCUAGGGUUGUAACUCACUUAGAUAGAAAAUAGAUAGCUUUCCUUUUGUAUUUUAUUGUUUCCAAUAAAUUGUAAGAGACUUAUUGAUUAUUUAAAUAAACACACAUUAUGUUUACUUCACAUGUUUUCAUUAUGUUCCAAUACUUCAUAAUAUAUAUGAGACUCGUCUUGUUAUAUUGAUUGUGACCGAAAUAAGAAGGGUACACCACAUGUUUUUAUAUAAGUAAUAGAAAAUUUUAUUUUUUAAGUUAUUAACUUUUUAACACACAUAUUUCACCAUUUAUAUAAUGACACGUAAUAUAUCACCCAUGUAUCGGUCACAUUGGAAAAGUUUCUCCCUGCAAAGUAAAUUACAAAUUUCAUCCAAAACCCUACACCCCAUCCCGUUGCUCCUCUAUAUAAACACACCUUAAACCCUGGCCUCUCAUCUCAUCUUCUUCACUGUUCGUCUCCAAUCCAAAUCUCAUCUUCAGGUAACGUAAUGUCUCUCUCCCCCAUCUUUUCUGUAACUCAAAGUUUCUAUCUUUUCUGUUCAAUCUGUGAUGCCAUUAGAUCCCAUUUCCAAAGAAUUAAUAUUUCAAUCGUAAAAUAAAUGAAUCGAGGAAAAGCACAUAUCGAAGGCUUAUGGGCGAUAAAUAUGAACAGCCCAUGCGCUCAAAAAUUGUGCAAAAUCAUAAAUCUUUCUUCUUUUUUUUACUAUAUCCUCUCGACAUUGCCCGAGGAUUUCGAAGAAUGAUGACAUUGCUAAAUCCUGCUGUUGAUAUCAAAUUUAUUUGUAUUCUUUGAUGGGGUGGGGUUUGUUAAUCUUUAUUUGUUUCUUGAUUUGUUUAUUGGGUUUUUGUUAUUCAAACUGUGAGAAUUUUGAAUGUUGUUGCCCGAUUUCGUUGUUAGAUCAUGAAAAAUAUGUUAAAAGUAUCGCCUUUGUGAAUUAAUUGAUUGAUGUGUUAAUUGAUUUGAUCUAUGUGUUUGGUCUGAUGUGAUUGUGAUUGGUUUUGACAGAUUGGAAGUUGUAGAGAAAAUGUCGAACCCGAAAGUUUUCUUUGACAUAUUGAUCGGAAGGAUGAAGGCGGGUCGAGUUGUAAUGGAGUUAUUUGCUGAUAAAACCCCGAAAACUGCUGAAAAUUUCCGUGCUCUGUGCACCGGAGAUAAGGGGAUGGGAUUAUCAGGGAAGCCACUGCACUUUAAGGGAUCCACAUUCCAUCGCAUUAUCCCGAACUUCAUGUGCCAGGGUGGAGAUUUCACAAAAGGCAACGGAACUGGGGGAGAGUCGAUUUAUGGGGCGAAAUUCGCGGAUGAGAACUUCAACUUGAAGCAUACUGGCCCUGGAAUUUUGUCCAUGGCGAAUUCUGGACCUAAUACGAAUGGUUCACAGUUCUUCAUUUGCACAGCGAGCACACCUUGGCUUGACGGAAAGCACGUUGUGUUUGGAAAAGUUGUCAAUGGAUACAGUGUUGUUGAGAAGAUGGAAAGGGUGGGUUCGGAGCGUGGGACUACUUCUGAACCUGUUGUGAUCGAAGAUUGCGGUCAGAUAAAAGAUGAGUGUUGAUGUUUGAAUAGUUGGGGAAGUUUCAAGUAACGUCAUAGCUUAGGGUUGCUUUUAGUACUAUAGUUAGUUUCAAGUUUCAAGCAAAAAUGGUGUUUUGUUUGAAGAAAACUGAUGUAAUGCAAAUAAUACUUUGAAUGGAUGUAUAUUUUCUUAAAUGCUUUGAAUGUGUAUAAUCGUGGCUAUUUAUCUUUUUAUCGUGUGUGGUGACUUAGAGCAUUUUUAACGACUUAAAAAUAGAGAGUAUGAUUGGAGAUGGUCUAAGACUAUAAUGCGAUUACGAAGAAAUAGUGAAAUUUUGGGUUCUUUUGUUGUAAUGAGGUCGGAUUAAUUUCACUAACGGAACUAUGCCAAAGUCCAUUCCAAAUUGUGCUAAACAAGCCUUGAGGAGGCAUUUUGUAAGAAUGAAACCAAACCAUAAAAGAUAAAACCAAUUUGCAAUAUGUGAAGUAGCUCAAUAUCUUAUAAUCUUUGCAAGUUUCCUCUUUUAACUGAUGUGAAACUCUUUUACCUCUACAAUUCCUCUCAUGCGUGGUGAAUUUUCAAGCCAAACAUGUGGACAACACAAAUUGGGAGAAGUUGAGCACAUGUGACCGUUGGGCUUCAUAGGUGGGCCAACCUAGCUCUAAUACCAUAAAGAAGUUGAGGUUCCAUCAUAAAAACAAUUGGCAAUAUGAGGAGUAACCCAACCUCUUAUAAGCUCUUACAAGGUUUAUCCUUUGACAAUGUGAGACUUUAUUAUCUUCACAUCCUCACAAUGAGAAUAAGAGGGCAAAGUCCCACAUUCGUGAAUGUAGGGGCUUAUAAGGAGUUAGGCUACUCCCCAAUCUUCAUUCAUGGUAUCAUAGUACAUUACCCCAUAUGUGAAUUUCAACGACCAUGUGCUCCACGUUACCCAAUUUGUGCACGUGAGGGGGCGUGUGAUAAUAUGAGAAUAAAAUCCCACAUCAGUGAAGGACCAAACCAUGCAAGGGCUUAUAAAGAUUUGAACUACUCCCAAUAUUGCUAAUUGAUUUUGUAGUAGAAACCUACUUCAGGAAGGCCAUCGAAGACCAUAACAAGAACCAGAGACGGUCUGCCGAUCCCGAGGUGGUGAGAAACGUGAAGGGGUAUAUGCAGUUCACAUGGUUUAUGCACAUUUUGUACAUACUCAAAACAUUUAGAAAGGAAAAAGAAGAAGUCCAAGAGCUGCCAAUAGCCUUUAUACAAGCAAAUGUGUAUUUUAGCUACAUUUAGGUGAUGGGUUUUGUCAAUUGCUUCCAGAUUUGAAGGUUGUCAUGUUUUCACAACAUUGCAUAUAAAAAGGGGGGAGGUUGAAGUUGAAUACCCAAGAUAUCACACACUUCAUUACUUGAAAGUACAAUGGCAACUGCUGGUGAGUUUUGGCUACAUUAUUAUAGUUCAGAGAAGCGAUUUCCGCACAUCUCUGUUAUCUCUCUGCACGCCUUGUUUAUCUAGGAGCGGAAAGAAACAGGGCCGUACAAAUGGGGAAAAAGAUUGUAUAAAUCACUUUUCUUUUUUAAUUGUUGUUGCUAAUAAUAUUUCAGAAGUGAAUCUGAUUACAUUGCUUCCAUGGUGAUCAUGAUCAGAUGGUCGGAAGUUUACCACUAUCCUUAGCAUUGAUGGAGGAGGAGUGAGAGGCAUCAUUCCGGCGACCAUGCUCGCCUUUCUCGAGUCCGAACUCCAAGUUAGCGUGUCUGCUUCCGCCAGACUUUUUUUCGUUUCUUCGGAACCUUGAAUUUGUUCAUCAUUCUUACCUAAUUGAUUGAUUUACAAAAUGCUUCCUCCUAAACGAAUAGAAACUGGAUGGAAAAGAUGCAAGGAUUGCACACUGCUUUGACUACAUUGCUGGAACCAGCACAGGAGGCCUUGUUGCUGCUAUGAUUACCACACCAAAUAAAAAAAAGCAACCUCUGCUUUAUGUACAUGAACUCAAGAAGUUUUAUUUUGAUGAGCGUCCAUACAUAGUGCCUCAAGAACCGACUAAAACCGCUCGAAUGUAUGUUCCAUAAGAGGACACUAUUUUGAAGUGCUGAUAACAAUCUCACUGUAUAUAUCUUAUGAAUUGAACUGUUGGAUCGGUCUUUCCAGCAUACCCGCUUGAAACAUUAGACUUGUUAUAUGGAUUGACAUAUAAGUUUUUCUUGAAUCGUUGAGCAAGCAGCUCUGAAGUCAGCAAUGGCCUCUCAUAUUCCUUCGAGUGCCGCUUGUGUGGUGGAAUAUGAGCCAUUCCAGAACUAGCACUCAUACCACCACGAAUACCUCUAUAGCCUUUGCCACGACCACGUAAGGUACCAGGACGACCGCCACGAGCAGCAGCGGGAGCAGUGCGUCUAGCAUCAGCAAAGAAGACAGUAUGCAUCCUUUGUUUCCGCUCAGCAGUGAGCAGAAGGGCCUCUGAAGCACUGUGAGAUAUGGCUCCAUCACGAUCCUGAGCAGAAGCCACGGUGCUUUCACAUGCAGGGCCAACAUUGUUGAGAACAAUGGCAGCAAUGUCUGAGUCAGAAACAGGAGCACCAGAUAAGGAGAGGGCGUCAGCAAGGCAACUGACACGAUUGAGAAACUCAGCAAUUGAGGAGUCGCCACGGUGGGUGUUCAUCAGCUCACCGUGAAGUUGAAGAAGACGGCCAGUGGGCUGCAAAUCAUAGCAUUCGCGCAGACAGGUCCAUGCAGAAUGAGAACUGGUUUUCCCGAUUAGGGCACCCAACACAGUGGUAUGAACAGAGCUCUUGAUCCAGAACAUAACCAUAGCAUCUUGUUGAAUCCAUGCUUCAAACUCCGGAUUCACAGUAUCAGUAAGAUUGCCCUCAUCAUCUUUGAGAAAGGCAGGAGGACAUUUGCUAGUGCCAUCAACAAAGGAGACGAGAUUCCUGCUACGAAGCAAGGUAAGCAUCUGGGCUUGCCAGAGAGGGUAAUUGGUAGGGUCAAGUUUAAUCGGAAGAAAGUUGGAAACGUUGGAAGAGCUGGAAGAGUUGGACGCCAUUUGAAAGAAAAAGGAAAUGCUUAGGAUCAGUGGCGAAGCCACGUGGGGGCGAGGAGUGGCGGCCGCCACUCCCCUCGCCGGAAAACACCACUGGAAAGCUGGGUUCGCCACUCCCCUCGCCGGAAACCUCACUGGUUCAUCUCCUCUGGAAUGCGACGACGAUUACGAAUACAAUUGGAGCUGCGAACGAGUUCCGGUGCUCCGAUACGGCUUCUACUACCUCUCCCAUGUCUGAUUGUUUCCUUUGCUCUGGUGUUCCGUACGAAACACCACCUUCUUCUUCGUUUCGGAUUUUCGAUGCUUCUCUGCAACCGGGUAAGUUGCUACAGACCCAAGUCUAAAACUCCACUGGGUAACCCCCGAUUCAAUUGGGCCUGUUGGGGAUAAAUUGUUCGAAAUGGUCCAAUCAAAUAGAAGCCCUAUUUUCCCCAAAUAUGAUAAAUCACGAGUUUAUGGUUCUUGUAGUUGGAUUUUUUUAUAUAAAUAUUACGUAUAAUUGAAUAAUACGGAAAAUAAACAGUUGAGAAUCAAAAUAUAAGAUCUAAGUAUUUGUGAAAAGCAAAUUUAAUUGUGAAAACACUCGUAUGAUUGAACAAUACAUAGCAUUAAAGCCAAAAUUUUAAUUUUGUUUAAUAUAUUUUCAGUUGUAUCAAAUUUGAUCAUUGUAAUUUCCUAGUUGUUGCAACAUGAAAAUAUAUCCUUAUGUUUGUUUUACUACUAUAUCCACUAUGUUAAACCCACACUCGUUUUACUACCAUAUCUUUCAAAUAUUCUGAGUAGUCCUCCUCCUCCUCAAAUAUUCUAAGAAGUCAUCCUUCAAAUAUUCCAAGUAAGUCACAACAAAGUGAGGUCACUGAGUUGGAUGAAAUAUUGGCUAAUCUUCUUGCAGAUCCUGCACAUAAACGUCGAAUGAUUGAUUAUCCACCUAAUUAUCGUGAAGCAAUUCGUAGACAUUAUCUCCAAAUUGUAAUUUGUUUGUAUUGAUUAAUUAUGGAAGACAUUACUAGAUAAAAAGAUUUAGUUGUUGUCAUUUUUCUUUAACCUUGCAUUCUUUUAAGUUCGCCCCUCCCCUCAAGAAAUCCUGGCUUCGCCACUGCUUAGGAUGAAUGCUUUGAAUAAACUCAGCUUAAUGAAUUAUGAGUGAGGCUUCCCCUCGAUUAUAUAGGAUUACAACUUGCUACAGGGAUUUUUCUUUUUCUUAUACAACUUGCUGGAGGGUUUUUUUUUUUUUUUUCUUUUUCAUUUUAGAGACAACUUGGUGGAGGGUUAUAUGCUUUUUUCAUGACAAACCUUGGUGGAGGGUUAAAUGCUUUUUUUGUGACAAGCCUUGCCGGAGGGUUUUUUCUUUAAUUUUUGCUAAUUAACCUUGCUGGAGGGUUUUUUUUUUUUCGUACAUCGAUAUUUUUAUACUAAGAGGAGGGGGAGUUCGGCUAACCUACACAAUAGGCAACCUAAUUUGGUAAGAUCUCUCAUUUUCAAAUGAAGAUGAAAACUACCAGACCGUAAUACUGAGUGAUCACCGGAGAGUUUUAAUAAAGAAUAAAAGUAGCUUUGUGAAGUUGAAAUUCUGUUUUAGUUUAAUAAAGAAUAAAUUAUCUUGAAAUGCUCAUUUUACAACUCAAAAGCCAAUUUUGGAGUUCGGUGGGUCAGAAAUUUGUGAUGCAAAUCAUCUAACCCACUGAAAAAUGUAAAAACAGGUAGAUUACAUUUUUUUUUUCUCCUCAAGUUCUCGUCCAAUUUCAAAUUUGUAUGUUUUUCAAUUUUUUCAAUUUCAUACGACGAUUCACGAUUUUGUAUAAAUGUCUUAGAUCUGUAUUAAUUUAUGUUAGUUUCUCUGUUAUUUGUCCAUGUGAACGUCGUCGGCCGGCCCCACAAAAUUUGUGCCAAAUGAAUAAAAACCAAUUAAAAAAUGGAUAUUCAUUAUUAAAGAAAAUCAAUUUAAAGAAAACCUUCUUCUUUGACAACAAAUCAAUAUGAAGAAGAAACCCUUCAUCUUCUUCAUCUGAAAGUUAAAAAAUCAAAGUACAAAUUAAUGUAUAAACAUUAUUUGAACCUUUAACGUGUGAUGUUGAGUGUUGUAUAUCACCAAAAAGUUAAAAGAUCUUGCAUUAGCUUUGUAGAAGUUAUUGUAGAACCUCAAGAGUAUAUAUAGUCCACCUAUUAUCAAUUGGACUUUAGGAGAGAUUUUUUUGUGUCAGGAACAUGGCCUAGUACACCAUGUAAUAAUACAAUUGGUUGGACACUUAAAUAUUUUUUUUAACUAAUUGUAUUAUGACACUUGGGUAUACCAGGUAGUGUUCUCGAAACAUUGAAAAUUUUUCUCGGACUUUGGGUAGAAUCUCCUAAAAUGAUACAUACUCCAGCAAAAGUUAACAUCCUGAUCAUAUCACGAUGAACACCUAAUUAAGCAAAACAAUCACUCUCCCAAUAAGCACUUCAUUGCGACUACAUAGGUUUACAACGAAGCAGCACACGAUUAUUUCACCAGUGAGAGGUUGCAGCAUGCACGUAGUUUCGUUGCAUGUUAGAAAAGGUUCACAGCAUAUCAACUUCACAUUGUCCUGCAGCAUAUCAGAAAUCAAGCGGAUUUCAACAUUUUCUUCCUGAAAAAUCGAAAGAAUAAGAUCGACAUCAUGUUACUAUGAACACAUGAUAGAUCUUUUCUUGGUACAGAGAUAUUUGAUUUUCAGAGAAAAAUAUAAGACUUACCUGUAACCUUGAAACGAGCAUUUCCAAAAACAGCCUCCCAACCAGUUUCUGUACCAUAUGUUAAACUGGGUCCUCAAGCACAACUUUAGCUAUAUUAACCAUAUGUUAAACUACUGCUUUCCAUUAUCGAGACAGGAGUCUAUCAAAGCUAGAGGUUUUUCUUCACUAUUCGACUCGGUAGAUUCCAAGGAAAUGGGCACAAGUUUAACGGUAGACAGAAACCGGUUCUGAUCAUCCAUACGAAUGGUGCAAAAUCUCGAUAUAGCAUGGUUUGCAUAAAGAAAUCUUGUAUCAAAAUUAUACUUCGAUGGCUUCACAUUUAAAUUUUUCUUGAACUGGGGAGCAAGCAGCUCCAGUGUUGGUAACGGGCCUCCCCUUUUCUGUUAACUGCCGCUUGUGCGGUGGGACGUAAGCCAUUUUAAAACCAGAACUUGUGCUUAAAAUUCGUAGCAAGGCAAAAAGAAACUGCAAAAAUUUCAUUAACUAUCUUGGUUGUAAGAAAGUGCCUGAGCCGAAGCAUUUACUGGCAAUGAAGUCAUCGAAAUGAAAUCGCCAAAAGUUCAUUAACCAUGAAUUAUGCCAGAUACAAAUAGAUGGCAGAAUUGAAAGAAAUCAUUAAAACAGUUACUAAUUAUCCAUCAAACGAUGCCAAAAUUUGAACAUAAAACUAAGGAGGUAGACAGAUAUAUACACGUCAAAUAGACAGUGAUCACUGAUUUACAACAACAAGCAAUUUCAUGUUAAAAAACAUUCACAGCUCAAGAAGUUAUCCCAUAUCAACUGCAUAUUGAUCGGAAGGAUGAAGGCGGGUCUAGUUGUAAUGGAGUUAUUUGCUGAUAAAACCCCAAAAACUGCUGAAAAUUUCCGUGCUCUUUGCACCGGAGAUAAGGGGAUUGGAUUAUCAGAGAAGCCACUGCACUUUAAGGGAUCCACAUUUCAUCGCAUUAUCCCAAACUUCAUGUGCCAGGGUGGAGAUUUCACAAGAGGCAACGGAACUGGAGGAGAGUCGAUUUAUGGGGCGAAAUUCGCAGAUGAGAACUUCAACUUGAAGCAUACUGGCCCUGGAAUUUUGUCCAUGGCGAAUUCUGGACCUAAUACGAAGGGUUCACAGUUCUUCAUUUGCACCGUGAGCACACCUUGGCUUGACGGAAAGCACGUUGUGUUUGGAAAAGUUGUCGAUGGAUACAGUGUUGUUGAGAAGAUGGAAAAGGUGAGUUCGGAGCGUGGGACUACUUCUGAACCUGUUGUGAUCGAAGAUUGCGGUCAGAUAAAAGAUGAGUGUUGAUGUUUGAAUAGUUGGUGAAGUUUCAAGUAACAUCAUAGCUUAGGGUUGCUUUUAGUACUAGUUAGUUUCAAGUUUGAAGCAAAAAUUGUGUUUUGUAUGAAGAAAAGUGAUGUAAUGCAAAUAAUACUUUGAAUGCAUGUAUAUUUUCUUAAAUGCUUCGAAUGUGUAUAAUUGCGGUUAUUUAUCUUCUUAUUGUGUGUGGUGACUCGGAGCAUCUUAACGACUUAAAAACAGAGAGUAUGAUUGGAGAUGAUCUAAGACUAUAAUGUGAUUACGAAGAAAUAGUGAAAUUUUGGGUUCUUUCAUUGUAAUGAGAUCGGAUUAACUAACGGAACUAUGUCAAAGUCCAUUUCAAAUUGUGCUAAACAGGCCUUGAGGAGGCAUUUUGUAAGAAUGAAACCAAACCAUAAAACCAAUUUGCAAUAUGUGAAGUAGCUCAACCUCUUAUAACCAUUGUAAGUUUCAUCAUUUAACUGAUGUGAGACUCUUUUACCUUCACAUUCCCUCUCAUGCGUGGUGAAUUUUCAAGCCAAAUAUGUGGACAACACGAAUCAAGUGACGUGGAGCACGUGUGGCCAUUAGGCUUCAUACAUAGGCCAACCUAGCUCUCUAAUACCAUGAAAAAGUUGAGGUUUCACCAUAAAAACAAUUGGCAAUAUGAGGAAUAGCCAUACCUGUUAUAAGCUCAACCAAUUGGCAAUAUGGGAAGUAACUCAACCUCUUAUAAACUCUUGCAAGGUUUAUCUUUUGACGAUGUGAGACUCUUUUACCUUCACAUCCUCACAGUGAGAAUAUGAGGAAGUCCCACAUCGAUGAAUGCAUGGGCUUAUAAGGAGUUUGGCUACUUCCCAAAUUUUCUUCAUGGUACCCUAGUAGGUUUAUCCCAGAUGUGAAGCUCAAUAACCAUAUGUUCCACGUUACCCAAUUUGUGCACAUGAGAGGGCGUGUGAGAAUAUGAGAACAAAAUUCCACAUAUGUGAAGGACCAAACCAUGCAAGGGCUUAUAAAGAGUUGAGUUACUUCCAAUAUCGCUAAUUGGUUUGCUAAUUGGUUUUGUAGUAGAACCCUACUUCGUUCAGUGGCCAUCGAAGACCAUAACAAGAACCAGAGACUGUCUGCCGAGCCCGAGGGUGGUGAGAAACGUGAAGGGGUAUAGGUAGUUCACAUGUUUUAUGCACAUUUUGUACGUACUCAAAACUUUUAGAAAGGAAAAAGAAGAAGCUCCAAGAUCUGCCGAUAGCCUUUAUACAAGCAAAUGUGUAAUUUAGCUACAUUUAGGUGAUGGGUUUUGUCAAUUGCUUCCAGAUUUGAAGGUUGUCAUGUUUUCACAACAUUGCAUAUAAAAAGGGGGGAGGUUGAAGUUGAAUACCCAAGAUAUCACACACUCCCAUUACUUGAAAGUACAAUGGGAGCUGCUGGUGAGAUUUGUUAGCUACAUUAUUAUAGUUCAGAGAAGCAAUUUCCGCACAUGUCUGUUCUCUCUUUGUACACCUUGUUUAUAUAGGAACGGAAAAUAACAAAGGCGUGCAAAGGGGGAAAAAGAGUGCAUAAAUCACUUAUUUUUUUAAUUGUUGCUAAUUAUAUUUCAGAAGUGAAUCUGAUUACAUUGCUUCCAUGGUGAUCAUGAUCAGAUGGUCGAAAGUUUACCACUAUCCUUAGCAUUGAUGGAGGAGGAGUGAGAGGCAUCAUUCCGGCAACCAUGCUCGCCUUUCUCGAGUCCAAACUCCAGGUUAGCGUGACUGUGUCCGCCAUACUUCUUUUUCGUUUCUUCGGAACCUCGAAUUUGUUCUUCAUUCUCACAUAAUUGAUUGAUUUACAAAACGUUUCCUAAAUGAAUAGAAACUGGAUGGGAAAGAUGCGAGGAUUGCAGACUACUUUGACUACAUUGCUGGAACCAGCACAGGAGGCCUUGUUACUGCUAUGAUUACCACACCAAAUGAAAAAAAGCAACCUCUGUUUGAAGCACAUGAACUCAAGAAGUUUUAUUUUGAUGAGAGUCCAUACAUAUUCCCUCAAGAACCGACCAAAACCGCUCGAAUGUACGUUCCAUAAGGCGAGACUAUUUUGAAGUGCUAAUAACAAUCUCACUGUAUAUAUCUUAUGAAUUGAACUGUUGGAUUGGUCCUUGCAGCAUACCUGAGUGGCUUGAAACAUGGGCUGGAUGGGUCGGACAGAAGGUUGAAAAGGUGGCGGAAAUCCUGUCAUGGGUCGAGAAAGAAACGUUACACCCCAAAUACGAAGGUUAUGACCUGCGCGACAGAAUCAGGAAGAUAGUUGGGAAAACACGGCUUCACGAGACUAUAACCAACGUCAUCAUCCCCUCUUAUGAUAUCAAGUUUCUCCAACCAGUCGUCUUCUCCACCUCAGAGGCGAAACGUGAUGAAUUGGAGGAUGUUCUGCUAGCAGAUGUCUGCAUUGGCACAACUGCAGCACCAUACUAUCUCCCUUCCCACCAUUUCACGCACACACCAUCAAAGGGACUCCCGAGAGAAUUUAACCUCAUCGAUGGUGGCGUUGCAGCCAACAAUCCGGUACAUAUACACUCUUAGACGUUCAUUAAUUGAAGAUUUUGAUCAAACUGAUUCGUGUAAAAAUUGUUGCAGACUUUGCUUGCAAUCAUUGAGAGUGCUAAGGAGAUGUCACCAAAUAAAAAUGUGGCACAUUGCUUGAAGAACAUUGAUAGUAGCAAGCUUCUUGUUCUGUCCCUGGGAACUGGAUCCUCGAAGAGGGAUGAGAAGCUUGAGGUUGACGAAAAUGAACCAUGGGGAAUCUUUCAAUGGUUUGUAGGCCCAAAAGAUACCACCCCUUUACUUGAUGUUUUGACAACUGCAACAGAAGACAUGGUUGACAUAUACAUGUCUGCUUUCUUCAACGUUUCAGGCUACAAUGAUAACUAUCUCCGGAUCCAGGUACAUAGUAAACCACCAAAGAAUGAAGAAAGAUACCUUACUUCCGGCUGAUUAUUUAAUGCCAUGGAUGCAGGAUGAUAGCUUGAAAUACACUGAAGCUGUUCUGGAUGACUCCCGCAAAGAAAAUCUCGAGCACCUUGAGAAGAUUGGGAAUCAACUCCUCGAAAAACCUUUUUCAGCACUGAACCUGGAGACCGGCUUGUUGGAACCAAUUAACAACACAUUCAAAUACAAAGACGCACUUGCACAGUAAGAAAUAAGAACACUAUAAGCUGAUCAUAUGAUCAAGUCACUUUUUUCAUCAUAUCUGUUUUGUGAUUUACAAUUUUCAUCUGUUUCUUCAGUAACUUGUUGCAUUUGUACAGGUUUGCCAAGAAACUGUCGGAUGAAAAAAGAGGACGUCAAACCAGUUCCUCCCGUUGAUAAAAUUUCAUCUUUCUUGUGCCUAGUAUCUAGCUUCUACUAUCUACCUAUGUGCUUGCUGAACAAGUUUGGUUUCCAAGUUUCUAGUGUCCUUGCAAGCCUGCUCGAUCGUAGACUGUGUGUAGUGCAGGUUUUCGUUUCAAACUUUUAGUGGGUUGUACUUCCAUAAAGUAUAUAUAAAUAAAAUGAGGCUCAUCUCAUCUCAUGGCUGUUUGUUCCCAAGAGAUUACUGUUCUGUUUUGUUAUUGAAACGGAAUGAGCUCAUUACGAUACACAGAAUGAACACACAUUACAAAAGAUAACAUAUCUAGUGAAGUCGAAAAUCGUUUAAUAUUCAGAACAUAAGAUAAACAUACAAAAAACAGUUCAAAACCUCCUAAGAGAGUAAUUCUGAAACAAUGACGACUAAUCUGGUUAAACCUUACCGAAAAUCCUUAUAUGAGUUGUAUGAAUCUCCUUUGUAACAAGAGUGAUAUACAAGGACCAUACUCUUACACUUCUACUCCCAAUCCUCUUCGCUCAAUUGAUCGUCUGCCUCGUCUCUUGGUGGCCUCACUAUCAGCACCACAGUCCCUAAACUCUCCUCCACACCAGUUUCCUUCAAUGCCGAUCCCCUUACAACCUUAAACCCCAAACCCUCACCAUCCACUGCUGCCAAAUAAAACCCGUCAUCAGCUUCCACCUCCCUCCUGCUCCUAUCAGCCACCACCAGAAUAGGCUCUUCCUUAUACCACCUAUUCACCUUCCAAGGCAAAACCCUCGCGUCACCAAACGACACCACAACUCCGCCCUUUCCUAAACUCACCACCGGCUCCCAACCCGGCAACACCACCCACCUCUUCCACCCCUUCUCUGCCACAAUAACCCCAAGCUCCCCCUCACUCCUACACUCCCACGGGGCCUCCAUAACCUCCUUAUCCUUCUCCUCCGCCCUACAAACUGGCAAGAUCACAACUUUAGUCGACUCUGCCACCUCCCCAAACUUCAACCUCACAACCGGAACCCGAACCCCUACUGCAACAUCGUCCUCCUCCUCCUUCUCCUCACUCUCUCCCUCCAACUCUUUCAAAAUUACCUUUUUAGCCUUAUCGGUCUGUGCAACCUUCAAUGCCUGCUCUAAAGCAGCAGUUCUAGGUUCAGAUGGAUUCUUGUGCUCCCUCGCCUGCCUAAAAUACAUAAACCCUAAACAAUCCCCAGCGCUGGCAUAGUCAAAGCUCUCCCAACCGUUUUCGGUCCCCCGACGAGGGAAGUCCUUUAUCGAACGGGCCAAAUCCUGAGUUCCUUUGGCAUCAAGCUUGUUCUCAAUUAUGAAACGGGCAGCAGCAGCUCGCUGCUGGACACUCAGGAGCCGAAUUUCGUACAGCAAUUCGGAACCCCUCACGUCGAAUUCGGAAACGAUUUCUGGGUCGGUGUUAGAUUGGAUUAAAGAGUCCCUCACCUUCGCCGCCACCACCAGGCGGUUCUGCUCGACGCUGGAAAUGCCGGUGAUUUCUUCGAUGGUGGGGGCAGUGAAGCCUUCUUGGGUUAGGGAGGGGAUUAGGGGGGCGAAUUCGAACCAGAGGCCGAGGCGGUUGGCGAGGAUCUCGAGGCGGCCAUUGGCGUCGAGGGAGCGGAAUUUGGAGGGGAUUGGAGAUGGGGGCGGCCGGAAUGGCUGGUAGAGUUGUUGUUGCUGCUGUUGGGAGCUGGAGGAGGGAGUGAGAGUGGCGGAGAUGGGUUUCGGGGAAAGAGGUUUGGUGUGGUGUAGGGGUGGUGGGUGGGGGUUGAGGAAGGUGGUGGAGGAUAAGAAGGUUGUGGUAGUGGUGGGGUUGAAAGAUGAGAAGGGUUUGAGAGAGUUUGCUGUUACCGAAAGCAUGGUGGUGGUGGUGGUGGUGGUGGUGGUGGUGGUGGUGGGUUUUUGGAAAUUUGCAAACUUUGGAGGGAGGGAGGAGGUUUGUCCCUUAUCUCACCAGUGAUGCUGCUUCCGGAUGAGAGAGAGAGAGAGGAGAGGAGAGGAGAGAGGAGAGGAGAGAGAGAGUUUUUCACUUUCAGACUUCAGUUAUUCAGUUGAAGUUUUAUUGGGCUGGUCCAACAAGGACCAUCAUCAUUGGCCCAAAUUAACCCAUGCCCACUUCAGGGUCAGGGACAAUCUAAACCAAAAAUGAUCAACCAUGAAUACUGCCCAGCCUACUGAACAAAUCGGCCCAAUUCAACAACACCUUGCCCUUGCCUUUUUUUUUUGUAUUUUAAUCAGGUAAUGUUAUUGGCGCUUUACAAAUUUCAUUUUGCACUCUAAAAUUUAUAUAAUUAGAAAUAAAAAUACAAUUGUGAGAAGUGCAGAAUAAAAUUUUUAGAGUACUAAUAACAAUUCCCUUUAAUUAUUCAGUAUAAUUCACUAACUCUUGCGGACUCCCAAACCACCAGGACGUCUGACUAAGACCCACGAUGCGGGAUUACGAAGGGAUGUUGCGUUUUUGUUUUUUGUAGUUCUUGGCAUAGUCGCAUGUAUCUUCUCUGUUUACUUUUGUUUAUUAUCAAUAAAUUUGGUAGAAGAUCUGUACGGGUGGGUUGCCCCUCGCUGUUGCGUUCUAUUAGGUUAUGGAUUACAAGAACAAAUGUAGUUGUAUGAGACAUCGCGGUUAGAUGGGCGGGAGAUUUUUGGUUGUAGUGGUCCUCACCCUUCGGAAAAGCAUAAGUGCCUUGCACGUGGAUAUUGACAAAGAACUAAUAUCGCCUAAUUUUCAAAUACUUCUAGAGUUUCAAUCGAAGUUUGGUUGACCAACCUUCUUUUCAAUCACACACACAAUGAUAAUUAGUUCAAAGUAAUUAGCGAGUGAUUAUAUAAUAUAAUAGCCUGACCAGCUUUUGAAACACACAAAACAACUGCACCACCAAUCUUAGUUGCUAAUCUUGUAUUAAUUUAUUAUUAAGCAUGGGGACAUUUAUAUCUUAGUUAUAAUUCAGUCAAAUAAAAAUAUUAUAUGACUGAAUCAAACUUAAAACGCAACAUGUGAAACCAUAAUUAUUCGUCCUCAACAACUAGGUUAUCUCGUAAUUCUUUAUUUAUUUUUCUUUUGGAUGUUUGUUUUAUUUUGUAAGAUUUAAGGAUCACUUGAAUCUUCUUCUUUCAUUGAAAGUGACAAUGGGCUGGUUUCAUACAAUGCACCACAUGGCCUAUGUCUACGUGACGUUUUAAGCUGUAGUAUUGCCAAUUUAACAGACAACAAUGAUUUACAGCUGGAUAUUUAAAUAUUGUUUUAUUGUUUUUCAGUGGAAAUUCAUGUCUGGUUUGAUGUAGAUAUUUAUAUAUUUGUGCGUAUUUUUUGAAACAUAUUUGUGUGUAUAUACACAUACAUAGCUAUGGUUAUAUUGAAAAGAUUUGAAUUCUGAACUUACUUUACUUUUGUUCGUCAUCCUUUUCAAGUCUUUAAUUAAGAAGCUAACCCGUGGUGGCGUAUGUUCUUAAAGAGGGAGGCUUCAAGUGGAAUUAUCCUCUUUUUCUGUUUAAUACUUUAGCUGAGGAUGUAAACAUUUCAAUUAGAAUUUAAUAUUAUUUAUCUCUUUAAUACAAAAAAAAAAAAAAAACUACGAAGCUAAACCUAGCGACGUAUACAGCCAUACAAUAAAUGUCUUGUUCUCUACGUGUUAUGAAAUUAAACAUACAAUUAAGUAUGGCUAUUCCUAAGUAAAGAUAUUAGGGGACGUUUGUUGCGCUGGACUAUCUCGGACUGGACUAGCUUCAAGGACUAAGUUGGACUGGCUUAGACUAGACUAAGCUGGACUAACUUAGUGAAGCGU